UUGACUCAAGACCGAGUCGGGUGGAUAGUUGAUAAAGGUAAAUGAGACCUUAUGAUUAAAAUGGUAAAUGACAGAAAACCUUAAAUGUCAAUUGGAUGAAAGUAGUAAUCGAUUAAAUUACUAGUUGAUUGUGUAGUCGCAUCAUUGCAUGAUCUUCAUAUUGCAGUCGUGAGGCAAUGCAUGGUUUCAUUUGUUGCAUAAUCAAGGUAUAUAUCUAUCUGUUUAUUGAACUAACUUGUAGUUGCCUCUCUUGGACCUAUUGGUCGAGUUUUUCCCUUGGGUGGCCGUACCCACUGGGAACCAUGGAGUUGGUUCUCACCCCACGUGGUUUUGGGGUGUUACAGGUUCACACGUGAGCGGCGCGGCGGCGCGAGGCGAGGGCGUAGCAUCAUAGUUAGCGCCCUACCACCGAGACCAAAGAUAGCGGUACCCUGAGUCGGCUUGCUUAGGAUUGUAGAAAAUAAAAAAAAAUCAAGUUGUAAUAAUCAUGUUAAAUCGGAUUGUAUUUGGAAGUUGAAUGUAAUAAGUAUUUGGGAUGUAAAAUGUAUGAAUGUGAAUGCUUGUAAUAACAAGUAGAUUAUGUUUUCCUUAUGCAAUCUUUGAUUGAAAUGUGUUCCUGGUUGGAACUUUGUACAUUGUAUUGAUUGCGACGCCUUGAAUGUACAGGGGAGACUCUGUCCGCGGUACAGGAAAAACCCUGUCCGUUCGGCGGUCUGUUGCGGUGCCGCGACCCGGCCAAAUAGGCGGGCGGUCGCGGGGCGUGACAACCACCAUCAGGUAAGAAGUAAAAAGAAAGAAAAAAGAAAAUAUUUUUUAGAAAAGUGAAAAAUACGGAGAAGAAGAAAAAGAGAAAAAGGAUAAGAGACUUAAAAGUUUAAAAAGAAAAAAAAAAAAGAAAAGAACAUAGAGCUGUGAUUUUUUUUUUGUCCGACAUUGCCACCAUUAACGCCGCCCAAGCCGUCGUCACCGCUGUGACUGACGCCCAUCGCUGUCAUGACUAUCACUAGCACUGCCUAAACUAUCGCUACCGCCGCGUUUGCCAUCAUUGCUGCACAAGCCGCUGAAGCCCACUUUGAAUUCCCUCACAUAAGAGGGAAAGAGUGUGUGAGUACUACGAAAAAGAGAUGGGGAGAGAGAGGAGGAACUAGCUUAUGGAGCGAAGAGAGAGAAGAGGGAUGAAAAUGAGAGAAGAGGAAGAAGAGAGUAGGGAAGAGAAAGAGAGGGAGAGGGAGAAUAAGGGCCAACUAUAGAAGGGAAGAGAGAGAGGGGGAGAGAAAGAGAACAUGAGGCCACUUAGAGGAGAAGAAAAAGAGGAGGAGAGAAGGGAAGAGAAAAGUGGGGCCACAUGUAAAAGGGAAGAGAAAGAGAGAGAGGAGAAAAGGGAAGAGAGAGAGGUAGGGGUAUAAUAUGGACUGUGUCGAGCCUGCACGUCCCACAUUAAGUUGGGUCGAAACGGGCCGAAGUCCAGCCCGGCACAGCUCGACCCUAAAGUCGGGCCGUGCCGUGCCGGGCCGUAGCUCUUGGACCCCCGGCCCAACACGUUCCCCCGGCCCGGAGGUCGCGGUCGUGCCGGACUUCAGGCCAGCCCUUAUUUAUUUAUUUAAUUUUAUUUAAAAAUAUAUAAAUUUUUGUAAAAAAUAAAAAAGUUAAUAUACUAUUAUUUAAAAAAUAUAUGAUUAAAAAGUUUCAAAAUUUAAAACAUAUUUAUAAAAAAUAAUAAAAUUUUAAAAUUAUUUAAAAAUAUAAAUAUUUUUUGGACCAAACUACCCUUCCUAACAAUCAAAUUUUUGACUGUUGGGAGGGUAUUUUGGUCCAAAGAGAACCAAAAGCUAACUCCCAAGGGUUUGCCAUAGCGGAUCCUCGGGAGAGCACAAGGCACACAGGCCCGGCUACCAACUCCCAAAGCAUUGGGAGUUGGGAGACCUCAAGAGCCGGGCCGACACGGCCUAUACAGACCGUGCUGUACCGGCCUAGGGCUCCUUUUAGGUCCAGCACACAGGCUGGUGUCGUGCAAGACUAUGCCGGGCCAAUGGGCCAUAGGGAAGCUGCCCAGCACGAUCUGGUUCAUCCAGCCUAGUCGGUUGAGCAUGAGUGCUACAGUACUCGUGCCGUGCCUCAGCUCGGCCUAAUAUCAUGUAGUGUCGGGUAGCCCGCAGGCGGUCCGAUCGUUUUACACCCUCGGAAAGAGGUGGGGCCACCUGUGGAAGGGAAGAGAGAGAGAGUAGUAAAAAAAAGUAUUGAGAAUCCGUCACAUGAAAUGAGCAAAUACAUGCAUGCUACGUGUACAUUUUGAAGGUAUUGUCAAAUUAUAUAGUGUAAGAUAUAGUGCAAUAUAUAUAUACGGCUCGGUUUACUAUCGAUUUGUUUUCGAUGAUAGAGCUUCCAAAUUGAUGAUCGGCACCGUUAAACAUGAUCUAAACUAUUUAAACUAUCUGGAAAUCAAAUUUCACAUAUUUUCGAUAUUGUUCUCUUGUCCAUAAAGUGAACAAAAGAAUGAAUGGCUGGAAAUGAAUAUCCUUAAAAAACUGAUGAUACAAUUUUUAUAUUUGAGAUUUAGAGUCUAGAUCUUAUUUUAAAUAGUUUAAAGAAUUUUUUAACAAAAAUUUAGUUGAUUUGAACUCUUCUAUACCGUUAAACGAGCAAACACACCAUAUCGGCCAUUAAAAUUAUAGAUUUUGUGACCCUUUGAUCGUUUAGAUAGUGAUGCCAAAAAAUCAUGAAAUUUGAUUUCUAGAUAAUUUAAAUGGUCUAGAUCAUGUUCAAUGGUACCGAUCGUCGAUUUGGAAGCUCUAUCAUCAAAAAUAAAUCGGUAGUAAACCGAGCAGUAUACUACCGACAGUAGCCCAGGCAAACUAUAUAUAUAUAUAUAGAACUAGGCUAAUAUACUAUUAAUAGCACCAAGUCAUUGGUGUUACCAAGUUUUUGGCCAUUGGAUUAAAAGAUGUGCGGUUAGGAUGAUGUGGGCCUCCUAGGGUUGAGUGGGUGGUUGGUUGAAUUGUGUGAUCUAACGGGUGAAAAUGAUCAAAAGGGUAGAUCUAACGGCGGAAAAUUUGGUAACAACACCAAGUGCUUCGUGCUAUUAAUAGCAUAGCAGCCGAAUUAUAUAUAUAUAUAUAUAUAAUUUAUCAUUAAUAAUUAUUUUGAAAAAAUAAUUUUUGACAAUAACAUAACUGUCCAAAAGUUAACAACUUAGAAACUUCAAUAGGAUAAAUCUGUAAUUUUAAAAUUGUGUAAGCGUACAUAUAAAAUUAUCUCUUUAUUUUUCGGAAGAAGCUACUUGUACACCGAAAAAAGGUUCUAAGAUUUAAAAAUCCUUUAAAUUUUAGGUAAAACUAUAUAAAACUUAUUCAAAAUAUGGACCAUUUUGAUUUGACUAUCCGAUCUUUUAAAAUUUUGAUUUUUGUAUAUAAUCUUUCAAUUUGCCUUAUUUGAAUCGGCAAUUUGACUUCAAAAUUUAAGCUAAUUAUUUAUUUUAAUAAAUUUAUUGUUUCAAAAAAUGUAUCAAAUAUAUUAACUAAGUUUACAAAAAUAAAAGAAAUAUUUAAAUUUUUAAGUCAAAGUGCCGCUAACUGACUCAACAAAUAAAUUGAAAGAUUAAAUAGUAAAUCAAAAAUUUGAAAGAUCGAAUAUAUAAAUCAAAAUAAUUUAUAAUUUAGAUAAAUUUUACACGUUUUAUUUUAAAUUUAAAUAUAUCUUUUUAAAAAAGUGAUUACAUAUUGACUUUUAUUACGAGAACUAAGAUAAAAAGGGAAAAAUAUUUAAGCACCUAGAGGUAUACAACUUGCAUUGCUCUUACUUUUUCAUCUGCCAUUUUAGUAUAACGCUUGCGGGGACCCCACAGCGAGCCGUCACAAUUUCGAAAACACUACGUGCACCGCGUUCAAUGUCGCACCUCAAUGGACGGUCAAAAUGACUAAUUCGUUUUGAUGAACGGGUCGUAUAUGCGAAGUUGAAGAUAAAGCUAUGCACCGGGUGCACGAAAUAACUAGUCACUAAGAUAUUAUUAUCGCAAAAAAGUAGCAGCCACACCACCGCAACCCAGCAAAUCCACCGCCUCGAUCGUCUCCUCCUUUUUCUCCUCCUCCUCCUCCUCUUUCGUUCUCGAUCUAAAUUCCCCGAAUCCUCCGAUCUCGGAUCCGAUUCCUCACACCUUCGAGUCCUAGAUCCCCUCCCCCGAUCUCCUCGCUGCGAUCGCCGCUUCCGAAAUGGUAUUUGUCCCCUUUCUUUUCCGAUGCGUCAGUUUGGGUUUGAGAUUAUGAUGAAUUUCGCUUGUAUCGUCGAUCGAUCUGGUGUGUGCUGCGCGAUUUACACGUAUUUGUUUGUUCAGAUCCAUGUGAUUCCGAUCGGAUUAUGUUUUUUUUUAUUGUGGUUCUCUUAGGGUUUGUUGGGGAUUAGAUCCCUCAGUGUUUUAUCCCAAGUUUUAUCUCGUGAUCUCAACUUUUACAUCCUUUUUCGUGAGGUUUGUAGCGGUUUCUGUAAAGGAGUGGCGAUUUUUCUCAAUUUCCCUUUUUUUUGNGGAGGGGGGGUGUGUGGUUUAAACGUUCUUUGGGUAUUACUUCAAAUAAACUGGCGAUCUUUAUCAUGUAGUCUAGUAGAUGAUAUUGGUUUACUGUUUUUUGCGAUUCUUUUAUAUGCUUUAUUUAUCUUUCGGUGUCAUCUUUGCUGUUUCUAUUCCGCUCCCCCUCCCUAUUUUUGGUAUAUUUAUUUUUCAGUUAAAUGUAGUGUAUAAAUUAGCUGGAAUCUGAUUUAUCUUUUAUGUCUCAUACUUCACAGUUCACAUUUCUUUUCCAACAAGUGUUUUACUGUUGAUUAUAAAUAUAGUCUUGUUAUUUUGGAUGUUCAGAUUUGUCAUGCACUCGUUCUAUUAGAUUGUUGUACCACCAAUUCAGCUUAUCGUUGUUCCCCUUUCUCAAUGCUUUCGUGUUGAUGUGCACUAUUUUAGUUGGAUUAUGAUAGAUAUCAGUAAAUCCGUUGAUUUGAGGUUGGAUUUACUGGAUUUUGGUUACUAAAGUAAGAAAAUUUGUCUGUCUAAAUAUGCCGUCUCUGCUUAUUGUGGAAUCUAAACAUGGCGAAGGUAAAUAGGAUGAUAAACGAUUGAAUCCAAGUCAACUGCACUUCAUUCCGAACAACAUAUUUCAACCUCAAAUCCAGUUAACCUGAGUUCAUUGAAUCACAAAAUCAAUCCAAUUAUAUAUUGAUUUGGUAUCAAUUAAUGUUUAAAAAUGUUUACAGGCCAACGCAGCGUCAGGAAUGGCUGUUGAUGAUGAUUGCAAGCUGAAAUUCCUCGAAUUGAAGGCGAAGAGGACUCACCGCUUCAUAAUUUUCAAGAUUGAUGAGAAGCUGAAGCAGGUUGUAGUGGAAAAGCUUGGCGAGCCAUCUUCAAGCUAUGAGGAUUUCACUGCUAACCUCCCUGCCAACGAAUGCAGAUAUGCAAUUUAUGACUUUGAUUUUGUCACUGAAGAGAAUGUCCAGAAAAGCAGGAUCUUCUUCAUUGCAUGGUAACUUUUUGUUUGUUGCUUGCUUUCUUUCUUUCUUUCUUUUUUCUUUUUUCCUCCUCCUUGUUCUUCCUAGUUUUCCUUCUGUCGAGAAACACUUGAUGGUGAGGCUGGCAAACCCUACCUGUACGGUGAAUUGCAAUAUCAAAGCAUACAACAUUGAAGUUGACCAAGCAAAAAAAUUCUAUAUAUCUACUAUCUAUUGCAUAACAUUAUUUUCCAGGUCCAGUACACUCUGAGACAUGCCCCUUCUACAGACUUUAAAAGGCCAACUAAAAAAAAUAAAAAUAAAACAUCUAUAUGAGAAAAUGUAUAUUUUGGAGCUCUGCACAAACAUGGUGGAAGUUUUGUGUUUAUUCAACCAAAAAUAAAAUAGAGAUUCAUCACCAAGUCUUCUGAGUGCUACAGAUCCACCAGGAGGAGGCAUGAAUCUUGUUUAUCUUAGUAUGUGGAUAGGUUGAAGCUACUUCACAUCUGAAGUGUCAGCUUUCUUUCUUUUUCUCACCAGCCAAAGCUUUUUUCUUCUUUAAAGUAGACUUCAAAUCUAGCAGGUGCAGUGUAUAAUAUUAUAUUCCCCCUCAUAUUUGUUGGCAACUAGGCUAUCAAGGUGGCUAGGAGCUUCACAGGCAGAGAGACCCACCAGCUGCCUAGGCACAUCCUAGGCAUUUUAGUGGACCAGCUAAUGAUUCAUGCAGUCAUCUAAAUAAUAUCGUGGAAAGUUCAAGGGAGGGAGGGGGAAUUAUGUUUCAUUUCUAGUUCAUAAGUUCUCAUACAAUUGAAUCCAUCAAUGAUAUGUUAUAACAACUACACUCUGUACUACGUAGUACUUCAUUAACUAAUUAUCCAAGAGUCAUCACUCAAAGGAAGAAAUUUGAGAAAACAAAGGCAAGGUGUGAAUUUUAUGCCCACAAUAAUUAUUUGUUCAAUCUCCUUGUUUUACACUUAUUAUCUUCAUUACCUAACCUUCUUUCUCAAAAUACAACUAAUAUAGUUAGUGUAAAUAUAUAAUAUUCAGAUUUCAUAUGAAAAUUUUAACUGUCUAAGCAAUGACUAGUAGAUUAGAUGCUGCUUAGGUGGCUGCCUUACUAUGUUGCACAGACACAGAUAAGGGCUACCGAUAUGGCGAUAUGACAACUUUCGAAAAUCUUAUAUACGAUAUCAUCGAUAUGUUGGGGAUACAAUUAUAGAAAAUUAUUCUUAAUAUAUAUUAUAAUUAUUUUAUGUGUAAUACACGUUAAAAAUACUUUGGAAUCUUUGGAUAAUUAGUUCAUGUAUCACAAUAAUUGAUUAACUUGUGUAGAGAUAUGGACAUAGUAGACUUUUGUUCAUUAAGAAACAAAGCUAAUCAGGUCAUCGGUAAUCUUGAGGUUUUGUUGGUAUGAAUUCAUGUGCAAGUGUCAUCUCAAUUCGGAAGAGAGAUAACUUGUGUAACAAUUCUUUGAUCUAGCAACUUGAGAAUGAUUUCAUCCGCAAUUAGACCCUAUAUCUUGCAAGACUCCAUCAUGUAUCUGCCAAGUAUCCAACAAGUAUCUGGUAUUUUUUUUGAAUAUUUUUUUAAAAUUGGAUAUUCUUAUCAAGUAUCUUACGCGUAUCGGGUGUGUAUUGUGUGAGUAUCGAUAUCCGAAACGUAUCUGAUAUGGAUAUGAUAGCUAAAAUGUAGUAUCUGUGUACCAUAGUUGCUUUAUGAUCUAGGUUUCCAAUUUAUUUAGAAGGGCUUAAUCAACAACUAUUUGGCUAUUGCAAGGAUUUAAGUGCCCAACCCACUGUGCUAGACCGUGCCAGCAAGAUAUCGGCAAAAUACAGCCCCCCUGUCAGUGGCACAACUCAAAGCCUCUUUUCCUCAAAAUUAGCAAGUAGUUCAAUAAAGUGCAAAAGAUUUGAUAAAGAUAUAUCAUAAGCAAUUAGAAUAUAUUGGUGUCAUAGAAAAUAAUUAUUUAUGCCAUAGUGUGUUGGCACAUAGGUAUUUUCGUGAUUAGCAGACAUUGGUACUGCAUGGCAUUCAACGUGCCUUACGGUGUCAACAGUUCUCGACAUGACCUUAUACUGCAACACUUAAAUUCUUGAGUUUUUUGUUGCUUGGGUGUUUUGGGCAUAUAAAGCACCUAGGAGGUACUUUUGACGGCCAUUUACUGUGGUGAGACCGUUGUUUUAAUUGCUUUCUGUUUUAGUUGCUUGUUAGGACUCAUUGUUGGCUUGCCUCCAAAUUGAGCAUACGACAAUCAUGCGGCUUGUCACAAAUGAAGCAAGCAAGGAUUUACUUGCUCAACCUGAAAUCUCUAAUUACGGUGGUUGGUAAGACCUAAGAUUUAAUGUGUGACUGUGUUCAAUUUAAGAGCAGUCUUAACUGGUAAUUACAACAACAAUUAAUGGGAUUGAAGUUUUACUGUCUAAUUUAAAUCACAUGUAUGGAAGUAAACUUGCCUAUUUGUGGAAGUUGAAGGUUUCCUGUUUGGCUAGUUUUGGGCUUUUUGCUCAUUAAUUUCAGCUAAUUGCCUUCACCUAAUUUUCCUUCUGUUGGAUAGGUCUCCUGACAUUUCGAGAGUGAGAAGCAAGAUGCUUUAUGCCAGCUCAAAGGACAGGUUCAAGAGAGAGCUAGAUGGUAUCCAGGUGGAGCUGCAAGCUACUGAUCCUUCUGAGAUGGACCUCGAUGUCAUCAGAGGCCGUGCCAAUUGAAUACCAGCAGCGGAGGUAUUCUCCCUGCACUUUGGUUUGGUUUGGUGAAUGUUUAUAGUAUGUGGGAGGGUUGAUUUGGUCGAUAUAAUAUGGCUUGUUGUCUAUGUUAUAAAUACCUUAUUGCUUCUGAUGAAUCUUUAUGCCAUUUGGAGGUCAUGCAAGUUGAGCAUUCGCAGUGGAGAUGUUUUCCCUGUGCUUUGCUAGAUUUGAUUAAUGUUCACACUUCAUGGAAUGAUGGAUUUGGUAGACUAUAUGGCUUGUGUAGGCUAUUAAGUACUUCUUGCCCUAUUGGAAUUGUUUCUCACUUGAGUUACAUGUGUUAUAUGUUAUUUUCUGUUAACUUGUGGCAUGUGUAUAGCUAGGUAAAUUACAUCAAGUAGUCUCAAAUUUCAUUUUGGUCCUUGAACUUUUAUGUUUGACCUUUUGAGUCCUCAAACUUUGAAACUUGUUACAGUUAGUUCCUUAGAGGAAAAGUUGUUUGACCGUGCCAAGGUGUACGUUCCAUGCAUCGGAAAUAAACAUGCCUCCAUCCAUCUCAUACUUUUGAGACAACAGUCCCACGUAAGUUGAGGUAUGAUUUAAUAUGAGAACGGAUCAAGUUUUGAUAGAUGCAUGGUGCACCUCUAGUAGUAUGCAAGGACAAGGAUGAAAAUUAAACAGUUUUGAGAGUUCGGUUGUCAAAUGUUGAAGUUAGAAGUUCAAUGACCAAAGUGAAAUUUCGACCAAAAGUUUGGGGACUAGUGGUGCAAGUUACCCUUUUCUACUUGUAGUUUGACGCCUUCAUGCUGUAUGAUAUCCCAACAAUUUGUGUCUCAAUUCUCUCAGAACAAGAAAACAAAGCAAUUUGUGUCUCUAGCCAAAGUAUGCAACGGUUCCAGUUUGUUUAUGGUGUUGAGACGGAUGCUGGGCUUUGUUAUUUUGUCCCUGUCGUUUUAUGCUUUCACUCAUACCUUGUGUCGUUAUUUUGUGCCUGUCGUUUAAACCUUCUUUUGUUUUACCAAUAUUUCGUUUAAUCGGUAGCUAGAAAUUUGUGUGCCUGAGAUGGCACUGGAGUUUGCUUUUGAAGGUGAAGGAGAUAGAGGGAAGUGGAGUGGGUAGUAGUGGGGUGGGCAUGGUUUGGUUUUGCUGGUUUAGAUUGAAAAUGUCUGAUCUAAAUUUUUCUGACUUGUUUUUGGAACAAAAGAAUCCCUGGGGUGGGUUUGGUUUGGUUUGGUUUGGUUUGGUUUGGUUUGGUGGGUUCAAAUUCAAAUUGAAACUGAUUGACCUAAAUUGGUUUUAACACUGUUAAAGCCAAAAAUCAAGCUAUUUACUUUAAAAUUCAACGAAGUCUAAUAAAAUUUUUUUGGUUUGGCUUCAGUUUAGUUUGUUGAUUUGGACAUAUAAGUUUUAAAGAUGGUGCACGGCAAAACCCAAAUUAAAUUGAACCUAGGUUGUUGGCUCGGUCUGGUUUCUUCAAUAUUUGUGUAUUUUGGGUUCCCUGUUCUGCCUGGGAGGGGGUGCUGUUAAUUGUUCUGCAAAAAAAAAGAUGUUCAGGCCCUGUUUGAAAACGCGAAUAAAGUAUUUCCUUUUAUAUAUAUUAUACGGUACGAAGAUUUUUUAUUAUGAUUGUAAAAUAGAAAUACUAUCAAAUGUUUAAAAUAAUAAUAUAUUCAAUCUUCAAGUUAUAAAUCAUAUGGUAGAUGAAAUAUACUACUAUCCUAUCAAUUUAUAAAUGUCAAGAUCUUUAGGUGGCGUUUGGUUCGGAAACAAAAAGGCAAUAAGCCUUUCUUCUCUUUUUUGUUUUCAAACGCUGUGUUUGGUAUUCGAGAACAGUAAUUUUCAGUCUUUGAAAUAUGUCGGUAUAAUUUAGUAUCAGAUUGAAACGGCUGUUCUACCCUUUUUCUAGAAUAAGUUUGUUUUCAAGUAGGAAUAAAGUUAAUUAAAGUCUAAAUUUAAUUUUAAUUAUGCUAUUAAAUUAUUAAAUUAAUUUAAUUAAUAUAUUUAAAUUAUUAUCUAUUUUGCUUAAAUAGGAAAGUAAUUAACUAAUUUAUUAUUUAUAAUUAAUUAGCUAAUUAAUUAUUAAUAAUUUAAUGCGUUUAUCUAUAAAGUAAUAUUUAUAUUAAUCAACCAUUAAUAUAUUUGUUAAUCUAAUUUUUUUUUUUGCUAGUUAUCUAACUAAAAUAAUUUACUAACUAAUUAAAAAGUUAAAUUAUACUUUAUAUUUAAUUACGUAAUUAACAUAUUUUCAUUAUCUUAUACAAUAUUCUGAGCUAAUAACUUUAUUAAUUUAUUAAAUUAUUUUUAAUUAAUAUUUUGAUAUUAAUUAAUUAGAUAAAAUAUUUUUAAUUUAAAAUUAUAAAUUUUAUUCAACUUGUUCCAAUCUAAUAAUUCAAACACUAUUUAUCUUAUUCCUACGAAUAAUUUAAUUUUCAUCCAGACAUAAAAUUGGUCUAUUUAUACCUGAAUUUGUAUUUAUUUUUAGAAUAAAUAGUUUUUAUUUAUACCCGAAUUAUAUACAGUUUCAAUGAGCAAAAAUUGAACUCUUAUGUUUUAAUUAUAAAAGAUAAUUUUUAUAUGGAAUAUUUUAUUAUUAGAUAACUUAUUUCGACAUUCAACCAAAGCUUUAAUGCGGUUGAAAUUGAUGCCGCCAUUUUAUAGAAUAUUGGGGUGUGUUUGGUUCGAUGUCGGAGUCGGAAUCGGAAUCAAAAUAAGCUGGAAUCGGAAUCGGAAUGACUCAUUACCUAAUUCUGUUUUAUUCAUCACCUGAAUCGGAAUCGGAAUAAAUCAUUUCCAUUGUUGGUAUUUGGUUCGAGGGAUAUAAAAAAACGUAAUCAAAUUAAUAUACUAACAUUAUCUUUAUAAAUAAUAUAUUAAUUUAAAUUCAAAUUAAAAAUUAAAUAUUAAAAAUUUACAUCAAAAUUUUGAAAUAAUGUUAAAAUUUUAAAUCUAUUUUUUUUUUAAAAAAUAAACUUUGAAGUUGAGUGGAUAAUUCAAAAUAUGAAACUAAAAUUUGAUUUAUUCAAAUUCAAACUUAAAAAUUACAAUUUAAAUUUUAAUUUGAAUCCAUAAAUUUAAUUUAAGUUUGAAAUAAAAUUUGAAUAAAACUUUAUAUAAAUUAAAAUUUAAUUUAAAUUCAAAUUCAUAAGUUAGAUUCGAAAUAUUUGAUUAAAUCUUAAUUUUUAAUUUAAGUUUAAAUUAAAAUUUUAAAUUAUAUAUUUAAUUUUUAAAUUUUAACUCAUAUUUUAAUUAAAAAAGUUGAAAAAAUAAAAUUAAUCCGAAUAAAUAUUCAUUCCGUCCGGAUUAAACUACCAAUUCGGCCUCCUAGGCCGGAUUGAGAAAAGAGGUGAUUGGAAAAUUUUCAUUCCACUAGAGAAUCGGAGUCGGAACGGGACUCCCGCAUAUCAAACACCCACAAACGAAUUUAUCCAUUUCGAUUUCAAUUUCAGGAUGAAAAUGAAGCGAACCAAACACGCCUUUGGAGUGAUGGAGUGAUUUUGAUUGGAUUCAGUUCCACUUCAUUUCAAUCAGGUGAGCUAUAAUGGUUGUGGGAUUCGGCCGUUGUACUUCAUUUCAAGGAGGUGAGAAGCUAUAAUGGCUGUGGUCGUUGGUGACAACCUUCAAUAAUUUCCAAGAUUACAAUAAAACGAAAAAACUCGCUGAAAAAGUUAAGAGGAGGAGAUGUAAUGGUUGUAUACGAUUCUUAGCGAGCGGGGACGGGGAUUUAUGUUCGGCUCAUUUCAUAGCUACAUCAAGUCAAAAAAUUCAACAAGAAAUUAAGAGGAUUAGAAAUAGGAGUGUAAACGAAUCGAAUAUUAUUUAAAAAUAUUCAUAUUCGUAUUACCGAUAAUAUCCAAGUCCACAUAGAAAAUAUUCGGAUUCGAUCGGAUACGAUCUGAUAUUCGAGAAAAAUGGAUAUGAAUCAAGAUAUCCGGACUUUUAGUACUAUUAUUUUUAUAUUUUUUUUAUUUUUGGAUCCACCCGUCUUGCCCGCUCGGCCCACCCAAAUUCUUUUCCUCUAAAGUGAUCGCUCAAUUGCUCUUCAACGAAUGAAACCUAAUUCUCAAAAUCUAUCUCUAUUUUUCUCUCUACAGCAACAGCUCUCUCACCCUACUCAUUUCUCCGCUUUCUCACCUAUUAUCGAACCGAUCGCGGCACAAGGUCCGCCGUCUGUGAAGAGGAUGAUGAGUAUAAUUGUUUUUUGCGCGGAUGUAAGAGAAAUUAUUAAUACAUGUUGUGAGAAAAUAAGGUAAUUUUUUUGUGUUAUUCGUUUAUUUUAUAAUGAGUUAUAUAUUAAAAUUGUAUAUUUUAUACAUAAAAAAAUAAAGUGAGGAAACAAAGAUAGAAAAAUGAAGUAAUUUUUUAUUUUUCUCAUUUAUCAUAUAUGUGCAUAUUAAUGUAUGUUAUUAUCUGAAUACGUAUAUGAACCAUAUUCGAAUCUAAAAAAAUAUCCGACCAUAUCCAAAUCCGUUUUUAGCGGAUAUGGUAAAAAAAAUUUAGCAUCCGACACAUAUUCGUAUCCGAAUUCGUAUCCGAAAAAAAUAGGGUAAACUUCAAAUACCACCCUUGUGGUUUCGCACUUUCUCAUUUUAGUACCUUAUGGUUUAAAGUGUAUUUAGUGUCAUGUGUUUUCAUUUUUAUCUUUUCGUCAGCUUCUCCGUUAAUAUUUCGUUAAAUUAUAUACAAAAAACUUCAGAUACCCUACCUAGGUUUAUCGAAUAUUCACUUUAGUACCUUUUAGUCUUAACUUUGUCACUGAUUUAACGAAAAAAAUUAGUGAAAUUAAUAAUAAAAAGAUAAAAAUGAAACCACACGGGGCUAAAUUAAUACACUUUAAACUACAGGGUACUAAAGUGAGAAAGUGUGAAACCACAUGGGUGGUAUUUAAAGUUUUCUAAAAAAAAUAUGAAUGUUGAUAUAGUUUUGUCAAUUGUUUGAUCAUAUCCGAUCCGUUUUUCACCCUUAGGGCUUGUUUUGUUCAAGAGUGGAAUUGGAAUGGAUAAUGGAAUGAGAAUAAAUUGGAAUGAUAAUUGGAUUGCUCCACUCCCCCAAGACGUUUGGUUCAUUUAUAUAUAUAAAGAAAAUACUACUCUCAAGUUAGAGCUAUGGCAAAAAAAAAUGAAUUUGUUUUAAAAAUUUUUAUGCAAGAAAUUACAAAAAAAUGCCUUUUUUUUAAUGAUGAGAAAAGAAGGAAGCGAUCAAUACAAGAAGAGAAAUGAUGGAUAAGAUGGAGAAACGUUGGGCUGAGCCUGAGAAAUAGGUGAGUAUGGGCUUGGGAUUGAAAUUUCAAUUCGGGCUUGGAGAUCGGAAUCAAUUUGUAAGCUAAUGGAUUAUUCCCAUUUCGAUCAGGAAUGGGAGUCCCAAAUCGAUUCAUGUGAACCAAAACAAAUUAGCAGGAUUUGAUCAAACCGAUUCUCAUUCUAGAUCCAACAUAUACGAACCAAACAUGCCCUUAAUUAGAAAGGAUAUAUAUAUAUAUAUAGAUAGAUAUAUAUAUAGGCUCCUGUGCUCUCAAAAGCAUAGUAGCUCCUGUGCUAUUAAACUCUCCACCCUCCAUCUUGAUAGAUGGAGGGCUGAGAUUUAGAGACCACCCAGUAAUUGGUUCCACUGUUAUGGGAGUUAGGAUCAAUAGAGCCUAGCACAAAGCAUUUUUCUCUCUCAUCUUUUCUUUACUUUUUUUCUCCCUUCUUCUUUUCUCUCCUCCCUAAUAUCUCUUCUUCCCUCUCCCUCUUCCUCUACUGUGGAUCUCCCUCUCUUGUGGAUCUCGCUGCCACUGUCGCCGGAGAAGAGAUAGCCCUUCGUAAGGUAUGCCCUCUGCCCUUCUUCCUGAUCUACCCCUGCUUGAAGCUGCCUCGCCACCCCGACUUGAACCAACCACCUCGCCCCUCGCCUGAAAUUGCCGCGCACCAACUCCCCCACGCAUCGCGCCUGAAGCAUCAGUGCCUUCCCUUUCCCCGUGUCACGUCCCCCGUAGCUACCCCCGCGCACGAUGCCCUCCGCGCCCCACCCCCUGUCGCCUGGGCAUGCCAACCGCCACAUUGAAGCAUCCUCUAAAACCAAGAAAAAAAAUAGAAAAAAAAAUAAAAAAAGGCAAAGAAAACAGACAAAUAGAAAAAAAAAAACAAGAAACCACAAAAAAUAAGGAAAUAAAAAAGAAAAAGAAACUGGCUGAAGUUACUCUCCCCCAAAAUCGAAAAAAAUUAAGUUUCCUUAAUGCAACUUUUUUUUUCAAAUUUUUCUCAAAUCGAAAGAAAAAUUAAGUUUCCUUAAUGCAAUAUUUUUCAACUUAAUAUACCAUCUACUCCUUACACGUCCCAGCCUGAAGCAUACCCCAAAAUCCAAAAAAAAAAAAAAAAAAAUUAAAGCAUCACCCUAAACCUACAGCCGCCUACUUGAGGCAUUCCGCCGCCUAAAGCAUCCCCUAUCACGUCGCGCCUGAACAUUGCUCGCACCCCCCUUGAAAAAAAAAAAAAAUUGUUUGGUUAUUAUUUAUUGGUUGAAUAAUUUAUAUAUAAUAUAUUGUAGAUGGAAAUUCGCAAUUCACUAGAGUUAGAUAAUCAGCUGGAGAAUAUGCCCACUGAAAGCGCCACUAAAAUUGGUUUUACAUCUAUUAUCUUUGAUACUAGUUGUCACGCCCCGAGCCCGCCUCUUUGGCCGGAAUCGGGCACACCGACAGACCGUCGAACGGACAGGAUUUUUUCUGUACCGCGGACAGAGUCUUCCCUGUACGUUCAAGGCGUCGCAAUCAAUACAAUGUACGAGGUUCCAACCAGGAACACAUUUCAAUCAAAGAUUGUAUAAGGAAGUAUCAAAAAUAUAAAACUAUUAGCUAUUACAAGCAUUCAUAUCUCAGUUUUCAUUUUACAUUACAUUCAACUGCCAAAUGCAAUUAAGUUAUUACAAUGUACUACAAGUUUAUUACAUUUGUGUUCUUUUCAUUUCUAUACCCCUAGGCUAUGCCGACUUGGGGUACUGCUAUCUCUGGUCUCAGAGUAGGGCGCUAUCUACGGAGCUACGCCCUUGCCUCGGGCCGCCGCGCCGCUCACGUGCGAACCUGUAACACCCAAAAGCAACGUGGGGUGAGAACUAACUCCAUAGUUCCCAAUGGGUACGACCACCCAAGGGAAAAGCUCGACCAGGAGGUCCAAAGGAGGCAAACAAUAUGUUAGUUCAAUAGAUAGAUAUGAAAUCAUAAUUUAUGCAACUAACAAAUAUCAUGCUUUGCCUCACAAAUACGAUAAUGCCAUUCUAUAUGCAAUUUAUGCAACAAUUCAAGUAGAUUAAAUGAUCCUACUAUUUAUUCUUAACCAUUCUUUACUCUUAGCCAUUCAUUAUCGCUAAUCAUUCUUUAUUAUUAUUAGCCACUCUUUAUCGCUAGCCGUUCUCUAACGCUAGCCAUUUCUUAUUAUUGGCCGUUCUCGAUUCUUUGUUCUUUAUUCUUUACUAAGGGUACUCACAUCUUAGCCAUAUUAUACACAUUUGCAAUUCUUUCCUAAGAUUAUUUUACCUUAGCCAACUAUGCCACUCGACUCGGUCUUGAGUCAAUCAACUGCGGAUAAUCAGCGCUCUGUCCGGCUCAAGGUGAAGGAACUCUUAUAUGCACCUCAGACUUCAAGCUACAAACCACAUCGCCCAAUGGGUCGCCCAGAGCUGCGUACACCCGUGGUCAGGGAUCCCCCAGUGGGAGAGGAACAUGCCGUAUACACCUGCAGCCGAGACCCCCCGAUAGGGAGAGGAACAUGCCACAUACACCCUAGCACUCAAGAUUCUUCCGGUGGGAGAGGAACAUGCCACAUACACCCGCGGCCAAGAACUAUCGAGCUCAUAUGCUGCACUAGCAGCCGCUGCACUCGCAACCAGGAUUCUGGAAUCCACUUUCAUAACUCGAGGGUUGGUCUCACCCUAUAGUAUCGACCUAUCUAGGUCCAAGCCUUCACUCAACCUAAGUUAAUACAUUAGGUUCAAUGACACUAUGUUCAUAGCCUAGGUUCAUUAACACUAGAUCCAAUGUCCUUUGCCACCUAGGUUCAUUUGAUUCUAGGUUUAAUGCCUCAAUCACAUAACCUAGGUUUACCUAACUCUAGGUUCAGUUCACAACCUAUAUUCACGACAUUAGGUUAAUGCCACUCACCUAGAUUCAAUUAACUCUAGGUUCAUUCUCAACCUAUAUUCUUUAUCACUAGGUUAGAUGCCACUCAUGAUUCACCCUAGGUUCAACAACACUAGGUUCAUAUCCGACCUUUGUUUAGUAACACUAGGUUCGUUGCCAUUCAUGUCCAACCUAUGUUUCACACACUAGGUUAAAUACCGCUCGAUCUACUUGGCAUUCUAAUUAUCCCCAUCGAGUAUUAUCAUGCAUCUUAUCUAACAUAAUCAGCAAUAUGUUAAUAUGAUGCUCUCUAACAUAAUCUCACAAUGCUAAUAUAUACCUAGCAUGUAUUCUACAAUACAUAUAAAUAUUAACAUGCAUCUAUCCACUAGCAUAUAGUUUCCAUGCAACAGUAUGUAACUAUCAACUUAGCAUAAUUCUCAUAAUGGUACAUGCACACACUUUCCAUCUAGCACACUUACAAUGCCAACAUGUAUAUUCUUUCUAACAUGAUCUACAACAUGUUACCAUUCACUUAUAUGCUCUAGCAUGUUCUAUUACCUGUUAACAUGAAACAAUCACUAGCAUAUAUUUUCAAUGCAUCAAUAUGCCAUUAUCAACUAUCAUCUAGUAUGAUUCACAUGAUGCUAUCAUGCAUAUAUAUUCUCCAACUGGUAUUUAAAUUCACAUGCAUACAUUUCUAUCUAGCAUAAUUACAAUGCCAUCGUGCCCAUACAUAUGCAUCAACAAGAACUUAUAUUCCACUUUGGCAUGGAGGCGACCUAGUCGUUUCGGUAAGCACAACCCAUCUGUUAUCGCGUUCCGAUUGCUUGUAGUCACUUGCAAUCGGCCUACCGCGGCACCCGUUGUCCGGUUCGGCCCGAACUCGCACUCGACCACCAAACGACCACCAAUCCGCGAUCUGAAAAUUAAAUGUCUAUAACUUGAUACCACAAUACUCCGGAUCCGUUCUUGUGAUUUUUGGACGUCGCCUCGGCCCUCCAGGCGGAAACGAAGUCGAAACGUCCGUUUCCUUCAUAACUUCGCAUAGGCUCGACAAAUCGCCGAACCGACUUCGCCAACGCGUCGGAAAUACUUUUAAUUAGGUUUGUACAGGGUUAAUUUAGAUCAAACCCCAUCGUUUCACAAAACCCCAUUUUUGGAGCCCUAAUAGUGCACUAUAGCAACAUAUACUCUAAACCCAUUUAAAUCAAGCAUUAACAAGCAUGAUUUCAUCUUGAGAUUCAUCUAAAAUCAUUCGUAGGUCAAUUAAACCGAAUUCUAAGGUUCUACCAUUAAAGGGUUUGAAGCUCACCUCAAAAGCUUCCUUUUCUUGAGCCAAUGAUGAAGAAGUAGUAGCUCAACUCCAAGCCUUCCUCUCCACCAAGCUUCUUCUCCAAUUCCUCUUUGGUGGAGAGAUUACAAGAGAGGGAGAGAGGGUGGUGAGCUAGAAGAAAAGAGAGAAAGAGAGAAAGACUCUCCCUUCUCUCUCUCUCGGGUUGAAACGCACAAAGGGGAAGGCCUUUUGUUACACAAUAGCCCCCCCAACAUCAUACAAUUUACAUUCAGUUUAGCAGCUCAGGUACAUAUAUUUUUCGCCUGCCCUUCUGAAUGUUCGUUUGAGCUCAAAUUUGAUAGUCAGAUUUGGUUUUACUUAACUUAAUGAAAGAAAUUUUAAUCUUUCAGUUUCGACCACAUUUGGUCACCGAAAGCUCUACCGAAAUGUAAUCUCUAGCAGAUAGCAGUCGGAUUUUAUUUUUCAUCUUCCGAGUGUCAGAAUGACAUGAAACUUUAAAUCUAACAUCAUAAAAAUAUUUUCGACAUAAUCUCCAAUUUUCAUAAUUUUCUGACACUGUGCAUUUUCUGCUAAAAUAUUAGCUCCGUUUCUCACAGAAAAUUCUAAAUCUUCUGUUUUCAUUCCGAUUUCAGCACAAGUCAUUCCUAACUUAUAUUUUAUUUCUCUAAAUCCAAUAAAAAUAGUAUCUCACACUAUUUUUAUUUAUUUCUGCUUUUAUAUCAAAAUUUGGUAUGUUACACUAGUAAUACUCAAACCACCAUUAAUACUUUCGACACUGAAAAUGAAAUUCCAUGGAAUCAUGAUCCGAAAAUUAGUGAUUCUGAUGGAAAAAAUAAAAUUCAAUGGAAUCAUGAUCCGAAAAUUAGUGAUUCUGAUGGGAAAAAUGAACUUUGAUGUAAUAAUGAGUUAAUAAUUGAAGAUGAACCGAUGAUUAAUGAGCCAUAUAUUGGAAUGGAGUUUGGUAGUGCUGAUGAAUUAAAGAAUUUUUAUAAUAUGUAUGCCUUUAAAACGGGUUUUAGUAUCAAAAAGUCUAGUCAGUACAAAUUUAAAAGGUUUGACAAUAUAAUCUCAAACAUUAUUUUUACUUGUUCAAAGAAAGGAUAACCAAACCAACCUACUCAUAAAGGAGAUGAGAAUGCAUCUUCGCAAAUAAAAGGCACACUUAAAAAAGAAAAGCCUUGUAGAAGAACAGGUUGUAAGGAACAUAUAAGGGCAAGAAUGGUCGAGCAAGGAAAAUAGGUGGUAUCAAAGUUUCACAAUGUGCACAAUCAUGAAUUAAUCGUGAGUCCCUCAAAAAGCCGUUUCGGUAGAUUGUAUCCCAAAAUCUCAAAAGAUCAACGAGAAAUAAUCCAUCAAUUGAGUAAGCAAAAUAUUUCAACCUCUCAAAUAAUGUCAUAUUUGGUAGCAAAAAAGGGAGGACGAUAAAAUAUUCACUUCACAUGUAAGAUUUGAUGAACGAGGUUUCAGAAAAAAAAAAGGCUACUCGGAUUUGAUAUAUCUAAUGCCCUAAAUUAUUUCUGUGAGCUACAAAGUAAAGAUUUAUCUUUUUUUUAUUCCAUUGAUGUCGACGAUCAAUACAUGACCCGCAACAUAUUUUGGGUUGACGGGAGAGCAAAAAUGAUUUACAAACAUUUCAAUGAUGUGGUGACUUUCGACACGACCUAUUUGACAAAUAAGUAUAGUAUGCUAUUUUUUUCAUUCACUGGAGUGAACCAUCAUAGACAAUCAAUAUUUUUUUGGAUGUGCUCUAAUUAGAGAUGAGACAGCUUUGGUCAGAAGCAAUGUUUGGUAUUUAUUCAAAAGUUAUAAUUACUGAUCAAGACCUUGCACUGAAGAAGGUGCUUGAGAUUGUAUUUCCAAAUAUCGUACAUAAGUGUUGUCAGUGGCAUGUAAUGAAAAAGGCAAGAGAGCAUUUGAGAGUAUUAUAUAACACCAAGUUAGGAUUUGAAGAAGAAUUGAAAGAUUGUAUAAACUAUAGUUUGACAGUUGGAGAAUUUGAAAGUGAGUGGGCAUUGGUGAUCGAAAAGUACAAGUUGAAUGAUAACAAUCAUUCUACUUUGCUAUGAAAAACACGCCAUCAAUGAAUUUUUAUAUUUUUUUCGAGAUACAUUUUUCACAAACAUGUCAACCUCACAACGCAGUGAAAGUAUAAAUGCUUGGUUGAAUUUAUUACUGGACUCUCAUACAUCUAUAUAUAAGUUCAUUAUGCAAUUUAAGAAAAUUACAACAACUUGUAUGAACGAGAGGAUGAGAAAAUUUCAAGCAUAAAGACGGGGAGGCUCGCUGUCACGCCCUGAGCUCGAUCCUUUUGGUCGGCUCGAGCGCGUCGAACAGACGCCGAAUGGACAGAGUCUCCCCUGUCCGCCCAAGGCUCAACAUCCUUUACAAGUAGAGUAUUAAUUUUGCACAAAACGGAAGCAUACACAAUGGCUUGCACGAGGGCAAGCAAUAGCCAAUAAUGAAAGUAAUAAACUACACUUAGGAAAUUAUUUUUCUUUUUUUGCAUCAUUUCUUCUUUUUUACAUCACAUGAUUUCAAAAUAUAGUUCUUGCAUUGAAAUAUCAAAUAUCUUUUACAUUAUUUAUGUUCUUUACCUUUAAUAUCUAUAGUCAUCAAAAUACAUAAGGUGAUGUAUAAAGGUAUGCAACUACAAAAUGGAAACCCACUCGGGAGAUCUCUAUCUAGGGCGCGAUGCCCUUACCGCGGUCGUCCGCCGGCUCGCUCGGUCCCGGCUCUGUGGAAAUAGUGGGGUGAAAACUACAACAAAGUUUCCAAUGGGUUCGGCAACUGACCAUGCCGAUUUUUCCACUAGGUCGAAAUCAUGCAUAAUAGAAGAAUAGAUAGAUAGUAACCAAGCUAAGGCAAAUGCAGCUAAUAUGCCUGAACAAUAAAUAAUGCUAUGCUCAAUAAAGUAUUCAUGAUGAAUGCAAGGUCACUGCUCAGAACCCAAUCUCUAGGCUAGCCCGUAGGUUUCGCCCACAAUAGGCUCACCAACUCAAAUCCCAGUAUCGGGGAGACUACUACACCCGACGGGACCGUCCUCUGGGGAGACUACUACACUCAGUGAUGACAACUCCGGAGCACAUCGCCCGAGGGGGAGCUACCAUCCUCGAGCAAGGACUUACAGGUGAGUAUGAUCCAAUCCUUAACUAUAAGGAUGCCGAGUUCAAUCCAUUCCUUAACUAUAAGGGCUUGUUUGGUUCAAGGGUAGAAUUGAAAUGGAUAAUUGAAUGGGAAUGAAUUGGAUUGGUAAUUGGAAUGACCCACUGCCCCAAGACGUUUGGUUUAUUUGUGGAUUAGGAAUUGGAAUGAGUUAUUCACAUUUCAUUGUUUGGUUCGUAUAAAUUAAAAAAAUUAUAGGAUACUAUAAUACUAAUUUUACUCUCAAAUAUAAAUUUAUAUUAUUUAAAAUUUAUGAAAAAUAUAAUACUAUUCUCUAAUAAGUUUUUCAAAAAAAAUAUCAAAUUUAUUUUUAAAAACUUUUAUUGAUGUGGGUUAGGAAUAGGGUUUUGUGAGAGGAUAGGUUUUUUUUUUUUUUUUUUUUGAUGAGAAAGGAGUGGAGAGAAGGAGGGUGAGAUGGUCACAUGGGCUGCGAGAACUUAGUGGGCUUUCGGAAUGAAAUCUCAAUCUGGGCUAGAAGACCGGAAUCAAGCUGAAGGCUAAUGGGCCAUUCCCAUUACAGUCCGGAAUAGGAAUCCCAAACCGAUUCAUACGAACCAAACAAAAUUAACCGGAUUUGAUCAAACCGAUUUCCAUUCCAUACCCAAAAUGGAUGAACCAAACAAGCCCUAAGGAAGCCAUGCACUAUGACCCUUAAUUCUAAGGUUGAAAUUGUCAUAAUGUCACUAUCACACUUUUACUCACAUUUUUUACUUUCACUGGUAUCAUAUACACUACUAUGUUCUUGUACACAUGCCACACUUGUUUUCUAAGUGUUCCAACUCUAGUAUUCUCGACUCAUCAAUAUCACUUUCUACUUCUAUGUCAAGAUGUCACAUUUGUUUACUAAGUCCACUAAGUUCUUAUCUCUUGUCAUACAUAAAUAGGGUUAUAAAAUUCUCACAUUCUUACUAGUAACUCACAUGCACUUGUACUCACAACAUACAAUAAAUGACUCAAAUAUAACCCUACUAUGCAAUUUAUGCUCAAUACACAUAUACUCAAAUAUGACACUUUAGACAUAAAAGGAAUUCCGAGGUUUUCGGUAUGCACCACCCACCUUAUAUGGUUGUAAGGGUGUUACGGUGAAUUUCUUGAAAUUUUCGAAGCUCAACUUUUCGUCUGCGGCAAAACGAAGCCAAAUUAGGCUUUUUCUCAAUAACUUUAUAUAAACCUUUUCGUAACGUCAAACGGAGUUGUCCCACGCGUCGGGAAUACCCCAAUUAGGUUUCUAUAAAGUCAAUUUGCCUUAGAAACACCUAGAGGCAAAAGCCCCAAAAUCCAUACCCUAACAAUGCCAUAAGGAAAUUUCUCCUAGAUUGAUCUUAUUUCUAAGCAAAAGCUAGCUUCGAAACACCUAGGAAGCAUGCUAAUAUCAUUACUAAACCUUUAGAACCAUUCCUAGGGCAUCAACUUUGGAUUCUAACAAUCCACCGUGAGAAGGUUUCAAGAAAACCUGAUUUCAUAGAGUUCAAGGCUCUAACAUGCUUUUAGAGCUUCUAAGAAGUCCAAAACUCUAAAACUUCGGGUUUAAAACCAAACCCUAGAAGUAAUCUUGCAUGAACUCACCUUUGCCACAAGCUAUCCCCAAGUUCUUCUUGAAGGAGAGUCAACAAGACCACCAAAUCUACCUUCUCCAACUUCUACUCCUUCAAUCCUUGCUCUAGGGCAAGAGUUCUAGAGAGAGAAAGAGAGAAAUGUGAGAAGGAGGGUGAAAUGGGUGUUGGCUGUGAAGGGGAGGGGUUUGGGUUCAUUUAUAGUAUGUCACAAUUGCAACAAAGCCCCCUAACAAUUGGUAUUUGCAACAGACCUCAAAGGUGCUGUCAGACCAAAGUGUACCGGUACACGGAAUUUUGUACCGGUACAACUCUGCGCAGAGGCCAAACUCGAGAGCAACUCUCUCGGUUUCGUAGCAUUUGUACCGGUACAUUUUCAAAGUGUAUCGGUACACUUCCAAUUUUUCUCAAACCCGAGAGUAUACUCUUCUUGGGCUGCAGAGCUGUACCGGUGACAACUCGAUGGUUGUACCGGUACACUUUGCCCAGAAUGCUAUAUUUGCGCCGUUUUCGAUUCUAUUUCGCGCCGGUCGAUGCUAAAAUCUUUCUAACACCUCUUAAACUCAUUUUUAGCCCUUCCAAUCUUGUUGGAAUGCUAAAUGAAACUUGUUCAACUAUUUCUUUCGCAUUGUUCACUUUUAAAUCGCGCCGAGCAAUGCUAAAACUUGCUUAACACUCUCGGGAUUCGACUUUGACCCUUCCAACAUUGUUGGUAGGUUAAUUGGAACUCGCCCAAUUAAUCCAUUCGCACACUUUAGUCAAUUUGGCUAAAAUUCACUAGUUUCUUUAUCGAGGUUUCGAUACGUUACAUUCUCCACCCUUUAAAAUUAGUUUCGCCCGCGAAACUUACUUAAUUUAAACUUAAACUCAUACCUCAAUUUAGCUCAUUGAAGAGAUGAGGUUAAUGCUCCCGCAUUGCGCUCUCGAGCUCCCAAGUAUCUUCCCGAUCGUCGCGGUUGCUCCAAUGAAUUUUAACAUACGGAAUUUCACGGUUCCGUAGUUUUUUCACUUCUCGAUCGACGAUAAAUGCCGGGAACUCCUCGUAAGUCAUAUCCUCUUGAAGCUCUAUCGGUAUAUACGAGAGGACAUGCUCGGGAUCAUGAAUAUACUUGCAGAGAUUCGAUACAUGGAACACAUCGUGUACUCCCGCAAGUCUCGGUGGUAGUGCUAUCUUGUACGCCACUGCGCCGACCCUCUCCAACACCUCGAACGGUCCAAGGUAUAGGGGACUUAGUUUUCCCCGGAGUCCAAACCGCCUAAUUCCACGCAUCGGUGAUACCUUUAGGAAGACGUGGUCUCCAACGGCAAACUCUAUAUCUUUCCUCCGUUUAUCGGCAUAUCUCUUUUGCCGAGAUUGCGUCGUAGCGAGUCGUUGGCGUGCGAGGCGAACUUUCUCCUCCGCCUCCCGCACUACAUCGGGGCCAAGAGCUACUCUCUCGCCUACAUCGCUCUAAUGAAUUGGAGAGCGAUACUUCCUUCCAUAAAAGACCUCGAAUGGCGCCAUCGCGAUACUUUCUUAAUAACUAUUGUUGUACACGAAUUCAGCCAUCGGUAGAUGAUCGUGCCAACCGCCCUUGUAAUCAAGUACACACGCCCGAAGCAUAUCCUCAAGUAUUUGUAUCUUUCUCUCUGAUUGACCGUAACUUUGAGGAUGAAAUGUUGUACUAAAGUCGAGCCGUGUGCCCAAUGCCUCCUGUAGGCUCCUCCAAAAGUGAGACGUGAACCUUGGGUCCCGGUCUGAUACAAUUGAUACCGGAACACCAUGAAGUCUCACAACCUCGUCGAUAUAUACUUGGGUCAACUUGUCCCCCGAUCAAGUAACAUGAAUUAGUAGGAAAUGCGCCGACUUCGUCAACCGGUCUACUAUCACCCAAAUUGUAUCAUGUCCACCUUGAGAUCGGGGCAAUCUGGUCACAAAGUCCAUCGCGAUAUUUUUUCAUUUUCAAACGGGUAUAGGUAUGUUUUGUAAUUUCUCCGCCGGAAACCGCCGCUCCGCUUUUACUUGUUGGCAAGUAAGACAUUGCGCAACAAACUCUCCAAUGUCUUUCUUCAUGCCUGGUCACCAAUAAUGCAAUUUCAAAUCUUGGUACAUCUUGGUGCCACCGGAGUGGAUACUAUAAGGAGAUUGAUGCGCUUCUUGCAUAAUCGCCUUGCGAAUGUCCUUAUUCUUAGGUACACACCAAUGAUUACGAAAUUGAAGUGUGCCGUCGGUCCCAAUGCCAAAAUCAUUGGCACUACCACUCUCAACUUCACUGCGCACCUUUUGGAGAUACUCAUCGGAAGCUUGUAGCUCCUUUAUCCUCUCCAACAAGGUCGGUUGCACCACUAAGGUAGCAAGUGUAGCCGGCACUCCCGGCGCUACCACUUUCAAACAAAGCCGUUGCAUCUCUUUUUGCAAUAACGGUUGGGGUGUAAUUGCCGAAGCCAAGUUUUUCCCUGAUUUUCUACUAAGUGCAUCGACCACUACGUUUGCUUUUCCGGGGUGGUAUAAGAUGGUGACAUCAUAGUCCUUUAGUAAUUUCAACCACCGUCGUUGUCGCAUGUUUAGCUCUUUUUGGGUGAACAAGUACUUGAGACUUUUGUGAUCCGUAUAGAUCUCGCAAUGUUCACCAUAUAAGUAGUGCCUCUAUAACUUUAGCGCGAAGAUAACCGCCGCUAGCUCGAGGUCAUAAAUCGGGUAGUUCUUCUCAUAAAUCUUCAACUGACGCGAAGCAUAAGCUAUAACUCGGCCGUUUUGCAUCAAGACACACCCGAGACCGACAUAGGAAACAUCACUAUAUGCCACAAAAGUCUCCCCCGGCAUCUGCAAUGCAAGCACCGGAGUCGUCGUCAAUCUUUCCUUCAACUCCUUAAAGCUUCGAUCGCAAUCGUCGCUCCACACAUAUUUCACUCCCUUGUGUGUAAGGCGCGUUAGUGAAGUAGUUAUUUUGGCGAACCCUUCCACGAACCGCCGAUAGUAGCCCGCUAGCCCAAGAAAACUGCGAACCUCCGAUACGCUCGUUGGGCGAGGCCAAUCUUUAAUUGCUUCUAAUUUCUUCGGAUCCACCGAGAUACCCUCACCCGAAAUCACGUGUCCUAAGAAAGUGACCUCCGAUAGCUAAAAGUCACAUUUCUUCAACUUGGCAUAUAACUUCUCCUUUCGAAGUAUUUCCAAUACGGUCCUCAAGUGCUCCUCGUGUUCUUCCUUGGUCCGAGAAUAUACCAAUACGUCGUCAAUGAAUACCACGACGUACCGGUCCAAUAGCGGACGGAAGACUCGAUUCAUUAAGUCCAUAAAACUGCCGGGGCAUUAGUAAGCCCAAACGGUAUAACCGUGAACUCAUAAUGGCCAUAUCGCGUACGGUACGCCGUCUUGUGCAUAUCCUUGGGCCGUAUCUUCAACUGAUGAUACCCCGAUUGAAGGUCUAUUUUCGAAUACACCCUCGACCCUUACAACUGAUCGAAUAAAUCAUCAAUCCUCGGCAACGGUUACUUGUUCUUAAUUAUGACCUUGUUCAACUCACGGUAAUCCACGCAGAGUCGAAGUGUGCCAUCCUUCUUUUUGACAAAUAGCAUCAGAGCUCCCCACGGUGACACGCUCGGCCUAACAAAGCCUUUAUCGAGCAAGUCUUGCAACUGUGCCUUUAGCUCCUUUAACUCCGCCGGUGCCAUUCUAUACGGAGCCUUCGAAAUUGGCGCCGCCCCGGGAAUUAAAUCAAUAACGAACUCGAUCUCCCGGUCCAGUGGCAAUCCCGGUAACUCCGCCGGAAAUACAUCCGGAAACUCACACGCUACCGAAUACCACUAAGUUCCGGGUACACCUUUUGGGCUUCUACCAUUGUCGCCAAGUAGGCUACACAUCCAUCCUUAAUUAUUUUUCUUACUCUCGCCGCCGAUAUAGUCGCUGCAAAGCGCCUACUUUUACACGCUCGGUAUACUAGCUUUUCUUGAUUAGGCCCACGGAACGUGAUCACCUUACUUUCGCAAUCUAUCAGAGCAUAAUACUUGGAGAGCCAAUUGAUCCCCAAGAUUACAUCGAAGCCCCACAUUUGCCUCAACACCAAUAAGUCGAUCGGCAUAAUCCAAUCGCCUAACUGUAUCAGACAAUCCAAACACUCGUCAUGUACAUGGAAUGAAUGUCCAGGUGUAUUCACCGUCCAAUAGUCCUCAUUAUGUGUGACCUCUAUGUCAUGAGCUAGUGCAAAUGAUGCCGAUAUGCAUGAAUACAACACACCUGUGUCAAAUAAUGCUUUAGCUCUAGUGCCUCUGAUCAAGAUAAUACCUGCCACGACGUCGUCGGGGACUGGAAUCGGCUCCUCCACCUGAGUGGCAAAAACCUACCCACUCGGUAUUCUAAAUGCCUCUGGCUGACACAAUGAUGAUGAGCGUCCAGCCGACAUAGCCGAGGGUAACCCCGCUAGCUGUCUCGGGGUCGAAGGAACUGAGGCCGCCGUCGGUGUAGACGACGCCCAUCGGGCACUCCCGUAUCAUAUGUCCCGCAUGACCGCACUUGAAGCACUUUCCUUCGCCUUGCUGGAAAGUCAUCGGUCGAUGCUCGCCGUCGCAAAUAACGCAAUGGGGAGGCUUCCCGCUCCUCGCUUGCUGUCGGGGAUAUCGAGGGGGUUUCUUUGCACUUGGCCGACCCCCGGCACCGCCGGCCGCCCGCUUCUUGCUCUUGUCCUUUGCCUCGGCUGCAGACUCGCGCUCCUCGCGUUCGUGGGCAUAGCCAUGCUCCGCCCACAAGGCUCGAUCAAAGACCUCCGCAAAGGUCGUCAGCUUGAGAAUUUGCACGGUCCUUUGAAUCCCCGGCCGAAGUCCUCGCAAGAACCAAUCGGCCCGGUCCCGGUCAUCGCGAACAACCUCCGGGACACAAUCGAUAAGGUGGGAGAACUCCUGCUCGUAGUCCGCCACGGAGCGAUCCCCUUGCCUCAACUUUCGGAAUUUUUCUUGCAACUUCCGCUUCAUCGUGUCGGGGAAGUAAUUGGCGAACAUCGCUCUCAUAAACUUCUCCCACAAUAUAGGUGGAAAAUCGGGAGAUCGAUCCCGCCUAACUCGCUUCCACCACACAUUUGCCGCCUUCUCAAGGCAAUGUGUGGCUAGGUACACUUUGUCCUUCUCCGAGGUAUGCAAGUCCUCGAAGAGUGUCUCCAUGGAGUCAAUCCAUGACUCCACCACCGCCGGUUCCACCACUCCCCCUUCGAAGAUAGGUGGGUUGAACUUAUUGAACUGUAUGAGAGCUGCCAACGCACGCUCCCGCUCCGCCUCAUCCGCCGCACUAUCGGGGUUUGAGGUCCUCGAUCUGGUCGGUAUCGUCGUAACUGGCACAGCCGCUGCGGACACACCCUCGGCUGCGCUCGGCACUACUGCAGGGGGCACAGGGUGCACGGCCUCCACGGGCACCGCCGCCGCCGCCUGCUGUCGCUCCAAGGCUUCCUGGAGCCUUUGGAUUUGCCCCCCUUGGCGUUGAACGGACUCCGCUUAUUGCUGCACUACGCCAAUAAGCGCGGCCAUCUGCUCCCGAAGCUCUCCGUCGCCACCUGCUCCAUGUUGCACAGGAGCCGCACUUGGCUCCUCGGCCAUAGACCUCGUCCGCGGUUGACCACGAGGCAACUUAGGUCGUCCACGAGGUGGCAUUGCUUUCUGAAAUGAAGCAAUUCACAUUAGUUACCCAUUACUAUACUCGAACAUACCCAAUUCGGCGAAAGCAAUAAGUGUAUUUAUUUUCCUUCCAAAGCAUCAUGUCGUCGGUCGUCGAUCACAACACAAGGAAAAGAAAAAUAAAUAACAACUUAAAUUUAGUCCCUAACCAAUUAGAGACAUAUUUACAUCAACCCAAUCAUAAGCUUUUGCUAUAGUUUGAUUCCACGUCGCUCACGUUUUCCUAGAUCCUUAAGGUUUUUCAUUCCUAAGGGUCUCUAGGUCCAUCCUAUACUUUUACUUUUUGGCUCUUUAGGCUUUGAUACCAUUAGAUCUUUCACGCCCUGAGCCCGAUCCUUUUGGCCGUCUCGAGCGCGUUGAACAGACGCCGAACGGACAGAGUCUCCCCUGUCCGCCCAAGGCUCAACAUCCUGUACAAAUAGAGUAUGAAUUUUGCACAAAACGGAAGCAUACACAAUGGCUUGCACGAGGGCAAGCAAUAGCCAAUAGUGAAAGUAAUAAACUACACUUAGGAAAUCAUCUAUAUCUUUUUUGCAUCAUUUCUUCUCUUUUACAUCACAUAAUCUCAAAAUAUAGUUCUUGCAUUGAAAUAUCAAAUAUCUUUUACAUCAUUCAUAUUCUUUACCUUUAACAUCUAUAGUCAUCAAAAUACAUAAUGUGAUGUAUAAAGGUAUGCAACUACAAAAUGGAAACCCACUUGGGAAGUCUCUAUCUAGGGCGCGAUGCCCUUACCGCGGUCGUCCGCCGGCUCGCUCCGUCCCGGUUCUGUGGAAAUAGUGGGGUGAGAACUACAACAAAGUUCCCAGUAGGUUCGGCAACCGACCACGCCGACUUUCCCACUAGGUCUAAAUCAAGCAUAAUAGAAGAAUAGAUAGAUAAUAACCAAGCUAAAGCAAAUGCAGCUAAUAUGCCUGAACAAUAAAUAAUGCUAUGCUCAAUAAGGUACUCAUGAUGAAUGCAAGGUCACUGCUCAGAGCCCAAUCUCUAGGCUAGCUCGUAGGUUUUGCCCACAAUAGGCUCACCAACUCAAAUCCUAGUAUCGGGGAGACUACUACACCCGACGGGACUGUCCUCUAGGGAGACUACUACAUCCAAUGAUGACAACUCCGGAGCACAUCGCUCGAGGGGGAGCUACCACUCUCAAGCAAGGACUUACAGGUGAGUAUGAUCCAAUCCUUAACUAUAAGGAUGCCGAGUUCAAUCCAUUCCUUAACUAUAAGGAAGACAUGCACUAUGACUCUUAACUCUAAGGUUGAAAUUGUCAUUAUGUCACUAUCACACUUUUAAUCGCAUUCUUUACUUUCACUAGUGUCAUAUACACUACUAUAUUCUUGUACACAUGCCACACUUGUUUUCUAAGUGUUCCAACUCUAACAUUCUCGACUCAUCAAUAUCACUUUCUACUUCUAUGUCAAGAUGUCACAUUUGUUUAUUAAGUCCACUAAGUUCUUGUCUCUUGUCAUGCAUAAAUAGGGUUAUAAAAUUCUCACAUUCUUGCUAGUAACUCAAAUGCAAUUGUACUCACAACAUGCAAUAAAUGGCUCAAAUAUAACCCUACUAUGCAAUUUAUGCUCAAUAUACAUAUGCUCAAAUAUAACAUUUUAGACAUAAAAGGAAUUUCGAGGUCUUCGUUAUGCACCACCCACCUUGUAUGGUUGCAAGGCUGCUACGGUGAAUUUCUUGAAAUUUUGAAAGCUCAACUUUUUCGCCUGCGGCAAAACGAAGCCAAAUUAGGCUUUUUCUCAAUAACUUUAUCUAGACCUUUUCGUAACGUCAAACGGAGUUGUCCAACGCGUCGGAAAUACCCCCAAUUAGGUUUCUACAAGGUAAAUUUGCCUUAAAAACACCUUAAGGUAAAAGCUCCAAAAUUCAUACCCUAACAAUGCCAUAAAAAAAUUUCUCCUAGAUUGAUCUUAUAUCUAAGCAAAAACUAGCUUAGAAAUACCUAGGAAGCAUGCUAAUAUCAUUACUAAAUCUUUAGAACCAUUCCUAGGGCAUCAACUUUGGAUUCUAACAAUCCACCAUGAGAGGGUUUCAAGAAAACCAUGAUUUCAUGGAGUUCAAGGCUCUAACAUGCUUUUAGAGCUUCUAAGAAGUCCAAAACUCCAAAACUUAGGGUUUAAAACCAAACCCUAGAAGUAAUCUUGCAUGAACUCACCUUUGCCACAAGCUAUCCCCAAGUUCUUCUUGAAGGAGAACUUCUAGAGCCACCAAGACCACCAAAUCCACCUUCUCCAACUUCUACUCCUUCAAUCCUUGCUCUAGGGCAAGAGUUCUAGAUAGAGAAAGAGAGAAAUGUGAGAAGGAGGGUGAAAUGGGUGUUGGCUGUGAAGGGGAGGGGUUUGGGUUCAUUUAUAGUAUGUCACAAUUGCAGCAAAGCUCCCGAACAAUUGCUAUUUGCAACAGACCUCAAAGGUGCUGCCAGACCAAAGUGUACCGGUACAUGAAAUUUUGUACCGGUACAACUCUGCGCAGAGGCCAAACUCGAGAGCAACUCUCUCGGUUUCGUAGCAUUUGUACCGAUACAUUUUCGAAGUGUACCGGUACACUUCCAAUUUUUCUCAAACCCGAGAGUAUACUCUUCUCGGACUGCAGGGCUAUAGAGAAACCCGAGAGUAUACUCUUCUCGGACUGCAGGGCUGUACCGAUGACAACUCGAUGGUUGUACCGGUACACUUUGCUAAUAAUGCUAUAUUUGCGCCGUUUUCGAUUCUAUUUCGCGUCGGUCGAUAUUCAAACCUUUCUAACACCUCUUAAACUCAUUUUUAGCCCUUCCAACCUUGUUGGAAUGCUAAAUGGAACUUGUCCAACUAUUUCUUUCGCAUUGUUCACUUUUAAAUCGCGCCGAGCAAUGCUAAAACUUGCUUAACACUCUCGGAACUCGAUUUUGACCCUUCCAACAUUGUUGGUAGGUUAAUUGGAACUCGCCCAAUUAAUCCAUUCGCACACUUUAGUCAAUUUGGCUAAAGUUCGCUAUUUUCUUUAUCAAGGUUUCGAUAUGUUACACUUUAAUCAAUUGCUGUUGUGUUAUUUUAAGUUGUUGGGAUGCAUUUUAGCUUAAAAUGGAUAGUAAUGUAUAUGUGACUAUUACACUUCUAAAUUCUUACUAUGACAUGUAUCCUAUUAUUUUCUACUGUUGAUUGGAUUCUUGUAGGCAGGCAGGCUUAACAGUUGUGUAGUUAAGCCUUAUUUCAGUGUUGAAAGGAGUCUGUGAAAUAUUUGCCUAUUAUGCUAAUAGCGUGCAUGAAUAGUUGGAUUUUUCCAUUAGUCAUAAUUUUUUGCUUUUGGGUUUUAGUUUUGCUGAUUUUUAGAUAUUUGAUGUAUUUUUGAUGUUUUAAAAAUUUUGAAUAUUGUUCAAAUGCUAUUUGUUUGCUUGUAUUGUUGACAUUCUACACUACAUUUCUUACCAAGUCUAACAAAAAAAAAAAUAUUCACAAAGAAAAUAAUAUUGUUAGGCCAAUAAAGCGCGGCCAGGUGGUACAUCAUUACUUCACCCAACUGUUUCUUAAGAAUAGAAAUUUUUAUGUACACCAGGAGAAUCGGAAGAAGCAUCGCAUAUAGCUGAGGGAAGUUAUAGUAACCGCAAGCUGUUACAAGCGGUUCCGAUCGGCUGGAAGUGGUCCCGAAAAAUAGGGAGAGUGGCCGAUCAUGGAUGAAAAAUAACUGACCAACAUGGGCGAGUUAUAAAUAGGCAAAUAACGCCCUGAGAAGAGCUAUUUUCUCCGAGAACAUGUAGCACACUGGACCUUUACAAAUUGCGAGGUUCGAGUGUUUGAUAUGGAAUCCGAAUUUUUCCACACUUGGUGGAAGAUCGUAAAUGGUAUUCCGAUCUAAAAGUUCGAUUUCUGGAGUUUUGGCAUUGUCUUGAAAGUUUUCACUCUCGGGGACCGGUCCCUGAUAGGAGAGACCGGUCUCCUCAGAACAGUGCUGCGGCAGGACUUGAGGCAACCGGUCCCUGGCGGAUGAGACCGGUCCCCGAGCGCGACUACGCGGGGAGAGACCGGUCCCAUGCGGGGAGAGACCGGUUCCCGAACGUUGGUUUUGCGGGAUGGACUGAGAGACCGGUCCCAGGCAGGGAGAGACCGGUCCCUCUGGGCGAAAUUUGCCCAGACCGGGCAGUGCACACAUUGCACAGUUGAGGGACCUAAGUGGAUUUUGUUACUUGGGAUGGCUUAUAUGGCUUUCUCUCUUCCUCUCACUCUCAUUUCUCUCCGUCACACCCACACUAGAGAGAGAAAGAGAAGGAGAAGAAGAAGAAGGAGAGGAGAGGAGCUUACUUGGAGGCCUUGGAGCAUCAUCUUUUUCCUCUCAUCACACAUUGGUGGCUUAGAGCUCGUGGUUGAGGCUUUGUGGAGGAUCAAGCUUCAACCCUUCUUGGUUUAGAGCUUGGAUUGGAGCUUCUCUUGAGGUUGGUAGCUUGUAUUCCCCAUUUAUUACAAGUUUUUUUAGAUUUUGUUAGGUGAAACCCUAGAUUGUGGAAUUGGGGUUUAUUUUGGGGAUUUUUGAUUUGAGGGCUUUGAAACCUAAUUGAUGGGUUUAGAACUUUUAUUUAGGUUGGAUUUGAAGAACUUUAACUCUCAUUUGGAGCUUGAGAGAGGAUUUCUUCACCUAGGUGAGUUUUUCUCUACCUUACCCUAUGUUGCUUAUUGAUCGAUCACUUGGGUAUUCGUAAGGUUCGUUUAACUCUCUUUUCUAUACCUUUAGGGUAUUAGGAGAGUGGUGGACACCUUCGUCGGAGCUUACGAAGGGUUUCGAUAAUUUCUGUGGGUUUGACUUCAUGAGAACGGGGCAAAAUGACCCCUACGCUUGUUAUACUUGUCGUAACGCCUUUUUGAAUGCAAAUCCAUGCUAGAUAGGAUUUAUGUGAAUUUUAGAACACUUAAAAUGCAUGCCUUAUGUAUUAUGAAAAUUUCACUCUAUAUAGUAGACCAUUAUAGGUAAACUUCAUAUAUGUGAGAAGUGUUCGUGUUAGUGACUUGGAAACAUGUCUCUUAAGCUAGAAAUCGCUUAAAUUAUGCAUUUGCAAACAAUAAACUCAUGUUUGGACUUAGUGGACAAAAAUGCCAUAAAGGGGCACUUGACAUAGUAACCUGUGAAACUGCAACAUAGAGACGUAGUGAUAGGCCAUUGAACAUCUGCUAUAUUCCAUGUUAGAGACAUGAUGACAUAGAGAUAGGCCUUUAAGACAUUCGACGUAUAUUCCAUAUUUUUAGACAUGAGGACUUUGUACUUGAGACAGAUCUUCCGCUUGCUUGCCAUUGUGCUUAUUCGCACAUGCUUGUGAGGGUCGCUCCCUACAAGCCAGCACUCCGGAGAUAGCCAUCUCGACAUAUACUCGCUCGUGCGGGAUUGGGCGCCGAAAUGGGAUGCCGUGGGGAGGCUCAUUCCUAGAGUGGGGAUGUUGACUACCACGGGGCCAUUAGGUACGGCGCAGGCCGGACUACCCACGGGUAGGUCCUACAGGAUUGGAUCAUUGAUGACUUAGCAUACCGACUGGACAUUGACUAGAAUAGUAAACAAGACAUUUUAUUAUUUAGCUUGUGGACAUCAUGCUAGUGAUACCUUGGUACAUUCAUGUUAGAAUAGUCUUUUAUUACUUAUGCAAAUUCAUGCUAAGUAGAGAUAUCAUGUUGUAGUAAGUUUACAUGUUUACUUACAUACCGAUUCUAUUGCUUUUAUUGUUACUUACCUGUUUAGCUCUUUGGGCCUAGUGGUGCUUUCACUGAAGUCAGUAAUUGCCCACUGAAAACUAUUAUUUAAUAGUUCUCACGCCCCUGUUUCUAUGUUUUCUUUUCAGAGCCCUCUGCACCGGCGGAGGCACGGGAUCGCGGCAAGGGUAUCGCUAGCUAGAUAGCGAGGAUUUACCGUUGCUUAGGUGGUUUUCUCUCUUUUUGUUGUUGUUGAGAGAAAGAGGGGGGUUUUGUAUCCAUGUAUAGAGACCACCUAUGUAUUUACUUAUAGCACUUAUUUUGGGAUUUCUAUUGUUCUACUUUAAGUUUUCUUCUAGUGGAUUUUAGUUUUAUGGUUCUUUUUCUCUAUUGUAGCAUCUAGAUAUACUUGCUCUGAUACUCCUAGAUGUUCUCUUUUACUGCUUCAUUUAUCAUUUUGUUCUAGACGCCUUAUAUGUUUUAGACAUAUGACGGGUCUGGACACGCGCCAGGCGGGCUUCUGCUGGGUCCCGGGGCGUGACAGAAUAGAAAACCACCUUUAUUUUCUCUGUAAUUUUCUCGCAUUUUCUAGGAGUAGUUUACCUGUAAUCCUUUACUUUCCUGCACUUACUACUUUUCUCUAGGAGUAGAAUCUUAGCUAGAUCAACCAAGUCUGUAUGCCCUGAGGCACACUCGACCUUUGUAUUGUUUCCACAAGUUACAUUCAAUAUAUAUAAAGGCAUUCGGCUCUUUCAGCCGACUAGUCAUUGUGUAUUUCAUCUGUUCGGCUCUUCUGCCGACCCAAGUUUUUGUGCAGUCCGUACAUUCGGCUCAUCCAGCCGAACCGAUUCUACAGUAAAGAUUUUUGAACUCGGCUGAUCUGAUUCCUCGUCAGCCGAAUCGCUUGAUCUAGUCGAAUGGCGCAAACUUCGAGGGUCAUUAAGCUUAGCCGUCCCACAUCCCGACACGCUUCCUGAGGAAGAUCUUUCACCAGGUCAAAGAAAGGCGAGUUCGGCUCCUAAUAAUUUUUGGUACGCCUAGUGGUACACCAAUUUAGGUAAAUUUAUAUUUUAUUAAAAUUAUGGUUGAUGAUAAUGCCAUGAAUUUACGCAAUAUGGUCGUUCCUAGAAAUUUCGGAUAAUGCUGGAGAAGCGAUCAACCAAGUAAUUCGGAUAAUGUUGGAGAAUGCCAAGCGGUCUUGCCUAUCGAAGGUGAGAUUAGUGGUCAAUCUGACCAACAAGAGCCUAAUUUGGCUCAAGCGCUUUGACAAAUGACACGGGUCCUACAAGUAUUGGACCAGAAUAGUCAUAGAAGCAUUGCACGGUUUGAUGCAGUAUUGGCCGCAAUCACGGCCUCUAACGAGAAUAUUGCCCGAAUAGGGCAAUUAUUGACUCCUAACUAGCAACCUGUGACAGGCUUACAAGCGCCUGUAAUGAUACCGAUGUUACAAAAUCCUGUAACACCGGCAAAUGGUCAGCCCCAAUACCAGGGGGCACCAUUUCAGGCGGCUUACAGACCGACUGUUGUUAAUGCCGGACAGCAGCCAGAGAUAGCAUGGGGAUUACCAUCUCCUCCGCCAGUAGCGGCAUAUCAGCCCUAAAAUAUAGGGGCUAGAGCUGGGGGGAAGGCUUCGAAUAUACAAGGAGUUAACCCUGUUGUACAGAAUUUCAGACUACCACAAGGACCGAAUGUAGUCCAAGCACAGGUUUCUUUACAGGGGAACAAUAAUGAAAUAUACGCACAGAUUGAAGAAGUCAUCCGAAAUACUUUCAGAGUUGGCGCAAGGUCGGCAAUGCGGCCUGUGUUUAGAUCUUCUUAUCUUGCAAAUAUAGAUGCAGAGCAUCCCUAUCCAGUAAAUUGGAAAAUGCCGAAAUUCGAUAAAUUUUUCGGUGAUGAGACCGAAAAUACGGUCGAACAUGUCGCACGGUUCACGGCACAAUGCCGAGAAGCCGCCGCGGAUCCGUUUUUAAAACUUAGAUUAUUUAAUACCUCGUUAACCAAGACAGCUUUUACUUGGUAUACGAGUCUGCCGGCUAAUUCCGUCCAAGAUUGGGACGAAUUAGAAAGGAAAUUUCACAAAUAAUUCUACAGAUUAGAGCCAGAAUUGUCAGUUGAUGAUCUGGCUCAAUUUAGGCAGAGAACAGGGGAAUCGGUUGAAGAAUACUUAAACCGAUUCAAAACGGCCAGGAGCCAUUGUUUUGUAAGGAUGCCGGAAUCAGAGUUUGUCAAGAUGGCAUUCAACGGCUUACAUUUCAAAAUAAAAGAUCAUUUUGAAGGCAAAUAUUUUUCAAAUCUAUUUGACUUGGGAGUUCGGGUUGCUCAAUAUAAGCAAUUCCGAAAAGAAAAUAAUGAAGAUCGGCCUAGAUGGGGCCGAAAAAAAGAUUGGAACAAAGGAAAAGAGAAAAAUAUCUCUUUCCUUGAAGAAUCUUCGGCUCAAGAGGAGCCGAAUACAUAUGAGGAAAUAGAGGAUUCGGCUGAUGAAGCCGAAAUAUAUGUGGCGGAGAUGGUAAAAAACCGCCAACCGUAUAAAUGUGCUUUGUUAAAGCCCGCUAAAUCAAGCGAGGCAAAAGCUCGAGUGUCAGCAUAUACGUAUUCUUUUGAUGUAUCUAAAACUGAUUUAAUUUUUGAUCGGUUACUAAAGGAUGGGCGAAUUGAGCUACAUGAGGGUCAAACUAUACCCUCUGGAGAGGAAUUAAAAAGGAGAAAAUACUAUAAAUGGCAUCAUUCAUGGAGCCAUAGAAUGAAUGAAUGCACUGCCUUUAAAAGGCAUAUUCAAAAAGAAAUAAAUAAAGAUCGGCUCAUAUUUGUCGACCAAGAAAAUAAAAAUAUAAAAAUUGACAAGAAUCCUUUUCCAUCACAGGUCAAUAUGGUCGAUAUCAAAGGGAAGGCGGUCGUAGAAAAAAAGACUGCCGAAAGUAUUGCCUACACCAAGAGAACUCUUCGCCUCUACAUAAGAUGCAAGGCCGAAAUGACCAAGAGGCCCGUCCUAUCUGUCGAAGCUAUACCAAUCACCACCAUGCCGAGUUGUUGGUGGAGAGCAAAUCCAACCAGGACACUACGACAUCAACGCAAACGCACAAAACCUGACUCCGAAGUUGCACUUGUGGGCGCUACCCAAACGAGUAUGCAAGUGUGUCUCUACCGAGCUCAAUCAGGCUCUCACAGGCUAUAAUCAAAGCAAAUGGGUCUAACCGAUUUAACAACAAAAGUUCACGUGCCCUUGGCACAAUCUGAUGCAAAAACAGAAAUCUAGGUCCACCGUCAACCGCGACGGCACCCCACAGUCCGAAAAAGUCUACACACUACUGUAAAAUAAGCUCAGCAUCCCAGCACGAGCGUAAACUCAUUCUACACUAAUCUGAGUAUCCACUGCAUACAAAUUGCGGCGAUACAAACACACUACAGCUCCUAAAGCUAAAUCUGGUAGUUUUUAGAAAAUGACAGUGUAGGAUCUAAUAGUUUUCUCCUAAAUCAAAUCCAAGUCCAACAUGUAUAAUUCAUCUAUAUCACUAACUAUGCUUCAAAUUCAGAUUUCAAAAAACAUGCAAAUCAACGAAUUCGAGCUAUUACACAUGAUAUACGAAGCCAAAAAUACAUACUGUAAACUCCGGCUUAGGAGGAAAUCCGACGAUUUCGGUAAACAUUAACCUAUCUCGAAACGCUAAUCCAACUACGGCAAGAAGUCGAAAGGAGAGGAAACCACGCGCUCGCCCGGCCUCCAACGAUGCAACCGCGACGCACGCACACUCGAACGACCCUCUGAAUCGACGUCGAAAUCUCCCGAGCUCGAGCCACAGCCUCCACUAAGCACACGAUCAAAACGAGAGAGAGAGACAAAAAAGGAGAAGUAUCCCAAGCUCAGUUGAGCAAGUAGAUAAAGAUGAGAGAGGGUAGGUGGCGUUCUUAUCCACCAACACAAAUGACCAUACUACCCUCCACCAACUCAAAAAGCUAGCUGGAGUACCGGCACCCGAUUUGGUUAUCAGUACUCGGCCUCUCAGUCCGCAAGCUCACACACAGGGUACCGGUACCAGCCCGAUACUGUAUCGGUAUUCAACACUGAAAUCCUGCACUUUGCGGAUUUCAGCGUCAGAACUUCACUUUCGCCUUGCGUCGAGUCCGUUUUGUGUCCAUUUGGUGCCAAAACGACUCUGACUUGUCCCGACACUCUCCAGAUAUGUCGACAAGCCUCAGAUGUUGAAAUCUCACUGGUAACCAAAAUACUAGGGAUACUACAUCUAUAUCUAUAUAAAAUAAUGAAAGUUGGGUUCUCGGAAUGCGCCAUGUGACAGCGCGGGCGGACGCGGCGCGAGCGGGCGCGGAAACUCCAAGUGGCAGCGGGGGCGGGCGUGGGCACGCUCGAGGGAAGCGGGUCGCGCGAGGGCAGGCGCGACGCGGGUGGGUGCGGGCUCGUGCAAGGGGCACGAGCGGGCGCGUGCGCGGGCGAGGGUCGCGCACGGGCGCGAGCGAGCGCACCCGGGUGGGAUUUUUUUUUCCCCUUCUCUCUCUCUAUCUCUCUCUCUCUCUCGGCAGUGGGGCAUUUUCUUUUUUUUCCAACUCAUUCCUCUCAUUCGCUCCUAUAUGACUUUUAUUUUAUUUUUUUUAGGAAUUGAGUUUCUUUUUUAAAUCCAACCUAAAUCUUUUUAUUAUAAAAAUUUCAAAUAUAUAAUUUUUUAUACGUGAAUUUUAAAAUCUAACNUUUUUCCAACUCAUUCCUCUCAUUCGCUCCUAUAUGACUUUUAUUUUAUUUUUUUUAGGAAUUGAGUUUCUUUUUUAAAUCCAACCUAAAUCUUUUUAUUAUAAAAAUUUCAAAUAUAUAAUUUUUUAUACGUGAAUUUUAAAAUCUAACUUAUAGAAUGAUUGAAUUGUAAAAAAUAAAAUUUUAAAACAUUAAAUUUUAUAUAGUUUUAUUUUGAUUUUAAUAUCAAACUUUAAUAUUAUAUUACAAUUUGCUAAGCGAUCAAUUUUACAUUUACAAUUUUUGGAAUAUCCAAAAUAUAAUUAGUCGCCUCUUAAUUUUAACAAUUAUGCAUUAUAAAAUUUGUUAGAUAGUUUAAUAUUUUUUUUUUUUCAAAUAAAAUGACUAAUUUAACAAAACCAAUCGAUACUCAACUAUAUCUUCAUUUAGAAUAAUUACAUUUUUGGUCUUCAAAUUAGUAGGAUCUGUGACAAUUGUUCCAAAUAUUUUUUUAAACAAAUAUUGUGUGGUACCGCGGACGGACGCGGCGCGGGAUGUUAAUAUAUAUCAUGUUUUAGUAACUUUUUAGUAAAAAAAGUUAUUUAUAAAAUAAUUUUCAAAACUAUGAAAUUUGAUUAAUUUUUAAUUAAAUAAAGUUGUUAGAAUAAUGUUUAAUGUAUAUAAUAAUACUAUUUGAUAAUAUUUUUAUUUAGUUAUAAUUUUUUAAUCUUAAAAAUUUAAUAAUAAUAUAUUUUAAUUGAUUGAAAUACCAUCUGCGCGCUGCGAAACGCGGGUUCUGCGCCAGUUUAGCUUUACCGGGCGCCAUCCUAGUUUCAUCGUUUCUUUUUUCUGUUUCUCUUACGUGCGUGCUGAUGUCCGCACGUGCCAGAUUUUCUAAAUCUCUUGCGCGUGUGCUGAUGUUAAUUUGCACGUGCUGCAAGGUUUUUCUAUUUUCGUUUACGCGUGUGCUGAUGCGUGCACGGCAUCCGCAGCCGUUUCCUCCUGUAUAUUUCCCAACAUACCCCUCCAGAGCCGUUCACAACCCCAAAAUAUCAGCUCAUCUUAUCACAGAUUCACAAUCAUAGGGCGUUAAAUCGAGCAGUAAUUUAUUCGACGCAUAUUUAAAUAUUUAAAUAUAUAGAUAUAAAUGGUGUGCAGAGUUACAUGCCUACAUAUACUUUCAAAAAUAUAAACGUGUUGAUAUUUUUGACUAUUUGAUUUCUAAAUUAAAAUUUAUUUUUUUUCUGAGAAAAAGAUAGCACAUAUGUCACCUGUUUUUUUUAUAUUCAUAUACAAAAUAGAUUCAGCUACAGAAGUUGAGACUUGAGACAAUUCGACAUCGAAUAAGAUAUAGGCCCCCAUACCAAAAAAUAAAAAUAAUAUAAAAGUAAAUGAUAAAAAAAGAAAACUUAGAAAAAUAAAAUAAAAUAAAAUAAGUAAAUAAAAUUUAAAAAAAAAGUAAAACUAAAAUUAUAAGAUUAAGAUGAUAGUAGUUCUCUGAAAUUUAGUGAUCCCUUUUGGAGAAUAAUAUUAAUCUAAGCACUAAAAAUGAUCAAAAAGUUGAUCUAAGUAUUAAAAAAUGUACCACAGCCGGACUCUAUAUAAAUCAUACACUCUCUAUAUAUAUACAUACUGAGAUUUAUAAAACUUUUAAAUUUUUAGUUUUAAAAAGUUGGUGAGGCAAAUAAUAAAUAAGAAAUUUUUAAUGAGUGGAGUGUAAUAUGUAUAACUAAUUUAGGGGUGCAAUAAAUAAAAAUAAUAACUUAAAUAUAAUAUUUUAUAUUAUUUUUAAAUAUUAGGUUGGAAAUUGUUAAUUACUACUUCAUAUUUUUUACUUAACUAACAAAACGUAAAAUAUAUAAAGCGAAAAUAAUUAGGUCGGUUCCCAAAAAAUGGGUUUUAUUAAGUUUUUCCGAUUAUGCGUUGAAAUGAGUUUUAAAUUUGUCGGAUUUUGCCUAUGCCUCGUACAUUAAUGUACAAACUAAUUAAUACUAUGCAUUAAUCAAACUAUGUACUAUGCAUUGUACAAACUGUAAGUGCUAUGCAUUUAUCAAUUACCUUUUUCGUCAACUUUAACCUUAUCAUUUAUCCAAUUACAAUUUUUUUCCCUUGAUAAAGAUAAGACCUUUAAAAUUAUUUAUAUGACAUAAAUAGGAAAAAUAAUAGGUUACAUGGUAUAUACGAGCAAACGCGAGAUUGAGGUGUAAACAAUAAUUUUUAGUCUAAGAAAGGACUAAAAUGAAAUAUGAUUAAGGGUUUAGGGACUCGUUAGUAAACGUAUUAUAGCGUUGUAAAUGUGGAAAUCAAAAGCUUUAUUAGGAACCAAAUUGAAACUUGUGUGAACAUUCACAAAGACCAGCAAUUCAAUUUACCCAUUUUAAGUUUCUGACCGUAAAAAACAUUUAAUUAUUUUUAUAAAAUAACUAUAUGACUUACUUAUUUCAUUUUAUUUUAAAAAGUACCAAACAAUUAUUAAAUUUUGAAAUUUGAUAUAUAUAUAUAUAUAUUUUAUAAUGAUCAAUACUUUUAUGUUUUUUAGUAUUCGUUGUUGGCUUAAAUGGACCAACAUUCUAUCAUGUGACGGAAGGCCAGGUUGGACUUAGUGAUAUGCGAGAUGAUGUAAGGUUGGGUUUGGUCGAAUCAUAUUUGAAGUGGCAUGAGGCUAGUUGGGCCGAGUCACAAUCAAAAUGCAUUGAUGCUGUGUCUGUAUGCUUUAAGUGAAUUGAUUGGUAACAUUCAGAACGUCCGGCGGAGAAUUUGAUAAUAAUCUAAUUAAUAUACUAUGAAUGCAGAAAACUAAAAACAUUAAUAUAUAAUUCACUUUGUAUUUUAUUAAUAUAAAAAGUACUUGAAUUAGCUAAUAAAUUCACAGAUUUUUUAAUUUUUUUUAUCAAUAUUUGUGUGGAAAUAAAAAAAAUUUGAAGAAGUAUUUGGGCAACAAACCAAGUGUUUGUGAUUUGUGAUGGAGGAUUCAAAAAUUUAGAGAAUUUUGUCUCUAUAUUUUAAACAGUACGAGGACUAAACUGCAAUAUAGGAUGACAUAGGGACUAUUAGCACAUUUCACCAUCGUCCUUUUGUUAGAUCAUUUUUUUUUUUAUCAGGGUAUAUUAGUAAAAUCGCAUUUCUCGCACCUGAUUCCACCAACGACCGUGGAAUCUGCUCCCCGUCGAUUCAACAUAAUUCUCCCUCCUCAAAAAAAUCUCCGCCCCCACCCCCACCCCCAUUACCCACACUACGUCCCCCCAUGGCGGCACACGGCGACCUCGAAUCCUCGCUCCUCCGCGAUCCUGCGCCGCCCCGGCGCACCCGCACCCUCGUCCCCGCCGCCCUCCUCUGUAACGAUCCCACAACCCUUUCUCUCGAUCUCUUCCCGAUCAUCUCAAACCCUAACGUCAAAUCGCUGUUGUUGCUGUUCUUAUUGUUGCUGUUGCUUUUUUGGGGAUUGAUCCGCAGUUCUAGGGCUUUUCCUCCUCUACUGCGGCGUCGUCGUCGUCGUCGUCGUCUUCGAGAGCGGGGGGGAUUGGGGCGAGGAGGAGGAGCAGGGGAGGCGUCGAUGGCGAUGGGGGAGGGGGGAGGGGGAGGGCGAGGUGGAGUCGGAGGUGGGAGUGGUGGCGGCGGACGACGGGAGGUGCUCGGAGGUGGGGGCGGCGGCGCUGAGGGCCGGGGGCCACGCCGUCGACGCCGCGGUGGCCGCGGCGCUCUGCCUCGGCGUCGUCCACCCCGUCUCCAGCGGCCUCGGCGGCGGCUCCUNCUUCCUCGUCCUGCGCGCCGCCGCCUCCGGCCGCGCCCUCGCCAUCGACGCCAGGGAGACUGCGCCCUCCGCCGCGUCCCAGGUUCGGAUCCCCCACGCCUCUCCCCCCGCCCCCCUCGCUCUCUCUCUCUAUAUGUUUCUCUCUCUAUGUCUCUCUCUCACUAUGUUUCUCUCUGUACGUCUCUCUCUGAACUAUUGUCUUGUCUAACCUAAAGAGAGAAUUUUUCUCUAUAUAGCCUCUUUUUAAUAAAAUAUUUUUAAUUUAACCUUAUUUUUAUAAAUUAGAAAAAAAUAAGUUAAUAACUUUUUUUAUAGAUUAAUAUUUUAAGUGGGUGGAAGAUUUUUUUUUUUUUUUCUCUUCUUUCUCCUAUUUUCCAAAUGUCAGAAGUUAUAAAUUUAUCAUUAUUCUUACUCUUAUAUUUUUGUAGUCUGUUUUAUACGUGCAAUAAAUUGCCAAUCUUUUGUUGAUAACUAUUACUAUGUUGAGACACUAACAAUGAUCAUACAAUUAAUGAUUAUUGGCAAUCAUAUUCUGAUUCUAUCUUAAUUCCAAACGAAUUUAUGCAGAGAUAAAAAAAAGAGUCGUCCAAAAUCAGCGCGGAUUCAUAACGAUACGGACAUAAGAGAGAAAAAAAUAAAUUACAUGUAUGUGAAAUUUGCAGACAGAAAGAACAUAAUAGAUAAAAAUGCCCUAGCUGAAAAAAAUAAGACUAUAUUAGAAAAAUGGAAAAGGAGAGAGAAAAAAAUCUCCCACCCACUUAAUAUUUUAACGUAUUUUUUUCUUCUAAUCUAUAAAAAUAAAACUAGAUUAGGAAUAUUAAAAAAAAAAGGUUAAAUAGGAUUUUUUCUUUUUCCCUAAGGAGGCUAGGCAAUAAUUCUCUCUUUAUGUCUCUCUCAAUGUUUCUUUCUCCCCCCUGAUUGGUGUGAUGUCAUUAUUGCGUGAACCGGGUGGAAAGGCCAGGGGGGCCCGGAAAGAGUGGAUUUUAGCAGGAGUUAUUACCUGCACCGGGUGUAUCUUAUUUUAUGCACCAUACUCCUAAAUACUCAUAUAAAGAUACAAUAACGGAGGCUUCAAAAUCAAACCUUGAUUCAUGUUAGGAUUUGGUUAGAUUUGUAGUUGAAUCCUAUUUAGAUAAGAAUUAAUAUUUAAAUCUGUUGGAGAUAAAUUAAGAUUUAAAUAUUAAUUAGAGGAUAAACCUAACUAGAUUAGGACUAAUAUUUAAAUCUAUUAGAGAUUGAUUAAGAUAGAUUUAGAUAUUAAUUGGAGUAGAAAUCCUAAAUAUAUUAGGAUUGGGGUACGUUUUAGUGGAGCCUUAUAAAUAGCUCUUUGUGGGUUUGCUUUUGAGGUGAGUACGGGAGAGAGAAAAAAGAGCUCUUGGGUGCCGUACUAGAGAGAGAAAAAGAGAGAGAGAGUUAUUCAAUGAGUUGAGUGCAUCUAGUGCACGGGUGCGCGUGGAUGAUUGUCUUCUUUGUGGGAUCAUAGAAGACGAGAGAAGGGUAGAAGAAAUUCAAAAAAGAGGGCUCGAGUUGUAGCUACUCUGUUGCAGAAGAGGAGUCAGGUGUAAUCUUCUCUUAUUUAAUGAAUCUUAUUUUACCUGCAUAUGUUUCUCUUUUAUGAUUGUAUCAGCUUUUGCUGAGGAGACGGGUUUAUGGUCAAAACCCGAUUUGACGUUUCCGUUGCGGAAUCCCAACAAUCGAUACCGGAUCCACAGCAGUCGGUAUUGGAGCGGAUUGCGGAUUCACGAGAUCCGGUACCGGGGCGAGUACCCGAUUCCCAACAAGUGGUAUCAGAGCCGAAGGUUACCGAUUUGCCGGAGAGAUCGACGGAGAUGGCCACGAAAUUCGAAAUCGAGAAGUUCGACGGCAAGAACAAUUUCGGAUUAUGGCAAAUUAAAGUACGAGCAAUCCUCGUACAGCAAGAGUUAGACGAGACGUUGAACGGGAAGGAGGCAAAGCCGGCGGAGGUCACGGAUGUGGCAUGGACGAAGAUGGAGCGGAAGGCGCUGAGUACGCUUCAUCUAUCAUUAGCAGAUGAGGUUCUUUACAAUGUAGCCGGCGAGACGACACCGGCGAAAUUGUGGAAGAAAUUGGAAGAUCUGUACAUGACCAAAUCCCUGACGAACAGAUUGUAUCUGAAGCAGCGACUGUUUACGUUGCGGAUGCAAGAAGCGGCGAGCCUACAUGAUCAUCUAAAUGAGUUCAACAAGGUGGUGGCCCAGUUGACCAGCAUCGGAGUCAAUCUGGAUGACGAAGACAAGGCGUUGAUCCUACUAUCUUCGCUGCCGACGGCAUAUGAGCAUCUGGUGACCACGUUGCUUUAUGGCAAGGAGUCCAUAAGCGUAGAGGCGGUCACAGCGGCGCUUCUUUCGAACAAGAUGCGGAAGAUGACUCAGGAGUCCGGCAUACAGAGCCGGGAUACAGCUUUGGUGGUGAGAACGAAGAAGGUGGCGACAACAUCAGCGACCGGAGAUCGACAGAAAAAGCCGCUAUCUGAGGUGGAGUGCUUUUACUAUCACAGGAAAGGGCAUAUAAAGUGCAACUGUCGAAAACUUCAGGAUGAUUUGAAGAAGUUAAAGCGACAGAAGGAGAAAACUGUCGUGAAUCAGGACGAGAUGGUAUCAGCGACGGCACAGACGGCAGAGUCGGAGAUGUUCGAUUCUGAUGUGCUAUAUGCGGCGACCGGAGGUGCGAAAAUUUCGGACGAUGUGUGGGUUCUCGAUUCGGCGUAUUCUUUUCACGUAUGCCCGGAGAAGGAGUCUUUUGCCACCUAUAAGGCGACCAAAGGUGGAAAGGCGCUGAUGGGGAACGGGACAGCGUGCAAAGUAUUGGGGGUCGGCAUGGUGAAAAUCCGAAUGCACGAUGGGGUUGUGAGGACGUUGACAGGUGUGCGGCACGUUCCUGGAUUGAAGCGGAAUUUGAUCUCGUUAGGCUCAUUGGACUCGAAGGGUUGCGAUAUUUCAGCUUCAGGUGGAGCUAUGAGGGUCCAAAAACGAGAUCGGAUCGUGUGCGAGGCGAACAAGCGUGGGAACUUAUACGUUCUGAACGGAAGCACAGUCAGAACGGGAGCGAAAACGGUUUGGGUUCCAAAAGUUCGCGGAUGUGCAGUUGCUCGAGAUGGAGCGACGGAUGCGGCGACAUCGAGCGGAGGAGACAAGCUCAAGGUGGAGUUUGCAUGGUGAGCUCGACGUAGCGGUUGAAAAUUACAAAUCAAACCAAGGUGGAGAAUGUUAGGAUUUGGUUAGAUUUGUAGUUGAAUCCUAUUUAGAUAAGAAUUAAUAUUUAAAUCUGUUGGAGAUAAAUUAAGAUUUAAAUAUUAAUUAGAGGAUAAACCUAACUAGAUUAGGAUUAAUAUUUAAAUCUAUUAGAGAUUGAUUAAGAUAGAUUUAGAUAUUAAUUGGAGUAGAAAUCCUAAAUAUAUUAGGAUUGGGGUACGUUUUAGUGGAGCCUUAUAAAUAGCUCUUUGUGGGUUUGCUUUUGAGGUGAGUACGGGAGAGAGAAAAAAGAGCUCUUGGGUGCCGUACCAGAGAGAGAAAAAGAGAGAGAGAAAGUUAUCCAAUGAGUUGAGUGCACCUAGUGCACGGGUGCGCGUGGAUGAUUGUCUUCUUUGUGGGAUCAUAGAAGACGAGAGAAGGGUAGAAGAGAUUCAAAAAAGAGGGCUCGAGUUGUAGCCACUCUGUUGCAGAAGAGGAGUCAGGUGUAAUCUUCUCUUAUUUAAUGAAUCUUAUUUUACCUGCAUAUGUUUCUCUUUUAUGAUUGUAUCAGCUUUUGCUGAGGAGACGGGUUUAUGGUAAAAACCCGAUUUGACGUUUCCGUUGCGGAAUCCCAACAAUCGAUACCGGAUCCACAGCAGUCGGUAUCGGAGCGGGUUGCGGAUUCACGAGAUCCGGUACCGGGGCGAGUACCGGAUUCCCAACAGAUUCAUUAGAUAUAAUUUUUGGAUAUUAUUUUUUUAGUUACUCGAUUAAUUUCUUUUUCUACACCAUUUAUUUUUGACAAUAUUUGAUGCUUUAGUAAUAUAUUUUUAAGUGUAACAAUUUUUAUGUUUAGGCUCUUUACAUUACGCUUUGAUUAGAUUGGACUUUUCAUUUUGAAGUGUAUGGAUACACCGGGUGUAGACAAUAUGUUUCCGUGCAUUUUGACCUUUUCUCUCUCCUACGCAUUUGUUCGAGAAGUAUUAUUGCGUGGGCCAGGAAUUAGAGCGGGGAGGAGUGCUACCACUACUAUCCUUUUUGGUUGUAAUUCUAUAACCUGUUGUAUCUAAACCUUAAUUCCCUUCCAUUUUCUACUUGUUUUGUUAAUUCCUUUAAACUAAAAUUCCCAAGUUUUUGGUAAACCCUGCAUUCCUUGGAUUAAGAGCUGCAGAGAUUACAAUUUUUUUGAGUUGUAGACUUAUGAUUUCUCAUGGAGCGGGUUAUAAAAAUAGUAUUUUCGUUGGUCAGAUAUUGAAACAAAACAACAGAUAAAAACAAGUGAAAAAUGUACAAAACUCUCUGAAUUUUAAUACUUUUGUAAAUAGGCGUAUGAACUUUUAAUUUUGGUAACUACACCCUCUGAACCUUAUCUAAUAGUUCACUAGGUGCAUCUCGUCGAUCGGAGUCAUUAAUAUACAGCUAUUUGGUGUUGCAUAUUUUUUUAUGAAGCUUUAAAGCACAAAGUAAUCUUUCCUUCUACUCUAACCCAUGAAAAAGCAGUAAAAAUUAAAGUUUGAUUCAUUCCGUACUUUGAUCCUGUCGCUUAAUUAUCAUAACCAGAAUUAAGAAAGUUAUAUAUUUUGUUUUGAAGUUGUACAAAAUUAUGUUUAAGACAUGUGAUCAAAACAAUUAUUGAAUUAGUAAGAUGGCUUGAGCUUAGUAUACUAUUUGGUAUUGUGGGUCUAGUUUUCAGUAUUAAAAGUUUAUGCACUUGUUUGCAAUACAGUAAAAGGUUAGGACUAGAGUGCAAUAUCUGGAUUCCAUGCCUUUCAGCUCGAAACAAAGGAUGACUUGCUAAGCUGGGUCCAGAAAAUCAAUUUGGGCUUUUUCUUUUUUCCUUAUUUCUUGAGAAAAUUCUAUGCUGUUAAGAGUGUGAUACCAUACUGAUGCUUGUGGGGGGAACCCAAUCCACAAUCCAAUUCUAUUUAUUUUUGUUGCGUUGUUGCAUAUCCAUAAUGGACGGUUUAGGUUGAAUAGUGGAUGAUUCAUUGAAAUAGUCCUUGAACUAUCCCAAAAUUGCAAUUAUGCCUUGAUAUUUUCUAUUACUGUAAUUCCGUCCUCGAUUGCCCAAAACAAUUUGACAACACGCAGCUAUCUCCUAUAAAAUAUUCUUUUGAAAAUUUACAUUUUUUGAGAAAGUUCAGAAGUUAAAGUAUUUAAGUGAAAAGUUUAGGGUCUAAUUUGCAAUAUCGUAGCAGUGCAGGGACUCCCCAUACAUUAUACUCCUUUAUUAAAGAAUGAUUCUGAGAAGGGAUAGUUGGAUUUCAAUUGUGACAUCUGAGCUAGAUGUUAGUCUAAAAAUUAAUUCAAUAAUGAACUCUCACAUCAGUAACUUUGAUGCCUCAAUUACAUUUUGGAAUGCAUUCCGACUCAAGUAAAUAGAAAUAAAAUAGUACGUUCCUACAUGCUUUUACUUACUAAAUUUCAGCUGACUCGAUAUAUGUGGUUAGUGGGAUGAAGUUAUGUAGACAAUAUUUUUAGGACUUUCACUUUCUAAAUUUCAGUUGAUUUCCUGGAAUCCUACUAGAAACCACCAUUUAUCCUUUUUUGUUAUUUUUACCUUUUUUUUAUCAGUAAAAAGUUCCAUUUGCCAUACUCUUUCAAUCCACAAUCCACUCCUAAUUAAAUAUUACCUAACAUUAAAUUCUUUGUUUUUCUUUUAGUUUACUGCAUAUCAUGUCUUACCAAGUACGCUGCAUGCAGCUUACCAUAAGUUGCCUCGUGCUAUUAAUUUCCUGGAAGACAUACAAAUGUAAAGGAUCAGAUGACUUUUCGGGGAAAAGAGCUGCAAACCCACAUGAACUUGGCAAAAUUUGAGAUCACCACCUGAGCUUUUAAUUAUGACAUAAAACCACCUGAACCAUAUGAUUUUAUAGAAAAAUUCACGCCCAAAAGGGGUUGAAUGCAACAAAAAACAGAUUGUUAAGGUGGUUUCAUAUUAUCAAUCAGAUAACAACGAUCUGUCUAUGAACUAACAUCUGGGUCUAUAGCUUUUUUACCUUGAUUUCAAAAAUGACGUGAAUAAGAUAACAAGAGUCUAAUGUAACAUCUGGUAUUUUCUUGUCCGACUGAAACAGAACAUGUAUGAAAGCAAUCCAUCAUCAAAGUCCAAGGGCGCACUUUCAAUGGGUAUCCCCGGAGAGCUGGCUGGUCUCUAUGCUGCUUGGCUAGAGUACGGAAGGCUCCCGUGGAAAGACCUUUUCCAACCAGCCAUAAAACUUGCAAGCGAGGGAUUUGUUAUUAUACCUUACGUGGCAAAUGCCAUGAAAUCAAACGAGCAAGACAUAUUAUCCGACCCCGGUCUGCGUGAAGUAUUGGCACCAAAAGGAAAGCUACUGCAAGCCAAUGAUACUUGCUAUAAUCAUGCACUUGCUAACACACUGGAGGUGAUUUCCGUAGAGGGGCCGCAGGCAUUUUACAAUGGAACUAUUGGUGAGAAGUUCAUAGAGGAUGUGAAAAGUGCUGGUGGGAUCGCAACAAUGGAUGAUUUGAGGAAUUACAGGGUGGAAGUUAAGGACGCAUUGGUGGCAAAUGUUAUGGGGUAUACAAUACUUGGGAUGCCACCACCAUCCAGUGGAACCGUGGGAAUGUCUCUAGUGAGUUCUCUUUGCCUGUUUGUACCAACUGAUUGUGUUUUAUUCUGAUGUAUAUGUAGUGUUCAUGUUAGAUUGCUUUUGCUGUACUGUCUUUGUUUUAAGUGCCCAUGUGGGCCAACUGUGACAGCUCCUCUAUUUGAGAGGUAAAUGCUAGGUGUUUGGAAAAUAAAAAUUAUGGAGCUCUCGGCUGACAGGAAGCUGGAUGAGCUUCUUGUCCUUGAAUGAGAAGCUCCAAUCUGAAAUCGCAGGAAGUUGUUGUGGGAAUUGGGGGAAAAAAUUGGCCUUUUUAUCCAAGUCUGUGCAAUCAGCAUGCAAACAAAACCUCUGCCAGUCAAGCAGGUCCUAAGAUGUACUACAUAGCUAAUAUAUGGUAGUAUGCAAUUAUUAUAUGCUUGGAUUUGUUAAAAUAUGCCAGAUUAUCUUUCCUCAGUAUUUCUUCUAUUAGCUUUUAACCAGAACAUUUUUGGUGUGAUGUUUAGGUUCUGAACAUUUUAGGUAGCUACAAGUCACCGGAUGCUGUUAAAGGAUUCCUUGGCAUUCAUCGGCUCAUUGAAGCAACGAAGCACAUGUUUGCUCUUCGAAUGGAUCUUGGCGACCCCGAUUUUGUCAACAUAACAGAAGUCGUGUCCAACAUGCUUUCACCUUCCUUUGCUGAGAAAAUUAAGCAAAAGAUACUUGACAACACCACAUUUAGCCCAGACUACUACCUACCAAAGUGAGUUUGCUAUCUGACUUUCUCUUAGUUCAUAUAUCUUCUGCAUUAGUAAAUGCCAUCUUGCAUAAACAUCCACUUCUUUUUUUUUUAUUUUGCAAUCUGAGCCCAAUUUUUCUUUCCUUUUAUACAAUGUUGGACUGAAGUAUCUUUCUAUGAACUGGGAUACUCUUGGCUGGAAUCCUUAGUGCAUGGAUUUAUUGCAAUGUUGGCGGAGGGUAUUCUAGUCUAUGAAAAGAGAUUUUGGCUCAAAGUUGCAAAAUGCCAAAAAAGUGUGCUGAAAUUGAAUAAUCAGAAAAGAAGUGGACUCUUUUUGUAAAACAUUUAAUGAAUACUUCCACUAGAAAACUGUAGAAUUUCAAGCUAGCCUACACAAACAGGCAAAGAGAUGGAAUUAUUCUUGUGUUCCGUUCUAAACUUAUGGAUUGGAAUGUACUACUUUGUAAUUGUGACCAACAAGGUGAGGGACAAUUUGGAGAGGUCUUUCAUGUGCUUCAUUUUUUCAAUACUUCCUCUUGGCUGUGAGAUCUUAAACAAGCCCAUGAUGCGGACUUUGAAUUGCAGCUGGUGGUUUUUAUUUUCCUGAAGUAAUACUGUAGUAGUGAAUGGACUAGUGAGACUUGAAGCUUGGACCUCCUAUUCUGGUGCCACGUUACUUGACUGGAUUCACUAGAAGUUUAAGCCAUCGUCCCUUAGAGUAUGACUUUGUUUGAUACAGUUUUGAUCCAAUACAUACCUCUUCAAAAAAGUUGCUGCAAUUCACUAUAACAUUUCUCAAUUCUCCCCACAUUCACACCUUAGGUACCACUGUCUAAGACUUUCUUACAUCUUUCAGGCCAAUAUCACGAUCAUCUUUAUUAUACGUAAAUAAAUUAAUUAUACACUCAAUUCUACUGUUUUUCUCACUGGAAAUUGUUCCUCAGAUGGAGUCAGUUAAGAGACCAUGGAACCAGCCACCUUUGUGUUGUGGAUGCCGAUCGUAAUGCUGUGUCUAUGACGACUACCGUUAAUGCGUAUUUUGGGGCUAAAGUGCUCUCCCCAUCAACAGGUAUUGUGCUAAACAAUGAGAUGGACGACUUCUCUACACCAUCCGAUGCAACUCCCGAUCAUCUCCCACCAGCUCCUUCGAACUUCAUUGAGCCGAAUAAAAGGCCUUUGUCUUCCAUGACACCUAUUAUUGUACUCAAGGUAGUGCCAACCUCUCACUCCCUCUCUUUCUCUCUCCCUCCUUGAAGUCUGUUUCCUUGAGUUGGGUUUAGCUAGAUUGCCCCAGAAUAGCAUUCUGAAACCUUUUCAUGCCCCUCAUUGUUUGUUUAAAGGCCAAUAUUACAGUCUAUAAAAUUUUCAAUCAUAGGGAUUACUUUUUGGGCACAUAGCUUCAUAACAAUCAAUUAUAUAGAACUUCCUGCAUCAUUUUUUUUCUGGGUUGAACCAACUUCUGUUCUGUUACAAUUCUGUUUAAAAACUUUUCAGGAGGGAUGUAACAAAAUUUUGCAUUACUUGCAACAACUGAAUUUAUUCAUAGAGAGAUGACACUUAACCACUGUAAAUUUCCUCUCUUGUGGACCAUAAAAUUGCAACUAAAUUAUUAGGCCUCAAAACAUCUUCUGUCUGUAGAAUGAACUUAAAAAUUCAGUAACCAUUAAGUGCAGCUGUAUGGAACAAAAUAUACUCUUUCCAGUUCAACUACUGCCGAAUUCUCUCUUUGUUUGAUAUUUGGUCAUGAACUUAGUUACAUCCGUCCUGAUACUAGCAUGAUGUUCGUGAUGAUUAGAAUUAUAACAAUAUCUAAAAUAUUCAAUUGAUAUAGAUAUUCUUGAUUAUUUUUUACAGGACAAUCAACUUGCUGGAGUUGUUGGGGCUAGUGGAGGGUUAAAAAUUAUUUCAGCGGUUACUGAAGUUUUUCUUAAUCAUUUCAUUUUGGGAAUGGAACCCCUUGCUGCUGUUCAACGGCCUAGGAUUUACCCCCAGGUAACAUUUGUUGAUAUCCUUGUGUUUUUGUGAGUUAUUAGUUUCCUUAAAGCAGUUCUUUAUAGCUAAUUCACUUUAAAGCGAUUAUUUCGCCAAAGAAUAUUUUCUUUUGCUAUGCUAACUUGCCUUUUCUGAUGAAAGAACAUUGCAAAACCAAGAAAAUUUAGCAGCAGGUCAAAUUAUGUUUCUGUUGGCCAACUUCUGGUUUCUUGAACGUGAACUUAGUAGUAAUUGAAGCUAAAUACUGCUAGUUUAUUAAAAUUAACAACAGCCAGAAGGAAAUCAGGAUACAACAUUAAAAUGUACGGUUCAUCUAUAGAUCGAGCCAAUGCUACAGAAUUAGAUGAAAUAAUUGGACAAAUUCCGAGAUUUCUUUUUGCCAAGGUAAAUUUGGGUCUGAACCAGGUCCAAAUAUGGCUUCGUUACUUCUAGUGGAACAUAGUUCAUUAUCUCGUGGACGGCAGACAAAUUGCUUUGCACGUAGUACCUGUUCAGCUUGGAAUCUAGAAUAGCCUCUUUAUUUUCUGGAGGAGCAGAAGCUUCCAAGAACCAAGCAUGUGGCUAACUAAAGGCCCGGAGCUUUUGCUGUGUUGGGAAGUUAAAUUGUGCUUUUGGUGCCUGGAAACCAGAAGCUCCAACUUGAAGCUUCUCGCUCUUCUGUAACAAGAAAUUGUUGAGCAGACUGGAUUGAGGAAAACCAUUACUUAUAAUCGAGUAACUUUAUCAUUCGUAAUGGAGGAACUUAUGACUACUAAUACCUACCUUUCCCUACUAAUAUACAGUUAAUACCAAAUGAAGUGUUCUAUGAGAACUGGACCACUGUAGAUGGCGAAUCAAUCCGGUUCAGUGAAGACGCAAAGUUAUUUCUGGAGCAGAGGGGUCACAGCCUUCAGAGCGUAUCGGGCGGGGCUGUGUGCCAGCUCGUUGUGCAUAACUUAGGAGAACCUGUAAGACUGCAGUCCGACAACAGUGCCGUCUUUCACGGGAUGCUCACCGCAGUCAGCGACCCUAGGAAAGAAGGAAGCCCUGCUGGAUUGUAAAAUCUGGCAUAAAGCACAUGUAGAUAUCUAUCUACAAAAUACCCUCUAGAAAAUAUCAUGAUUUGCACUUUGCCCUCCUGAGAAUGGAAACCUACAUCCAACAACAACCACUCGCCCUUUCCUUCAUAUUUUUGGUUCAGAAACAGUUGGAGAAUACGAAAAUUUUUAUAGAAAUUGUAACAGGGUGUGUAUUUUGAUCAUAUUUCAAUAUCUAUGAACAUUUCUGAAUGAAAAAUGCGAUGCGGAGAAGGAAGGGCCAGCUAGUGCUAAUGGGCUUAUUAUAUUAGGAGGGCAACAUGCAAAUCACCAUAUUUUUCAUGGGAGGGGACUCUGCAUGCAUAUUACUUGGGAACCUAUUUCCCUCAGAAAUUUGAUUCAGUUGGGUAAACUUUGAUGUCCAAGAGAUUAUGCUUGCUAGGGAGAGAAAUACGCAACACUCCCUGUUUCUCCAAAUUUUAUUGGGCUGUGCAUUGUUUUGUAAAUACAUUCAUAUUUAUGUAGAUAGCACGAGAUAAAAGGGCCAGAUAUUUUAUUUGCAUAAGAAUAAGGACUUUAGUUCCACUUUUUAUACCAUGUAUUCGUGUCGUUUGUACUUGUUUGCAUGAAAGACAUAAUAAUGUAUUCGUGUCAUUUGUAUCUGAGAUGUUUCAUUCUGGCUUCUAACAUUUCAUUUGUUUCAUUAUAUGUCCUGAACUUUUCUAAUUGUUCCAAUUUGGUCUUAUAGUUUCUGUUGGUUGGUUAUCUGUGUGAGACACGUGAUGACUCAAGUUGCUAGUACUAGCGACCUGUUGCACCCACACCGUCAGCUCAAAAUGUGUAAAAUUUCAAAUUCCAAAUUAUUAAUACUGAUGUGUUAGUUACAUAUAAAGAUUUUACACUCUUUACACAUUAUCCGUAAUUCAAUGUGCACGCGGUCUAAGACUUGGUUUAUACUUUCGUUACUUCGUUGGCUACCUAUCUCUGAUACCAAAUACAACUAUCCAACUAGCAGCUUGGAAGGUUCAAAAUUUUUGGUACGAAAAUGCUUUAAGUUCAAGUUACACAAACUAAUAUGCUAGUGAAAUACAAGACAUUUACGUUUCCUCACAUUUUUCUUUAUUAUUUGAUGUAAAGCUUAGAUAUCUUCGCCCAGUGUAAGCUUACAUUUUGUGCACGUAUGAACAAAUUUGUUACGAUCUGUUGGAAUUGUUUCAAUCAGACUCAUUUUACAUUGUAAGUCAUUUAUAUAAAGAUUAAAUUAUAAAUUUUAGGACCUUGUUUACCAAAUAUUAGGUGCAGUGCAGGUAAUAAUUUCUCUAUCUCUAUCUCUAUCUCUCCUUUGCGAGGGAUAAUUUCUCUUGGCUAGGGAUAUAUUAAAUAAUGGAACCAAAUUGAAAUAAUUUGGAGAGUCUACACUCCCAUAAUAAUAUAACAAAUUGAAGUUUAGGUACUAAACCGGUUUGAAUCUUUGUAGAAAAUAAAACCUGACUAGGUAAACUCUAGCAAACUCAACCUGACUCAAUCCAAUGUGAGAAAAUCCGUCUUAAAUUCGACUCGAUCCAUCCAAGGUGGGUUGGAUUUUGUAACCCGACCCAACUUCCAAUCGAUAAAAAUUAGCUUCCAAUCGAUAAAAAUCUAAUUGGAAGGUAUUUUCGUAGGGUAUUAGAAGUUUGGAGGGAUAGAUAAGUCAUUUAAAUUUCGGACAAAUAUAUAAGCUAUUUUUAAACUUUAGAAGGAUACAUUGGUAUUUAACCCUAAUAAAUUUUAAUAGCGGUUCAAGUAACUAAUAGUCAAUUGGGAUUGUCAUUUUUUCAGUAGCUAGGUUAACUACCAUUAUUCAAUUUUCCUAACAAAAAAUUAAUUAAAUUUGACCACUAAUACCACUAAUGUCUUACUCAAUAUAUAUAUAUAUAUAUAUAUAUAUAUAUAUAUAUAUAUAUAUAUAUAUAUAUAUAUAUAUAUAUGGUUCGGUUACUAUACUUUUAUGAGUAUUGGCCCCUUAUACUCAUAAGUUUUCAGCCCUUAGAUUUAUUUUCAUUGAUCUUUUCACCCCCGUUAGAUCAUACUAUUCACUAACUAACCCACUCAAUCAUAAGGGGAUCACUAUCAUUCUAAGUAGGAUCACAUCAUCCUAACGCCACAUCAUCAAUCAACGUUAAAAUUUAUAAGUACAAGGGUGUCUAUAUCAUAAGAUAUAGUACCCCACUAUAUAUAUAUAUAUAUAUAUUAUAUAGUAUAUAUAUAGAUGAGAGAGAGAGAGAGAGAGAGAGAGAGAGAGAGAGAAAGAGAGAGAGUUGGGCUGGGAUGCUAUUGAGCACCCAGCCAACUUUGCCAUCCAUUUUAUAGCCCUUGGAUCGCAUCGAGAUCCAUGCAGCCUUUACUCAAAAAUUUGGAAGAAGCUCCGUUUAUGUCCCUCCGUUAUCUCUCUCUCUCUCUCUCUCUCUCUCUCUCUUCUUUUCCUUUUCCAUUUCUUUUCUUCUCCACAGAGUUCACCUCCCAUCCCACCUACCACCAGACCUUCCCUCCUCCACACCGCGCCCACCUCGCCCACUUGCUCGCCUGCAGGCUCGCUCGCCCGCUAGCUCGCUUGCCCGCUUGCUCUCUUACUCUUUCUCUUUCUUUUUUUCUUUUUUCCUUUUCCUUUCUUCUCCACCUCACACCCCGCCUAGCACAGCCAACUUUGCCACCCAUUUUAUAGCCCUUGGAUCGCAUCGAGAUCCGUGCAGCCUUUUACUCAAAAAUUUGGAAGAAGCUCCGUUUGUGUCCCUCCGUUAUCCUCUCUCUCUCUCUCUCUCUUUCUUCUUUUCCUUUUCCAUUUCCUUUCUUCUCCCCAGAGCUCACCUCCUAUCCCACCUACCACCAGACCUUCCCUCCUCCACACCGCGCCCACCUCGCCCACUCGCUCGCCUGCUUGCUCGCUCGCUUGCUUGCCCGCUUGCUCUCUCACUCUCUCUCUUUCUUCUUUUCUUUUUUUCUUUUCCUUUCUNCUGUUCCAUCUGCAAUUAAACUUGAAGUAUAUUGUUCACACUGACUCUGUUUACUCGUUAAAGAAUCCAACUCUCUACUUUCAACAAACAUUGUAUCAACCAAUGGAGACAUUGGUUCUUUAUCAAUACUUUCAUUGUCCGAGCUUUUAAAAGUUGGUGAACCAUGAUAAUCCCCACUAUCCAUCUAUAUAAUUUAACAAAUUUUAAAUUAAUAAAAAAGCUAUUAAUCAUGCAAUUCACACAUUAGGGUUAAAAAAAGCAACAUUAAAUACUAGUACUAGUCAACAGAUCAAACAGAUCAAACCUACUAGUGCUAGUCAACAGAUCAAACAUAUCAAAUAGAUUAAACCUACUAGUGCUAGUCAACAGAUCAAACAGAUCAACAUUUGUCAUAUAGUUCCGUUUUUCAAAAAUAUUGUUCUGUUUUUCAAAAAUAUGAUUUUAUUCGAAAAUCUGAUUUUAUUAAAAAAAAAAUUGUUGAUUGGUUUAUUCAAAAAAAUGUUGUUCCAUAGCCCUAUAUGACAAAUGUUGAUCUGUUUGAUCUGUUGACUAGCACUAGUAGGUUUAAUCUAUUUGAUAUGUUUGAUCUGUUGACUAGCACUAGUAGGUUUGAUCUGUUUGAUCUGUUGACUAGUACUAGUAUUUAAUGUUGCUUUUUUUAACCCUAAUGUGUGAAUUGCAUGAUUAAUAGCUUUUUUAUUAAUUUAAAAUUUGUUAAAUUAUAUAGAUGGAUAGUGGGGAUUAUCAUGGUUCACCAACUUUUAAAAGCUCGGACAAUGAAAGUAUUGAUAAAGAACCAAUGUCUCCAUUGGUUGAUACAAUGUUUGUUGAAAGUAGAGAGUUGGAUUCUUUAACGAGUAAACAGAGUCAGUGUGAACAAUAUACUUCAAGUUUAAUUGCAGAUGGAACAGAAUCAUCAAUUGAUAAGCCGUUCAUAGGGAGAGAAUUUAAGAAUGAAGAAGUUUUGAAAUUUUAUAAUAUAUAUGCAUAUAAAGCCGGUUUUAGUAUAAGAAAAAAAACACACUACAAAGCUAGGAAGAAAGAUAACAUGAUUACGUCAUUGCACUAUGUUUGUUCAAAAGAAGGUCAUUUCUAACCUCGGGUCAAGGACAAGACAAUAAAGGCACACCUAAAAGACAGAUGCAGUAUAGUCGAACUGGUUGUAAGGCACACUUAAGAGUGAAAUUGAUAGAGGAUGGAAAAUGGAUCGUGGCUGCAUUUGUGAGAGGCCACAAUCAUGAUUUAGUUGUAAGUCCAUCAAAAGCUCGUUUCCUUCGAUCUCACCGUUCAAUCACAAAGGACCAAAAGGAUAUAAUUCAUAUGUUAAGUGAAUAUUUUGACUGCUCAAAUUAUGUCUUUUAUGGCGGCAAAAGAAGGAGGAUCACAUAAUAUUCACUUCACAAGAAAAGAUCUAAAUAAUAAAGUUCUGAGAGGAAUAGACGGCUCAAAGGAGUGGACAUAUCAACUACUAUUAAUUACUUUCGCGAGCGUCAAGUCAAAGAUCCAUCUUUUUUUUUAUGCAAUAUUAGUUCAAUAGAGUCCUGUACAUCAUCUAGUGGAGUUAAAUCCUACACAAUUCGUGUGGAUAGACUUAAAGAGAAUGUGAGUCGUAGUUGCAAGUUCUUUGAAUUCAGUGGCUUGUUAUGUUCUCAUGUAUUAAAAGUCAUGUUUCACAUUCAAAUGUAUCAUAUUCCAGACCAGUAUAUUAUGAAAAGGUGGACUAAAAAUGCGAAAAGAGGAUUCUCGAGCACAAAUUUAGGAUGUAGGGUAGUUGGUGAACUUUCACAUUCGAAAGAUGCAAGAUUUAAUGCACUACUUUUGAAAAUGCAAAAAAUUCCAUAAAUAGCCUCGCAAAAUUUUGAGGCAUUUGAAAUGGCUUGUGAAGACAUAGAUAAGCUUGUUGACAAGAUUAUUACACACAAUGAAGCUUUAAAAGAGAAAGAAGGAGAUAAAAUUUUAUUCCUAAGAACUUCAUAUACCCUAAAUCAUAUUUAACGGUGUGGAUCGUUAAUUUGAACACCCUAAGAUUGAAAAUAAGACUAUAGUACCGGAGCUCCGGUACUAUAGAUAGUAUAGUAGCCUAAUUCUAUAUAUAUAUAUAUAUAUAUAUAUAAUACAAAGAGAGGGAGAGAGAGAGAGGGGGAGAGAGAGAGAGAGAGAGAGAGAGCAGGGCUGCUGUGCUAUCAGGAGCACGGAGGCCUCUGUGCUCCUGAGCCAUUUUCAAUGAUAGAAUUUUCGAAUCGACUAUCGGCUCCGUCAGACUUGAUUUAACGUAUUUGAAGUUUCUAGAAAAUAAUUUUUGCGAUUUUUUGAUAUCAUUACCUAGUGAUCGGAAGGAUUCAAAAUCUAUUAUUUUUAAUGGUUGAUAUCUACUGUUUUCAAGUUUAACAGUGUAGAAGUAUUCAAAUCAAAUGAAAUUUUGAUAUAAAAUUCUUUAUACUAUCUACAACAAGAUUAAUAUUUCUGAUUGAAAAUUUUAGUGCUAUAUCACCACUUUUUAUAGAAUUUUUAUUUUCAGCCGUUAAAAAUUAUUGAUUUUGAAUCUUUUCGAUUGCUAGGUAAAUGAUAUCGAAAAAUUGCAAAAAUUAUUUUCUAGAAACUUCAAAUACGCUAGAUCAAGUCUAGCAGAGCCAAUCGUCAAUUCGGAAAUUCCAUCAUCGAAAACGGCUCAGGAGCACGGAGGCCUCCGUGCUCCUGAGAGCACAACAGUUCUGCUCUAUACACACACACACACACACACACACACACACACACACACACACAAAACUAUUAAUUUCCGUGGCUUUUAUCCGAUGUGGUAAAGUUUUGUUAAAUUUGAGCCCACCUAGCUACCAGUGUUAUUAUCACCUCCUCCAUCCUUUUUAUUGAAUAUUAGGCCCACCUCCACCAUAUACUUUCUCUCCUGUAUCCGAUUUAUCUCCCAUUGUCGUCUCUUCACCUUCCCAUUUACCUUCUUAUUUAUUAGACUAAACUUUCAUCUUCCAUUUAUCUUUCAAUUUAAUUAAAUAAUCUCCUCACCUUCCCAUGUAAUAGAAUAAUAGCAUUUAUCUUUCCAUUUAAUAGAGUAAUCUCCUCACUUUUUCAUUUAAUAGAGUAAUAGUGGAGAAAACGAGAAUGCAUGCCAUGCCUUUCAUUAGGCAUCUUUCUAAUUUACCUUCUUCUUUCUCAAAGUCUAAAAUGUGUACCAUUUGCUCUCCUAAUGCCGUGGGCAUAAUUGAUGGAGCCCUUCGACCCCCCUACAUUACAUUAUACAUGUCGUCGAUAAGGCCGGUGAUGGCAUCAAUGUUGUUGACUUUCACCCCUCUCCAAAUCUCUCUCUCUCUCUCUCUCUCUCUCUCUCUCUCUCUCUCUCUCUCUCUCUCUCUAUAUAUAUAUAUAUAUAUAUAAAAUUGAGCUAGAAUACUUUUAGAAUUAUCACCCCUUUGGUGCUAUUAGGUUUUUAGCCCUUGGAUCUACUCCUUGAUUACUAAUAGCCCUUGGAUCAAACAUUAUUCCACCUACCACCACCUACCACCAUCAUCUCAACCUUACAUUCAUCCAUCCAAUGGCUAAAAACUCAAAAGCACCACCUUCAUGGUGCUUUUGAGAGUAUUCUAGCUCAACUAUAUAUAUAUAUAUAUAUGUAUAUAUAUAUAUAUAUAGAGAGAGAGAGAGAGAGAGAGAGAGAGAGAGAGAGAGAGAGAGUUGAGCUGGAAUACUAUCGGUAGCAAAUGUGCUCCGUUGCCAUCCAUUUGUUUUCGAUGAUGGAGCCUCCAAAUCGACGAUCGGCAGCAUUGAAUAUGAUCUAUACCACUAGAAGUAUCUAGAAAUCAAAUUUUAUGAUUUUUCGAUAUUGUUCUCUUGUCCAUCAAGUGGACGUAAAAAUGAAUGGCUGAAAAUGAGUAUCCUCUAAAAAGUGAUGAUAGAAAUUUUAUAAUCAAGAUCGAGAGUAUAGAUCUUGUUCUAAAUAGUUUAGAGAAUUUUCUAACCAAAAUUCAAUUGAUUUAGAUAGCUUUACACCGUUAAACGAGAAAAUACCUCAUAUCUACCAUUAAAAUUACAAAUUUUGAAAUCCUUUGAUCAUUAGGUCAAUGAUGUCGAAAAAAUUUAAAAUUUGGUUUCUAGAUAGUUCAAAUGGUAUAGAUCAUAUUCAACGGUGCCGAUCGUCGAUUUACAGGCUCCAUCAUCGAAAACAAAUGGGUGGCAAUGGAGUCCGUUUGCUACUGAUAGCAUUCCAGCUCAACUCUUUCUCUCUCUCUCUCUCUCUAUAUAUAUAUAUAUAUAUAUAGAGUAGGGCUGCUAUACUAUUAUGAGUAUUGGGCCCUUCGUACUCAUAAGUUGUUUUCGAUGAUGGAGCUUCUGAAUCGACGAUCCACUUCGUUAAAUAUGAUUUAGAGUAUUUGAAACUUCAGAAAAUAAAUUUCGUAAUUUUUCAAAAUCAUAAUAAAGUCCAUCAAGUGGGUAUAAAAUGAACGGUCAAAAUCGAACGAUGUCUUAAAAAUGGAUGAUCGGAUCCUUCAAUUUAAGAUCGGAGUUAUUGAUCUUUAUCUAGGUAGUGAAUAGAGUUUUCUAUCAAAAAUUCAACCUAUUCGGAUUCUUUUGCACCGUUAAACUAGCAAGUAUUCCAUACCGGCCGUUAAAAAUUGUCAAUUUUGUGACCUUUUGAUCGUAAGGUAAAUGAUGUCGAAAAAUUAUGAAAUUUGAUUUCUAGAUGUUUCAAAUGCUCUAGAUAAUGUUUAAAAGUGUGAAUCGUCGAUUUGGAAGCUCUAUCAUCGAAAACAACUUAUGCGUACAAAGGUAAUCGUACUCAUAAUAGUAUAGUAGCCGGACUAUAUAUAUAUAUAGAGCUAGGCUCCUAUGCUUUUGAAAGUACGGAAGCCUCCGUACUUGUGAGUUGUUUUCAAUAGUGGGACAUCCGAUUCGGCGAUCGGUUCCAUUAGACAUGAUCUACGCUAUUGGAGCUACCUAGAAACCAAAUUUCAUAAUUUUUUGACUUCUUUUGUAUAGUAAACGAGUAGCCUCAAAAUGAACGGCUGAAAAUGAAAAUCUCAUAAAAAAUAAUGAUAAAGGACUCACAUUUCAUAUUGGAAGUAUUGGUAUUGCUAUUGAUGUUAAGUAGAAUUUUCUAUUAAAUUUUCAUUUAAUUUGGAUACUUCUACACUGUUGAACUUAAAAACGUGCCACAUCGGCCGUUAAAAUAGUCAUUUUUGAGACCUUUUGAUCGCCUGGUAAAUGAUGUCAAAAAAAUAUAAAAUUUGGUUUCUAAAUAGUUCCAAUAGAGUAGAUUCGAAAGUAUAGGAGACUUACUCUAUAGAUAUAUAUAUAUAUAUAUAUAGAAUUAGACUACUAUACUAUCUAUAGUACCGGAGCUCCGGUACUAUAAUCUUGUUUUCGAUCUUAGGAUGUUCAAAUUAACGAUCCACAACAUUAAAAAUGAUCUAGGGUAUAUAAAGUUCGUAGGAAUAAAAUUUUACUUUUUUUCGACAUCGUUUACUUAGUAAAUGAAUUAUGUCAAAAUGGGCGGGGGAAAUUGAAUAAUUUUUAAAAUUUGAGCAUAGAACUUUUAAAUUUAAGAUAAAAAAUGUUAAUCUUAAUCUAGAUAGUUUAAAGUAUUUUCUUUCAAAAUUUGAAGAAAUUUAGAUUCUUCUACACCGUUAAACUCCAAAUUCGCCAUAGUAGCAAUUGAAAAUUGACAAUUUUGAAAUGGUUUGAUCAUAAAGUAAACUAUGUCGAAAAAAUAUAAAUUUUUUUUUUCUAAAAACUUUAAAUACCCUAGAUCAGUUUUAACGGUGUGGAUCAUUGAUUUGAAUACCCUAAAAUCGAAAACAGGACUAUAGUACCGGAGCCCCGGUACUAUAGAUAGUAUAGGGAGGACUAGGCUCAUAAUAUAUAAUAUAUAUAUAUAUAUAUAUAUAUAUAUAUAUAUAUAUAUAUAUAUAUAUAUAUAUAUAGUAUAUAUUAUUAUAUAGAGAGGAGAGAUGAGGAGACGGAGAGACGAGAGAGGAGAGAGGAGAGAGAGAGAGAGAGGAGAGAGAGAGAGGAGAGGAGAGAGGAGACUGUGUGCGUGAGGCUGGUAUGCUGGAAGCACGGAGCCUUCUGUACUUUCAAGUCGUUUUUCAUGUUGGGACUUUCGAAUCGACAAUCGACUCCGUUAAACUUAUCUAGAAUAUUGAAGUACUUAGAAAAUAAUUUUGUGAUUUUUCGAUAUCAUUUGCCUAGUGAUCGAAGGGGCUCAAAAUCAAUAAUUUUUAAUAACCGUGGUGAGCCGUUUGCAAGUUUAACGGUGUAGAAAUAUCCAAAUCACGUGAAAUUUUGGUAGAAAAUUCUUUAUACUAUAUAAAACAAGAUCAAUAAUUUGAUCUAAAUUUUAGUGUCAUAUCAUCAUAUUUUGUAAGAUUUUUUAUUUUCAGCCGUUGACUUUGAGCCACUCAAUCACUAGGCAAAUGAUAUAAAAAUCGCAAAAAGAAAAAAUUUAUUUUCUGGAUACUUAAAAUACUCUAGAUCAAGUCCAACGGAGCUGAUCAUCGAUUCGAAAGUCCCAACAUCGAAAUGACUUGGAAGCACGGAGUGCUCCGUGCUUCCAGAAGCAUACCAGACGCACCUAAGAUAUAUAUAUAUAUAUAUAGAGUGAGGCUACUAUGCUGCAGAAGCACGGAGCCUUCCGUGCUUCCAGCUCAUUUUCGAUGUUGCGACUUUCGAAUCGUCGAUCGGCUCCGCUAAACUUGAUAUAGAAUAUUUGGAGUACCUAGAAAAUAAAUUUUAUUUAUUUUUCGAUAUCAUUUGCCUAGUGAUCGAAUGGGCUCAAAAUCAACAAAUUUCAAUGGCCGUUAGUGAGCCGUUUGCAGGUUUUAAUGGUGUAGAAAUAUCAAAUUACGUUGAAAUUUUGAUAAAAUUUUUUUUAUACUAUAUUAAAACAGAUCAAUAUUUUUGGAUUUAAAAUUUUAAUGUCAUAUUAUUACAUUUUGUAAGAUUUUUAUUUUCAGCGUUGAUUUUGGAGCCCCUUUGUUCACUAGGCAAAUGAUAUCGUAAAAUUAUAAAAUUUAUUUUCUAGGUACUUCAAAUACUCUAGAUCAAGUUUAACGGAGCCGAUCGACGAUUCGAAAGUCACAACAUCGAAAACGAGCUGUGAAGCACGGAAGGCUCCGUGCUUCCGAUAGCAUAGUAGCCUCACUAUAUAUAUAUAUAUAUAUAUAUAUAUAUAUAUAUAUAUAUAUAUAUAUAGAGUGUGGGCUGGUUAUGCUUAUAGAAGCACGGAGCCCUCAGUGCUUCCAAGUUGUUUUCGAUGUUCAGACUUUCGAAUUGACGAUCGGCUCUGUUAGAGUUGAUCUAGAGUAUUUGAAGUACCUAGAAAAUAAAUUUUGUGAUUUUUGUUGAUAUCAUUUGCCUAGUGAUCGAAGGGGCUCAAAAUCAAUAAUUUUAAUGGCGUGGUGAGCCGGUUGCAAGUUUAACGGUAUAGAAAUAUCCAAAUCACAUGAAAUUUUGAAUAGAAAAUUCUUUAUACCAUAUAAAACAAGAUCAAUAACUUUGAUCUAAAAUUUUAAUGUCAUAUCAUCAUAUUUUGUAAGUUUUUUAUUUUCAGCCGUUGAUUUUGAGCCACUUCGAUCACUAGGCAAAUGAUAUCGAAAAAUUGCAAAAUUUAUUUUCUAGAUACUUCAAAUACUCUAGAUCAAGUCUAACGGAGCCGAUCGUCGAUUCGAAAGUCCGAACAUCAAAAACAAUAGUGGAAGCACGGAACCCUCCCUCCGUGCUUCCAUUAAGCAUUCCUAGCAACACUAUAUAUUAUAUAUAUAUAUAUAUAUAUAUCAUUAGUAGUACCUAUAUAUAUAUAUAUAUAUAUGAAUGGAGCUAGAAUACUUUUAGAAGCACCAAUCCCUUGGUGCUUCUAAAUUUCUAGCCAUUGGAUCUACUUCUUAAUUACUAAUAUCCUUUGGAUCAAACAUUAUUCCACCUACCAUCACCUACUAUCACCUACCAUCAUCAUCUCAACCCUACAUCUCUCCAUCCAAUGGUUAAAAACUCAAAAGCACUACCCUCUUGGUACUUUUGAGAGUAUUCUAGCUCAACUCUCUCUCUCUCUCUCUCUCUCUCUCUCCCUCUCCCUCUCCCUCUAUAUAUAUAUAUAUAUAUAUAGUACAAUAAAAGUUGUUGUUUAUAUAUUAUAUUCUUUAUGUGCGAAUCUUUUUAGUAAGGUAAUUAUAAAAGGCUAAAUUACAGAAAACCAUCCUGUCAAAACCUGAUUUUUUACUUUCCCCCCUGUCAUUUAAAAAUCUACACUUUGCCCCCUUAUAAAAUGAAAAAUAUUCAUUUCAUCCCCUACCGUUAGUGAUCCGUUAGAGUUCCGUUUAUAAAAUAUUAUUAUAUAUUUUUUUAUGCCAAAAAUGCCCUCAGUCUUCUCUCCUGUUAUCAAAAAUGGUGAGGGCAAAAUCGUCAUUUUGUCAUCAUAGUUUACACCGUACCCCUUGUGAAUAUUUUUCAUUUUACAUGGAGGCAAAGUGUAGAUUUUGAAAUGACAUGAGGGGGAAAGUGAAAAAUCAGGUUUUGACAAGAAGGUUUUAUGUAAUUUAGCCUUAUAAAACUUCUUUAAAUAAUUGUGGCUACGAUGUUUACUCUAUAUAUUGCAUCUUCCUCUUUUACUUUCUUGGCAUUCGUUGUUUUUUUCUAUUCAUAUUAUUUGUCAAUUUAAAUCAUGUAUAUUAAAAUUAUUUUUAUGUAUAAUUUUCUAUAUUAAUUAUUAUAGUCAAUAUUGAUUUGCUGAUAUUUUAUUCUUUAUUAAUAUUUUAUUAUUUAUUAAUUUUAAUUUUAAUAGUAUUUAUCGGCCGCAAAGCGCUGAUUAGUUCACUAAUAUAUAUAAUUCAGUGAUAAAAAUAAUGUUCGUUAACACCAAUGAUGUAUUUGCGCUCCCAUUUUAUUGUGCUAUGCAUUGCAAGCACCAUUACGCCUUCUCGUCAUUGGUCCACGUCACUCUUGCACGGAUCGCAAAUAAACCCCAAUCCUAUCCGUCCAUCUACCGAACCCAUCCAACGGCUGAUAUCCAUCGAUCCACAUAUCGGAACGAUCGGAUCCAUCCCCUCCACUCGUCUCCGUAUAAAACCCCCCCAAUUUCCCGCUCACAUCUCCUUUCGAAUCGCACGUUCCCACCGCGCGCCCUCUCACUUCCUCCCCUUCCCUCUCCCCAUUAAACCCCCCCUCCCCCCUCUUCGAUCACCUCCUAUCCCCCUUCGUUCCGAUCCGAGCGAGGGAGAUCGCAACGAUCGCCAUGGCUGACGACGAUGAUGACGUCGCCGCCAAGGGAAAGAAGCGCUCGGGCGGCGGAAAGGCGAAGAAGCGCUCCGGCGGCGGAAAGGCGAAGAAGGGCUCCGCCGGCGCCGGCGGCGAUGGAGGCGGCGGGGGGGCCAGGAAGAAGUCGGUGUCGCGCUCCGUCAAGGCCGGGCUCCAGUUCCCCGUCGGCCGCAUCGGCCGCUACCUCAAGAACGGCCGCUACGCCCAGCGCGUCGGCUCCGGCGCCCCCGUCUACCUCGCUGCCGUCCUCGAAUACCUCGCUGCCGAGGUAAACCCUAACCCUAACCCUAAUCCCGCUAAUCCGAUCUACGAUCUAGGGUUUCCCUACGAUUUUUUUUUUUCUGAGAUUUUUGGGGAUUUAGUUGCUGGAAUUGGCGGGGAAUGCGGCGAAGGACAACAAGAGGAACCGGAUCACACCUCGCCACGUGCUCCUCGCCAUUCGGAACGACGAGGAGUUCGCGAAGCUCCUCUCCGGCGUCACGAUCGCACACGGAGGCGUUCUCCCGAACCUCAACCCCGCUCUCCUCCCGAAGAAGAAGAAUGCUGCUGCCAAGGAAUCGAAUGCGCCGUCGGAGGUCCCAGUCGAGAAGUCGCCCAGCAAGGUGUAGAGGUGAGGGUUUCUCCUCCUCCUUCUUCUUCAAGUGUUUUGAUGUUGUUGUUUUGAGAUUGGGGAUGAUCCGUUUCUCGUACGUAGUGGAAGAGGGGAUGGGACGCGAUCUAAUAGGAACCUUUUCUCAUUCUUUUGCAUGAUAUAUUCUAUAUAGAUGAAGAAUUGUAUAGUUGUUAUAUACACUACCGUGACAACACAGUCCAUAGGUGACCUUGGGUGUUUGGGAAAAGGAAAAAAGAAAUUGAUGGGGAUGGUUGUUAAAAUGAGUCUGCUCUAUUCAUUUUUGGUAGAUGAAAUAUUUGUGUGUUACAAACUGUUCCCACUUCCGUGCUUCCAUUCGUUGCAUUGUCGGGUAGUUCGCGUGAAAAGUAAACAUUAUGUGGGGAUAUUUUUCCGGGUGACGUUAUACAGGGACAAUGGGUGACUAUGGCCCUUGUUGAGUUUCGAAAAUAAUACAUUAGUCAUUAGUUGCUAUAUGUAUAUGUUGGCUCAAAUUGUCUGGCAUCCCUUUGGAUUGAGUCACGUUCGAAACGGCGGAAAGUCUGAUUGGGUCGAGUCAUAUUCGAAGUGGCGUGAGGUUGGUUAGGCUCAAUCAUAAUCGAGAACUAUAGAACCGCCAGUUGCGUAUUUCUAACCGUCAGAGUAUUUCAAAUUAAUAGUUAGCGCCGACGGUCCGACAAUAUAUUAUAAAAUAAAAUAUAUUAUAAAUAAAAUUUUUUAUAGUUCAGUGUGGUUGUUAGUAUUUUUAGUUUACAGCAGGUAAGGUGAGUUCAACUUUUACCUCUAUAGUAGAUUUUUUUUCUUUUUUCUUGCUUCUGGCCUUCUGUGUUUUUUUUUUUUUUUUUCCUAUUUUUAAUAAGUUAAUUGAUAUAAAAGUGUUUUUCCAACAGAAAAAUAAUACAAAAAGUCAUUUAGAAGAUACUCAGAAACAAAGUGUUGCGAUAAAUUUUUAUUACGGUGGAAAGCUCACAUCAAGGUUUAAGCUUAUGAAAGCAAAAUCUCAAUUUUGAACUUUUUAACUUCUCGUUCCGUAGGAAGCCUUUAGACUCUUGUUUGUUUGUUUGUUUGUUGUUGCAGGCUAUAUAGGGCGCCGUGCAUUUUCAGCGCAUUUGAAAGGAAGCACAACAUUAAAAUUCUCCUUAAAAGUUUUAUUUCGCAGGAGAAACUUUAAACUGAAGCAUCUACUUUGUGGGGCUAAGUAAUCUCACAUUAUCUAAUAGAGGUGGCUGCACAAAAGAGAAAGUGGAAGGCCAAACAAAUAAGUAAAGACCAAAAAAGACUUGAAGUGUUUCUUCAAAUAUUCACCAACCAAAGAGCCAUAAGAAAACUAACAUAAGAGGAUACGUACGUACCAAUGGACAGAAGCUUGGAUAAUCAGCAUAGAACAAACACCAGAUUAUAAUGAUAGCUAGUAUUUAGUCGUCACCAAACAUAAGAACCAUAUUAUAUAGCGGGUAAUUUACUGUAGUUGUACUGGAGAACUACUUUAGCCUUUAGCCUUAUUUAAAAUUUCAAACUUUACUUUGCUGAUUUCACCAGAUUCUCACUGAAGUCCCAGAGUUUCUUUGCCAAGGUUUCUUCUCUGGCCAGCGCACUCGGCUUCUCCUCAUUGCAGUCUAAAAAGUAUUUUCCUGUGACCCCCUUGAGAGUAGGAUGAAGGGCUACAUAGCAUGUAGUAGCUGCUCCCUGUGAAAGAGUAAAAGCUUCGACUUGUUAGGAAACAACAGUUUGCAAAACCUACCUCAAAACAUGAUAGCAAAACUAAAUACUAUUAAAAGUUCAUCAGUUGUUUCUACAUGUAUUAAGAAGAUAGCAUUCCUCUGAAGGCAUUUAUUUCGCAUACAAUGCCAAUUCCUAAACAAGAAGAAGAUCCCUAAUCCUUUCUAUAUGUAUUAAAAAGUGAUGAAGCUACAUUAUCUUACUUAACUAAUGGGCCAAUAAUGUCAAAUUUAGCAUAAUUCAAUUUCGAACUAUCAAUAGAGAACCAGGCAAUGACCAUAAGCUUGUUGUGAGGUUAUUCGAAUACCGAGUCCUAUGUUUUCAAGAGGUAAUUCAAGCAAAGAUCCAAUGGAAGAAAUAACUGGUAAUAACUUCGUGUAUUUGAGAAUGUGCAGCAGACCUGCGGAACAUUCUUCCAAAAGAUGCAAGUGAAUACUUUGAGUAUCCCUGCAAAAUAGAACAUCUGAUUUUUUCGUACGAAUGAAACUUUUCAAUAGUUACAAACAAAGUUUACUGUAAAUGAAAUUUAAGAACAUACUCAUAAGAAGGAAAGAGUGCCGCAUCAGAUUUGUCAUGAUUAACCCUGGGUGAACAGAAUUUGCAGUAAUAUUUGCUCCUUCCUCCUGUUAGAGAAAUAUAAUAUUUUCUUACAAAGAAUUAAGAAAUAUGAUCAACCAACUAACGUAUUGAAUCACGAGAGUCAAUCCAACCAUUGCCUAUUUAAAAGAAAAAAAAACGAAACAAAAAGGAAAAAAAAAGUUAAUAAUUAAAAUAAGAGUAGCAGAAAAAAAAAAAUCAAUACCAAAUGAGAGUUAUUUAUCUUAAUCUAAUGUCAAAAGGUGUUUGAAGUGAUUACAAGCAUUGGAUUCUUACAAUGAGUGGAUCUAGAUUAUAGAUAAAAAGAAAAAAAAUUGUUUUGUAAAAAAAAAGAGAGAAAAAAUUCAUCGGAAAGUACAAGAGUGGUUCCUCUAACACAACUGCAAAAUUUCUAGAAAUUUGAUACGCAUAUUAUUGUUAAAACACCACGACUAAUUACAGUGAAUGUUUUGGACAACAUAUAAAUUCUUAGGGACGAGAAAAGCUGCACCUUCAAUCGUCUGGAGAGUUCAUUCGCAUGGAGUAUGUUUGCCAAUUUAGAUUGUCCAUAAGCCUUUUUGUCGGAGUAUCUAACAAAGAAACGAAAAGAAAAAAAUGUUAUCCUACAAUUCAUGAAUUUUGCUGAAACAAACAGCUAGCGGACAUUGUUAUAGGAAAUAAAACAUAACAUAAUACCCUCUCCUGUCGUUGAGCUUAUCGAACAGUAUUCCCUCUUCAUAUGUAUGAAGGUGAGCAAUAGACGAUAAAUUUACGAUUCGGCCCUCAAUACCAGUACUCCUCGAUGUUUCUUUCAUUUUCUCAAGGAGGAGGUUGGUCAAUGAAAAGUGACCUGAAUGCAUGUCAUUAGAAAAGCCACGCAAAUUUUAAGGAUCAAUAAGAGUUUACUUUGAUACAGAUACUGUGAUUAAAAAAAAAGAAUUAAAAAAUUGUAUUCAACCAAGAUGAUUGGUGGCAAAUUGCAUCUCUAUGCCAUCUUCAGAAAGCUGAUAAGGACAGAACAUGACUCCUGCAUUGUUUCUGAAGAAGACCCCCCCAAAAAAAAAAAAAAGAGAGGAAAAGAGAAACAAUCUUGUCAAACAAACAAUUAAUGUAACCUAAUGUUAACUUACAACAAUCAAAAUCGGAGAUUCUUUCAUAUAUAUAUAUAUCCCUGUGGAUUCAUCUGUUUUCAUCUGUAACCCUGAAAAAUCUGAAUUUUCUCCUGGAAAGCGUAGACAUCCAAUUCAGGGUGGUUGAUUUUUUAUAAAAGACUCUUUUUGUCUUCCACAGAGGGACAUUUUUUGUAAGUAUAUUUGUGACAGAUUUAGUACUUGAAUAGCAUAUGCGAAAGUUCAUUCUGAAGGGACUACAGACGUAAAUGGAUGCAUGGUUUCAGAUUCCAGAGGGACAGAUGUGAAAUAUCCAUCCAUUAAAAGUUAUGAUAAGGUAUAGAUGGAUUACAUUAGAAUAUUAAGAGGAAGAUUCAUUGAAAUAAAUUUAUCUGCAAAUGCUCGAACCGACUUCAAUGAGCUAAGAUCAAGUUGCAGAACAUCCACAUGAGCUUUUGGAUUGCUUUUAACUAAGAGCUCCUUCACAUUAUUUGCGGCCUCCAUAUUUCUCGCAGCAAUUAUGACAUGUGCUCCUCUAAGAGCAAAUACUCUCGCAGUCUCGGCACCAAUUCCACUUGCUCCUCCUAGUCCACAUUAAAACAACAAUUCAUUAACUAAAAAGAGAAAAUACAAUGUUCGAUACAAUUUUGCAUUACCUGAAUUGGUACACAAUGGAAAUAGGAUAUUAAUGAAGAUAACAGCAUAUGCAGGUUAUGUUACUAAAGUCAAUAAUAUAUGUGAGAUCCGCUUAGCGUAUGACUUAAAUUAAGAUAAUAGUUUAUAUAAGAGUUUUAUGCUUAUUCAAUAAUCAGAGCGAUGUAUCUACUGAGGCGAGUUAAUGAUCACAAAAUAUAAUCCACAAGCUAACAUAUGAGCAAACUCAGCAAGUGCUAUAAAUUGCUAAACAAGUAAAAGAAUGCACGGACUAGAAGUAUAUAUAGCGUGUCGUAAAUUUAAGUAAACCAGCAUUAAAUAUACAACAACCUGAUCGCGUAUUGCCUAUUCCCAUUAAUCAGCUGCAUAAAACAAGUUGGUAACCAGGGAACUCAUUUACGGCCUGUUUAGAUGUCGGAACAAGUUAUCCGGUAUAAGUUGUGCUGUUCAAGGAUUUUCUUUUGUAAUUGCAAAUAUAGGAGUCUUAUGGAAUCUUAAGGAUUCCGACCAUUCGGGAUAGCAAGGAGCAUAUUUCCGAGAGAGAAAUGAGAGGGAGGAUGAGGAUGUACUAUACGAUUGAAGAUAUAUUCUCGUACUCCCCAUCAACCAAUAUCCACACGUACGGUCUAUAAGUAAACUAAAAAAGAUAUUCUGAGCAAGAUAUUCACGCAUCCAGGUAGGCACCUAAGAUAUGACUAGCUUUUGCAGCCGGCAUUCAUGCCAAACAAUGAGUCAAACAAACAACUACUUGCCUAAAACACAUACAAGACAAGAUCAUAAGGUCAAGUAGGGAGUUGGAGAAAUUAAAGCUCACCAACUGAGAAGCAUUUAUUUUGAUGGCCAUUUUGCGCUAAUAAUUAAAGUACCGCCGACUCAAACAUUUUAUCCAAGUACUUCUAACAAAGAGGAUAGCAUGUAUAAAUUGUCCCCGAGACUGUCCCGAUGUUGAGACUACAGUCGCUGAACUUUUUGCUUAGAUACUUCAUUCCCUAACUAUCUCAUACAUUACGAUUGCCCGCGAAUCACGAACAAAACAUCUUAACUUCUUCCGCAAAAAUGACCAUCUUAGACGGUGUUAGAAGAAAGUAAUUUCAUAGGGAAUAGUUUAUACCUAUAACAUUCUUUUAUUCGCCGGAGAUGCAACUGGUUUAUACGAAAAAGUUCAGAUACAAAAUGUUUCUUUUGUAUCGUAACCUAUUCAAGUUCCUUCAAAUUUUUUUUUUUUUUUUUUCACGAUUAAUCCUAAUCUAUCACUAUUCAGGCUAUUCAAAACAGGAAAGAAAAAAAAAAAAAAGUUCUUCAGGUGCGGAACAAAGUCACAUUAUGGAAUAGUAUACGAACUAUCCAUACAUUUACCUCAAAAGAAAACCAGGUUACAGGUUGUUGGAAAGGUUUGAGCACAAGCAUGUGCAAGAGAGAAAAAGCCCCUGGUGGAUAGAUAUAACUUUACUCUGCACAGCAAGGAGGGAAAGCUUUUAUUGCGUGAAUAGGAUAGUGGUGGGUUCAUGAAACAACUAAGACUCUGGAACCACCACCCAUCAUGGAAACAUUAACUUUAGGAAGGGUGAGUACAACAUGUGACUUAAGAGAUGGGAAAUGGUGGGCCCAUCUCAAUUUAAAAUCUUGUAGUAGGUGUUAAUUACCACCCAGAAAGUGAAUAGUACCCAGGGAGAGGGAUAAAAAGCAAACAAAAUUUAACUAAAGUUUGAACAACCACAUGGGUGAAACUAAUGUCCAAAUUACUUGAGAUAUGUAAUUUGUACCAUCUAGUUAUCAAUGUCUCUCCUACCAAACACAGCAAUGAAUUGGGUUAUAAAACCGGCCCCGUCCUAGUGCAGAUGGUAAAGAACUUGGUGAUUGAUAUCUGAGGUCUUAAAUUUGAAGUUUAGUUACUUUACAUUUUUAGCUAAAUUUAUUUUAUAAUAAAAAAAAUAAACAAAAAAAAGUUAAUUAUAGAAAAAAAAAAAAUUAAAAUUCAAAAGCCAAAGAAAUAUAUAUAGAACAGUUAACUGCAACACAUGUUGCCCAGUAGCCAUCAAGAAUUCACAAAACACCCACAAAAUGUUCCUCUAAAAUAGAAGCAAAUUUAACAUGGAAUAAGAAGACCCCAAGUGGCAAAAACCCAAAAAAAAAAAGAAAGAAAGAAAGAAGGAAACUAUUAAACUAUGCAGAACAACAGAAAUGCAUGGAGGCCCCCUCAACUACAGGUCAUUUUGAAAGUGACCCCAAACUUUUUUUUCUCUUUAAAUUUCUCUCCACACUUCUUAUUAUAUAUCUGAAUUAUUUUACCAAACUGACUUGAAAGCUACUUAAACUCGACAGCUCUAUUAGCUGUGCAACAAAGUCAAUAGUGACCGACCGUCCCUAGCGCAAAUGGCAAAGGACUUGGUGAUUGAUAUUCGAGGUCCCAAGUUCGAAUUCUAGUUGAUUCACAUUUUCAGCUAAGUUUAUUUCUAAAUAAAAUAAACGAAACGGGUAGCAUGCUACCUAUCUCUCUCUAAAAAAAAAAAAAAAAAACAAAAUCAAUAGUGCCAUCAGCUGAAAAAACAGUUGAAUUUAAUUAUCAUAACAUUAACUUAAACAAAAUUUUGGUAAAAAUGUAUAGCGAAUUCCUUAACUAUAGACUAUUCUGAAAUGAAAUGAACCCUUUACUCGUGACUCUGUCACCUAUUCAUUUACUGGCUCUAAUAAAAUUUUCGAUAAAUGUGAUAAAAUUUUUAAUUUAUUAGACAAAUUAUUUAAGUAUGAAAAAGUGGAAGUUAAGGGUUGCCAAUAAAAAAGAGUAAAGUUGAGGGCAUCAAUUCACAAUAAGCAAUGCUACUAAUACAUCCUAUAAUGAGGUGUAUAUAUAUGUUGCACUCUUUUUAUCCAAAAAUAAUCACUUCUUUCCUUGUAACAUCAAUUUUUUUUUUUUUUUUUCUUUUCAUUUACUAUAACCGAUUUGGAUUCUUGUAAAUUACAGAACGAUGGGGGUAAGAUUUAUACCCUAUUUUGAGAUGUACGAGUGAAAAUUUUCUUUCAAAAUAGUUUAUAGCUGAGAGGCUCUCCAUAAAUUUUUACCUAAAAGUUUCGAAAAAUGCUACCUAUACGCCCCUAUAAAGAGUGUUACAUCCCCACACCCUUCAAAUAAGGGUUGAUACACUUCUCUGGGUUUUAGUUAAAAAAAGAAAAAAAGAAAAAAAGAAAAACAGAAAAGACAAGUUGAUUGAUACACACAAGAAGAAGUCAUUUAAGUUAACUUUGGAUGUAUAUCUUACCAUAUUAUCUAACUUUUUCGCACUAAUCUUAUCGUUUUUUUUUUUUUUUUUAAGAUAGUAAGACUACUUAUCAUCUAAAUGUACAAUAGUAGAUGUACAAUUUUUUUAUUGAUGAAAUAUAUUAUUCUACCAAAUUAUAAGUAGUAAAUUUUUUUUUUAAAAAAAAUAAAAAUUGAACUCCAUAUUUAUAAUUAAUCACAUUAGAAAAUUUUCAUGUAAAUAUUACGAUGUCCAAAUAGACUUCAAAAAAAAUUGAGAUUGAUGAGUUAAAAAAAAAAAAAAAAAAAUAGUUGAGGGGCCAAUUCCAAAAUAGUGCAUCCGCACAUUUUUAGGAGCAAUAUCAUCCGUACACCUCAUAUAAGGGUGUAAAACUUACACUCUGGCCUGUAGUACGCGGCCUAUAUCACACUAUUUGUCAUAUCAUUUUUUUUUUAAUGCUAAUAAUUAUUUGAAGUGUUAGAGAUCCUUGGAUUGCCAGAGUGUAAGAUGUCGACCUCCAGAUGGGAUGUAAGCAGCAUUUUUUUUUUAAUUUUUUUUUUUUUAAAGAUCAGUCGCAAGUUCCGAAACUUGUGCUGCAGUAGCAAACUUAACUAUAUAUAUAUAUAUAUUUAAGGGUAAAAAAAAAAAAGAAAAAAAGAAAAAGAAAAAAAACCAGGGGAGAAAAGAAACCUGUGAUAAUAGCCGUUAGAUGAGCGGCGUCAACACCGUCGGUGACCUGCUCCGCCGUAGAAGCAGAGCCAAAGCCACUCGGCCCCGGCCACCCGGUCACCAGAGAGAACAGACCCAUCUUACUUACUUACUUACUUACGAUCACUUUUCUAUUAUUUUUAUUGUUAUUAUUAUUAUUAUUAUUAUUAUGAAGUGGAAAAAAUGUAGUGGCACACCAGACGAGAGAUAAGUUGAGAUGAGAUGAGAUGAGAUGGAGGAGACGAGGAGACGAUGGUCUUAUUAAUUAUCAAGCACUACUUUACUACUACAAGAAUAUAUCCAGAGAGAGAGAGAGAGAGAGAGAGACAGAGAGAGUAAGGGGGGUGGGGAGUGUGGAAGUUAUUUUCUGGUUGUUGAGGAAUCGAUAGUGGUUUGGUCGAAGAGAGAAAGGGCGAGGAAAGAGAGAGAGAGAGAGAGAGAGAGAGAGGGAGGGGGAAGCAGAGGUUUAAUGCGCGCCGCAUCGGGAGUCGUGAAGCAUAUUCGUCGUGAAAAAUAAUUUAGAAUGUAUCAGUUAUAUUAUCAGAACAAUUAUAUAUAUAUAUAUAUAUAUAGAAUUAUGCUACUACACUAUCAAUAGUACCAAGUCCUUAGUACUAUUGAGUUUUCGACCGUUGAAUGAAAAGAUGUGCGGUUAGGAUGAUAGUGGUCCCUAGUAAAAUUGAUAAUGGUCCCCUAGGGUUGAGUGGGUGGUUGGUUUAAUAGUAUAAUCUAACGGGUGGAAAUGAUCAAAGGUAGAUCUAACAGUAGAAAACUCAAUAGUACCAAGGGCUUGGUACUAUCGAUAGUAUAGUAGCCGGACUCUAUAUAUAUAUAUAUAUAUAUAUAUAUAUAUAUAUAUAUAUUUUAAAAAAAAUCUCGAUUUCUUAGUUUAUUCUUUUUAGAAGGUUGAUAUUAAAAAUAUUUUUUAUAUUUCAAGUUAUUUCAAAUAUAUAUAUAUAUAUAUAUAUAUAUAUAAAAAUAUUAAUUUUAAAAAAAAUCUCGAUUUCUUAGUUUAUUCUUUUUAGAAGGUUGAUAUUAAAAAUAUUUUUUAUAUUUCAAGUUAUUUCAAAUAUAUUUAUAGAGUUAAAUUCUGUUAGUGAUCUGUUAGUAAUAAUCGUUAUUUCUGUAAAAUUAAUAUUUUAUCCUUUUUAAUAUACUUUUUUAUCAUCACAAAUUUUUCUUAUUUGUCCUUAAGUUAGGGACAAAAGGCGUAUUUUGAUUUUUAGUCCUUUCAAACAUACCUUUCUACCAUCAUCAACUUUUCUUAUUUGCCCUUAAGUUAAGGGCAAAAGAGGUAUUUUGAUUUUUUUUUUACUUCUAGUAAACAUUUAACUUGCGUUUAACCCGAGAUAACUUAACGGGUGGUAAUUGUAGGGGUAUUUUUGAAUAACAGAGAAAUAUAUGAGAUGUAUAUUGGAAACAAAAGAAAACUAGAAAUAAAUUAGAUAUUUUUGGAGUUUUGAGGGGUAUAUAGACAAUUAUCCCUAUAUUAUUAAUGCAAUAUAUUUCUAAACAAUUAGGUAGCAUUUGGUUCGGGAACAAGGAGGGGAAUAAGCCCUUGUUCCCCCCUUUAUUCCCAAACGUGAUGUUUGGUACCCAGGAACAAUAGUUCCAGAAUUUCAAGAACAAGCUGGUAUAAGGCUGUAACUGCUGUUCCACCUUUUUCUUGAAAUAAGCUUGUUCCUUGAUGAGAACAAGGUUAAUUAAAAUCUAAAUUUAAUUUUAAUGACAAUAAAUUAUUAAUUAAUCUAAUUAAUAUAUUUAAAUUAUUAUUUAUUACUUUAAUAAUUAAAUAAUUAAUUAAUUUAUUAUUUAUAAUUAAUUAAUAAUAAUUAGAUAAUCUAUAGUAUUAUUAAUUUAUUAUUUAUAGUUAAUUAUUAAUAAUUAUUAAUUAGACAAUCGUUAUUAUUAUUAAUAUAUUAUUUAUAAUUAAUUAUUAAUAAUUAGAUAAUUAUUAUUAUUAAUUUAUUACUAGUAAUUAAUUAUUAAUAAUUAUUAAUACUUAUUAUUAUUUAUAAUUAAUUAAUAAUAAUUAAUUAAUUAUUUUAUUUUUAAGUAAUAUUUUGAUGUUAAUUAAUUACAUAAUAUAAUUUAAAUUUCAAAUUAUAACUCUUAUUUCUCUUGUUCCAAUCGAACCAUCCAAAUACUAUUUACCUUAUUUCUAGAAACAACCCAAUUUUCAUCGAAACGCAAAAUUGGUCUAGUUCCUGCUUAUACCUGAAUUUGUACCUAUCCAUAGAACUAGUGGUUCUUAUUUAUACCCGAACCAAACGCAGCCUUAGAUUAUCCCUUUUAGGUUCACCCAUUCCAUCAUAAUUAUUAGAGAAAUAUUUUUAUUGUACUUUUUUUUUUCUCAAACAGAGAGAUGCGAUAGACUGAUUAUUGAUGAUAUAAUGCAAGUGUGAUAUAAUAGACUUCCGCCUGUUUUGGGGCGAACAAUAAAUUUUUAUCUUAAAAAUAAAAAAAUUUUGAGCUAAAUUAGGGCCCGUUUGGCCUAACUUUUGAAAAAGUGAUUUCUGAAAAAGUGAUUUUGGUUUAGAGAAUUGAUUUUGGUUAAAAGCUGCAGAGCGUUUGGCCGAGUUUAGAUAAAAGCGAUUUUUCAGAAGUGAUUUUCAAAAACUGUUUGGCAUAUAUUUUUUUUGAUGUUUAUAUAAAUUAAUAUUUUUAUUAAAUUUUAUUUUAAAAUAAUUUAAAAUCUAAAUUUAAAUUUGAAUUAAAAUUAAAAUUUUUAAAUUUCAAAAUUGUACAAAAUUAAAAAUGUCACGCCCCGGUUUACUCGUUUUUCCGGCUCGCUGACAGACCCGCCGUAUAUAUAGGUAUUUUUCCUGUAUACGAAGCGAAAAAGUAGAAGUGCCUGUAAUCAUACAAUACUACAAACAGUAGUAUAGAGCAGCUAGGAAAAUAAACCAGAAAUAAAAACUGCGGUUCCAAUACAUACAUGUCAUCCAGGUAUACAAACACUCGCUCAUGCGAGAAAACAACAACUGUAUGUAAAGACCCAAAAACUACAACUACUUGUAGCUGGUGCUCUCUAGCUCUGCGACUCGAUCGGAAGGGCUCUAACUCGCGACGCCCUUGCCACGAUCAAGAUCAGCAACAGCAUUAGCCGAAGGCGACGGCUCUGUAAAAACAGUGAUAACAACUGGACGUGAGAACUACUGUAAAACAAGUAGUCCUCAGUGACGGUCCCUGCUGACGGGAUCCCCUGGAAUGCUAACGCCCCGAUGACCCACGACCCUGAGAGCGAGAUCGUGGAGGUCUCGGUGGACGUCUGCUGCUCGUCUGACCGCCGUCAUCAGGAAAAGGGCACUUCUUGUCCUGGCACUACCCCGAUGCCAUAGUCCGCUCCUAGACUGAUAUACCUCCGUGCUCUACCCAGAGUGUCUACUGCACAAAUGCUCCUGGCUCACCGCCCUACCACUGGGUAACAGUCUCGCACAUCCUCUGCAAUAGUACACUCUGCUGCUUGAUCACCUCUGACAAAGCAGCCAACUGCUCUCUCAAAUCAGGGGGUGCACUCACCUCUGGUCGUGCACUCGGCUCUGCCUGCUCAGGCAUCUCAUGCGGUGCGGCACGAUCCCUGGUCGACGAUUGACCUCGGCGACGAUACAUAGCUGAAAGGAACAGAGUAGGGUCAGACAAAAUACAAACACUCUCGACCCAAUCAAACAAAAGUCUAGAAGGCGGCUCCUGUUUCUCUACAAAAUUAUGUCGUCUGCAGCCAACAUAAUUUUUCCAGAUUGAAACAGAAACUCCUUCAAUCACUCCCUCCGCUUCAGGAGGAGUUAGAACAAUCAAUCAGUGACUUUCGCGAUAAAUCACGCCUCUCGCGUCUUGCCUUCCUAAGGUUUGCCAAACUUAGGGUUUCUAGGUCCCAACGACCUAUAGCUAAGCUCUGAUACCAACUUAAUUCCUUUACGAGUCAGUCGAGUGAGUAGUGUGGAAAGCUUCGCAAAGCCUUCCACAAAUCGACAGUAAUAACCAGCAAGUCCAAGGAAACUCCUCACUUCUGUCACUGUCGUCGGUCUGGGCCAAUCUCGAAUAGCAUCAAUCUUUUUCGGGUCCACUGCCACUCCAACCGCAGAUAUCACGUGGCCCAAGAAAGCAACAUCCCGCAACCAGAACUCGUACUUCUUUAACUUGGCAUACAACUUCUUCUCUCGCAGAAGCUGUAGCAAAAAAUUUGAUAUUUUAAUUUGAAAAAUAAAUUUAAAAAUUAAAAAUUUAAUAAUUUAAAAAUUAAAAUUUAAUAUUUAAACAUUAAAACUUAAAAAUUAAAAAUUAAAAAUUAAAAAUUAAAAUAAUUAUGAAAUUUAAAAUAAAAAAAUAUAAAAAUUUAAAAUUUAAAUUAAAUUUAAAAAUAUAAACUGAUUUUGAAAUUUAAAAUAUAAAAUUUUAAUAUUUAAAAAUAUAAAUUUAAAUCUAAAUUUUAAAUUUCAAACUUUAAAUUUGAAAUUUAAAAUUUAAAAUUUAAAAUUUAAAAUUUAAAAUAUAAAUAAUUAUCAAAUUUUAAAUUUAAAAUAUAAAAUUUUCAUAUUUAAAAAUAUAAAUUUAGAUUUUAAAUUUUAAAUAUAUUUAAAUUUAAAAUUUAAAAUUUAAAAUAAUUAUGAAAUUUAAAAUAUACAAUAUAAAAUUUGAAUAUUUAAAUUUAAAAUUUGAAUAUUUAAAUAUAAAAUUUGAAUAUUUAAAAUUUAAAAUUUAAAUUAUAAUUUGUAAAUUAAAACUUGUAAUUUAAAAUUUGAAAUUUGAAAUUUUAGAUUUUAAAAUCUAAAAUUUGGGAUUUGAAAUUUAAAAUUAAAAUUUAAAAUUUAAAGUUUGAAAUCUAUUUUUUAAAUUUUAAAAUUGUAAAAUUAAAAUUUAAAAAUUAAAAAAUAAAACUAAAAAUUAAAAUUGAAAAUUAAAUUUAAAUUUAAAUAUUGAAUUUAAAAUUAAAACAAAAAUUUUAAGUUUGAGUCUAAAAUCAGAAUCAGAUUUUAAGAUGCAGUUUUUUUCUGCUUUUGAUUUUGAGGCCUUCAAAAUCAGUUUUCUGAUUCUAAGAAGUAGAAUCAGAUUUUAAAGAUGAAUUUGCCAAACACUCUAUUGAGUUGAAAAUUACUUUUUAACCCAAAAGCGCUUUUUAAAAGCUUGGCCAAACACCCCCUUAGAGUUCAAUUGAAAUUUGUUUCGCCGUUAUUUGUUUGAUAAAAAAUUAGUGGUCUUGAAAUUACAGUGAUCUUAUGUUGUUAUUUAUUAUCAUUAAAAAUAUGUACACUAACAUAUAAGAGGGUAAAAAAAAUUACUGUAAUUUUUUUUUUUAAAUUUUAUAUUUCUUUUCUCUCGUAAUUGACUUCGAUAUCACCAAGGCAUAGUUAAUUACGACAUUUUUUAAAAAAUAAAGUUACGGACGAAUUUAAUUUACACCAAAUCAAACAAUAACAACCAAAAAUAACAUUUUCACGAAAGUGAAAGAGCAUGAACUUGUUUUUAGAAGCAAAAACCUACUUCUAUUGUUUCGUGUGCUGUAACUUAAAAUUGCUUGUAACUUUAUUUUUUCUUUUCAAAACAACGUAAUUGACUUCGCAAAGAUGGAGGUGAAGUCAACUAUGAAAGAAAAAGAGAUAGAAAAAAAAAACUGCUAUACCUUUUUCUCCUUUCUAUGUGCUGCUGUAAAAAUUUUCACUAAAAGAAACAAAAAAGGAUAACUACAAAUCCAAAUUCAUUGACUUCCUAUCAAACAAACAAUGGUGGAAUUUAAAUUCUACCAAACCUCUUGUCUCAUUUAUAUCAUUCUUUUUAAUUCAAGUCUAUAUUCUGGACUAUAUAUAUAAUUGUGCUAAAAUACUAUUAAUAGUAUGAUACUAUCCACUUUAUGAACCAUUGGAUGGCUAAGAUUGAGUGAGUAAUUGAGCUACUAUGCUUUUAAAAAUAAUAAGUCAUUAGUGCUGGCAGGUUUUCAGCCUUUGGAUGAAGAUUUGUAGGGUUAGGAUAAUAGUGGUCUCGGGAGAGUUGAGUGGUGGUUAGUGGAAUAACAUAAUCUAUGUGUGGAAUUUGUCAGAGAUACCGAUAAAAAAAAAAAUACAAGCGCCAAGUGCUUGGUGCUUUUGAAAGCACCAUAGCCGGACUAUAUAUAUAUAUAUAUAGAAUUGACCUCCUAUGCUUUUAAAAGUACAAAAUUACUAAUGCUUAUAAUUUUUUGGCCGUUGGAUGAAGAUUUAGAUGGUUAGGAUGAUAAUAGUUUGUACCCUUAAUAGGGUUGAGUGGGUGGUUGGUGGAAUGGCAUGAUCUAAAGGGUGGAAUUGGCCAAAGGGAUAGAUCCAACAAUAAAAAAAUUACAAACACCAAGUGUUUGAUGCUUUUGAAAGCACCAUAGACGAAAUAUAUAUAUAUAUAUAUAUAUAUAUAAAGAGAGAGAGAGAGAGAGAGAGAGAGAGAGAGUUGGGCUAGAAUACUAUUGAUAUCAAAAGACCCUUUUUGCUAUCAAGUUUUUAACUCUCGAAUGAGAAAUUGUAGGGUUAGGAUGAUAUUAGUUCCUUAAGGUUGAGUGGUCCACCUAGGGUUGAGUGGUCCCCACUGAGUUAUAAUAUUUAAUCCAAUGGUUAGAAAUGAUGAAAGGAGUUGAGCUAAAAGUUAAAAACUUGAUAGCAAAAAGGGUCUUUUGCUAUCAAUAGUAUUCUAGCCCAACUCUCUCUCUUUGUCACGCUCAGGAUUACUUGUUUUUCCGGGCACGCUAAUAGACCCGUCAUAUACAUAAAAAAAUUUUCUGUAUACGAAGCGAUAGCUGUACCUGUACCUGAAAUCAUACAAUACUACAACCAGUAGUAUAGAGCUGCUAAAAAGAAAUAUAUAUGUAAAUAACAUCGGUUCAACAAACAUACAUACAUAGUAUUCUGAUACAAAAACACUCGCUCCGGUGAGAUACUAACAUCAGUAUGUAUAAGAAUCAAAAACUACAACUACCUGUAGCUGGUAUAACUCUCUAGGUCAGUAGCAACUGGGAAGGGAUCUAGCUCACGACUCCCUUCCACGAUGAGUCUCCACGACAGCAGCAGCCGAAGAGGAGGGCUCUACAAAAAGAAUCCACAACUGGGUGUGAGAACUACUGCAAAAAGAAGUAGUGCUCAGUGGGUAUCGCUACCAACCUCAACGGCUCACCUACUAAGUCUACAGAAGUAAGCAGGGAUAGUAAGGAAAGCUGGAACAAAUCUAUAGCUAUAUGCCACUAUACUAUCGUGAUCCAACACUAACUAUCUAUAGAAAAUACAAAUUCUGACCCAAUCUCACUAGGGACUGUGAACACACCCGUCCCGCCUGUUGAAGCUACACUAAUUGCCACCACGCUAGGUCGUCAGUGGAGAGCAAGUCCAAACAGGACAAACCGACGUCAACGCAAAAGCACUAAGCCCGACUCCGGAGUGGCACGCGUGGGCGCUACCCAACCGAGUAUGCAAGCGUGUCUCUGCCAAGCUCAAUCAGGCUCUCACAGGCUGUAAUCAAAGUAGAAAGAUCUCACUGGUCUAAGAACCAUAAUCUACGUGCUCUCGGCACAAUCUGAUGCAAAAACAGCCAGCAGGGUCCACCGUCAACCGUGACAGCACCCGACAGUCCGGAACAGUCUAUACACUGCUGUAAAAAUAAGCUCAGCAUCCCAGCACGAGCGUAAAUAUAUUCUACACUAUUAUAGGUAUCCACCGUCAACAGACUGCGGCGAUACAAACCAUCUACAGCUCCUAAAGUUAGCUCUGGUAGUUUUAGCAGAUGAAAGUGUAGAACCUAUAGUUUUCUCCUAAGUCAAUUCCAAGUCCAACAUGUAUAAUUUAGCUAAUAUUCUAAGCUCCAAUUCAGAUUUAAGAAUAAAGUAAAUCAACGAAUCGAGCUACUAAACAUGCUAUGCAAAGCGGAAAAUACAUGCUGUUAUAUAUAGGCUUAGGAGAAAAUUCGUAGAAUUCGGUAAACAUAUCAUUAACCCACCUCUAGCGCGAGUCCGACAAGGCUAGAAGUCGCUGGGAAGCUCGGCAGUGAUCACCCACGAACCAGCAACAACCUUCUCCAAUGAUCUAAACACAAAAACACCAAAAUUUCAACACUUAAGCUUAAUUUCUCCAAAACCUCAAUGUCAAACUCACCUUUCAAUCCUCAAUUCAGGUGAGGAAAGGUUCCAAAACUAGUGGAGAAUGAUAGCGUAAAGUUCUCAGGUCCGAAUUCCAGCUUUCUCCUAGAAUUGAUCCAAGAGAACCACAAAAGUCCCAAUUUCAGCUCAAGUAUAACAGCAGCCCAGAAAAACGCCAAAUUGACUAUACAAACCUCAAUCAAAUGCUGUCAAAAUGGGCUUCACGAAAACUCCAAGAAGUCUAAUAACCACGAAACCAAGGUUUGCAGUAAUCGGAGCUUCCUACGUCGCACACGAGCCAAAACACCGAAGGUCGCUACUGGAAAUCUGUAGAAACUGCAAUCCUCAAGGUGGAAUUGUGUAAAUUUGGAGGGUUAGAGGGAUUAGAGUGCAAAUUAUAGGCUUCUUUGUGAAGAAGGGUGAAAAAGCUUCUCAGGGGAUCGCACCCAAGCUUUUAUAAGGAGGUGAAAAGGUCUGAUAAGCCCCAAGAACCAAAAACACAAACCUGCUGUUCUUGCAGAAAUGACUACAUUCGGGCCCCCGAGACCCACUUCUGGGCGUCCGAAACUCCCAAGCUAUACAAACACUCCUCUUCGGUUCCUCCGCCCACGGUACGAUGUGCCCAAAACCUGGUUCGGCGGAUCUCACCUACCACAAGACACGUGUCAGCACAGUCGAUACUCCCAAAGUGAACAUUCGGACCCACUUCUGGACGCCUGGAACACAGGAUCCGAAUUGGCUUCCAGUUCAGCUCUGUUCAGCACUCAAGAUCUGGGCGAUCGAAACUAUGUUCUGGGCGCCCGAAACUCGCAAAACUCCAGUUUUUCUUAUUUGAGUGCGCGAAGUCCAUUUCAUGCAAAACGACUCCAACUCAGUCCAACACUCUCCAGAUGUGUCGACUAGUCACUAAUACUAAAACCAAUCCGAUAUCAAACCCUCGGGACACUACAUCCUCCCCCACUACAAAAAGUUUUGUCUUCGAAACUUGAUGCAUACCUCAAUCCUGAGCAUCGGACAAGUAGGGAUAGGACUCCCGCAUCACCGUCUUUGGCUCCCAAGUCACAUCUCGCUCCUUGUGAUGACUCCACUGCACUUUUACAUAAGGAAUGACUCGGUUGUGCAAUUCUUUCGUUUCACGAGCCAGAAUUCGCAUCGGUCGCUCCUCAUAUCUUAAGUCAUCGCCAAGCUCCAGCGGAGUGAAGUCGAUCACGUGAGAAGGAUCGAACACGUAUCUCCUCAAUGCCGAGACGUGAAAAACAUUAUGAAUACCAGCCAGUCGUGGGGGUAGAACAAUCCUGUAGGCAACUGGUCCAACUCGCUUUAAUACCUCAAAAGGGACAACAAAGCGUGGACUAAGCUUUCCACGCACUCCGAAUCUGCGUAUCCCUCUGGAUGGCGAGACUUUCAGAAAUACAUGAUCUCCAACCUGAAACUCUAAGAUUCGUCUCCUGGUAUCGGUGUAGCUCCUCUGCCGAUUCUGGGCUGUCAAAAUAUGUCGUCCCACCGCUUUAACUUUUUUCUUAGCCUUAAUCAGAAUCUCAGGCCUCAGAGUCUUCCUUUCAUCCACAUCACUCCAAUACAAAGGGGAUCGACACCUGCGUCCAUACAAUGCUUCAAACGGAGCCAUCUGAAUGCUCGUUUGAUAGCUGUUGUUGUACGCAAACUCAACAAGUCUCAAAUGUCGAUGCCACCUUCCUCCAAAGUUCAGGAUACAUGCUCUCAGCAUGUCCUCUAGAGUCUGAAUGGUCCGCUCUGACUGACCAUCCGUCUGUGGGUGAAACGCCGUGCUGAAAUGCAACUGUGUACCCAAGGCUGUCUGAAGACUCCUCCAAAAGUGCAAAAUGAAUCUCGAGUCUCGGUCCGAUACUAUCAAGGUAAGCACACCAUGCAAUCUCACUAUCUCAUCUAGAUAUAAUUGCGUGAGUCUCUCCCUAGACCAGGUGGUCUGUACUGGUAGGAAGUGGGCAGAUUUAAUAAGUCUGUCCACUAUCACCGAAAUAGCAUCGAAACCACUCUGUGCUCUCGGUAAUCCCACGAUAAAGUCCAUCGUGAUCUGCUCCGAUUUCAACUCGGGCACUGGCAGAGUCUGAAGCUUGCCAGCAGGUACCUGAUGCUCUACCUUUACCUGUUGGCAAGUCAAACACUGAGCCACAAAUCUGCAAAUGUCUCUCUUCAUUCCGUUCCACCAAUAGUGUGCAUUCAAGUCCUUAUAUAAUUGAGCUCCUAUGUCUUUAAAAGUACGAAAUUAUUGGUGGGUGUAAAUUUUUGGUCGUUGGAUGAAGAUUUGGAUGGUUAGGAUGAUAGUAGUUUGUUUCCCAGAGUUGAGUGGAUGGUUGGUAGAAUAGCAUGAUCUAAGGGGUGUAAUUCGUCAAAGGGAUAGAUCUAACGGCGGAAAACUUACAAGCGCCAAGUGCUUGGUGCUUUUAAAAGUACCAUCGCCACAAACUACAUAUAUAUAUAUAUAUAUAUAUAUAUAUAUAUAUAUAUAUAUAUAUAGAGAGAGAGAGAGAGAGAGAGAGAGAGAGAGAGAGAGAGAGAGUCCGGACUAUUGGUGCUUGUUAAAAAGCACCACGCACUUUCGCAGUGCUCUUGUAAAUUUUUUUAACCUGGUUAGACUCUACGUAUUUUGAUCUUUUCAACCUUUAGAUUAUACUAUUCAAUUCAACUACCCAACUAACCCUAGCGGACAUAUCAUCCUAACCACAUAUUCCUUAUCAAUUGGCAAAAAAUUUACAGUACCAAUCUUGGUUUUUAAAAGCAUAGGAGCUCACAUCUCUCUUCUCUCUCCUCAUCUUUCUCUCUUUUUCUAUAAUAUAUAUAUUAUAUAUAUUAUAGUCUAUAUAGAAGUUGAGUGGAAUGCUUAUACGGUAGCAACGGGCGUCGUGUUGCCACCAUUGUUUUCGAUGAUGGAGACUUUCAAAUCGCGAUCGGCACCUUGAACAUGAUUUAAUCACUGAAGUAUCUAGAAAUCAAUUUCAAAUCUUUUGCGACAUUCAUUUACUAAUUGUCAAAGAGGCUUAAAAAUAGUAAUUUUAAUGGUUGAUAUGAGGGGUUUUCUUCCUUUUAACGGAUUUGCUGUAAGCUAUCAAAUAAUUAUUUUGUUAGAAUUUUCUUUAACUAUUUAGACACAGAUCUAUCUUCUCGAUAUGAUUACAAAAUCUUCUAUUCACUUUUUAGCGGGAUAUUCAUUUUCAGCAUUCUUUUACGCACACUUGCUGGUACAGAAACAUAUCGCGAAAGUAUUGAAUUUUGAUUUCUUAGAGAUUUCAAGUAGGUAUAGAUAUUUUUAACCGGAUCCGAUCGUCGAUUUGGAUUGCUCCAUCAUCGAAAACAAUGCCGGUGCAACUGAGCCGUUUAGCUACUUAUAGUAUUCCAGCUCAACUCUCUCUCUACUAUAUAUAUAUAUAUAUAUGUAUAAUUAUUUAUAUAUAUUAAUUUAUGUAUAAUAUACUUAUUAUAUAUAUACAUAUUUGUAUAUAUGUAUAUAUAUAUAUACAUUAUAUGUAUAUUAUCGUAUAUAUAUAUAAAGCUAAGCCUGGAAUGACUAUUAAUAGCACAAUGAUCUUGGUGCCUAUUAAGUUUUUCUGUCUUUGGAGUUAAAUGAUCGUGCGGUUUAAGAUGAAUGUUGAGCACCAUAGGGAUUGAACGGGUGGUUGGUAUUGAUAGUUAAUCGAACGGAUGAAAAUUGAUAAAGAGAUAAAUUUAAUGACAGAAACUUGAUAGCGACUAAAUGCUUCGUGUAUCGAUUGUAUCCUAGCGGACUCUCUCUCUUUCUUUCUCUCUCUCUUCUCUCUCUUCUCUGCGUAUAUAUUAUAUAUAUUAUUAUUUAUAUAUAUACUCUAUAUUAGUAUAGUAUAUAUAUAUAUAUAGUAUAUAUAUUAUAACUAUAUAUAUAUAGAACUAGGUUGGGAUAUAUUAUUUAGCACAAAGCUAUUAAGUCGCUAAUUAGUUUUUUACCCUUUGGAAUUGAGAAAUGUGCGGGUAGGAUGAUGUGGGUCCCCAAGGGAUUGAGUGAGUGGUUUGUGAAUAGUAUAAUCUACAGGUAAAAAUAAUAAAAGGGGUUAAUUAACGUGCGAAAACUCAUAGCACCAAGUCCUUAGUUGCUAUUCGCAUAGGUAUCCCAGUCGGCUCUUCUCUCUCAUGUCUCUCUCUCUCUUCUCUCUCUCUACUCUCUCUUUAUAUAUAAUAAUAUAUAAUAUAUAUAUAUAUAUAUAUAUAAAGAGAGAGAGAGAGAGAGAGAGAGAGAGAGAGAGAGAGAGAGAGAGAUUCUCGCUAUUAUACAUCGAUAGUACUAAGCGCUUGACGCUAUCGAGUUUUUCAUCGUUACAUCUACGCCUUUGACGAUUUUCUCCUGUUAGAUUAUAUUAUUCAACCAACCACCUACUCAACCCUAGAGGACUACUAUCAUCCUAACCACACAUCCCUUCAUCCAAGGGCUGAAAAUUUAAUAGCACCAAUGUCUUAGUGCUAUUACUAGUAUAGUAACCUAGUUUAUAUAUAUAUAUAUAUAUAGAGAGAGAGAGAGAGAGAGAGAGAGAGAGAGAGAGAGAGAGAGAGUUGGGCUACUAUAUUCUUAUAAAUGUAGUACUCUUUAUACUCAUAAGUUAUUUUCAAUGAUGGAGCUUUCAAAUUGACGAUCCAUACUGUUAAAUAUGAUUUAAUGCAUUUGAACUUCUAGAAAAUAAAUUUUGUAAUUCUUCAAAAUUAUAAUAAAGUCUACCAAGUGAGCAUAAAAUGAACAGGUCAAAAUUGAAUGAUAUAUUGAAAGUAAAUAAUUUGAUCCUUCAAUUUAAGAUCGGAGUUAUUGAUUUUCAUCUAGAUAGUGAAUGAAAUUUUUUAUCAAAAAUUCAACCAAUUCCUAUUCUUUUAAACCAUUAAACUAGCAAGUAUAUUUAUCACGCCCCGAGACUCACCACUUUGGUUGGAUUCGGCGCGCCAACAGUGUAGUACCCGAAACUUUGGCCAAUUGCAAAGUUCGAGUGUUUGAAUAGCAAUUGAAACUGUUCCACAUCGAGAGGUUUUCAGCAAGUUACUAGAGCGAACAAGUGGCCGGAAGAGCAAAAGUGCAUUGAAGCAGCACAAAUUUGUAUUUUGGCACCGAGUACCAGUACCAGCAUGGUCCAGUACCGGUACCCAGCACAGCAGUAGCUGCGUGGCUGAGGCUAUUUUGGACUUUUCACUUCCUAAGCUUAUCCUUAUCACCCCAGCUUGACCCCUCAGCUUGUUCUUAUCAUGUUGGAGCUUUGAGAACAGGGGUGAGCUUCUCUCUCUUUCUCUCUCUAGGUUUUCCAUUUUGAGAUGGAAAACUAGUGUUUUAAUCUUGGUUUUUCCUUCUCUUUUGUUGUAGCUGAUUGGGAAGGCUUUGGAGCUGUGUUUUGCUGUUGGAGAGAGAGAGGUUUUGUAGGUUUUUCGCAGCCCUAGCUCAGCAAGAAGCUGAGUGGAAGUUUGGUAAGGUGAAGGAUUCAACUUCUCUCUAGAUUCAUGCUAUAGUAGUAAAGUUGAAUUGUCUUGGUUUCUUUGUACCAACUGGUUUUGGGAGAGAUUAAAGCAGCAAUAGAAGUGAUGUUUUACUGUUAUUCUUCAACUCUAAUCUAGGGAAAACAGAAUUGAAGCUUUGGAAGGUGAAUUAACAACUCUCUUCUCUAGUUUCAUGUAGUAGUGGCUAUAGUAAUGGAUUGUGAGCUUGUUCUUUGCCCUAUGCUGCUAGCUAGUUCGCAGAGCUUUGUAGUGGCUGUAGAAGUGGAGUUUGGCUAUAAUUCUUCAACCUUAACUCUGUAGAAAUUGAGUUAGAGCUGUACAAGGUGAACUAGCUAACUUUGCUACUAGUUUUGAGAUAUUGGAAACAAUUGUGAAAGAGUGUAUAGUGUAUGUUCAUAGCAGGUUCACAGCAGGGUAUUGGAUUCCUUUGGUUGAGAUUCAUGAGCUUUGGAAGGUUGGUUUGAUGUGUUCCAACCUGAAUUGAAAAGGAAUUCAAGUUUGGUUACUCCUAGGUGAGAUUCUAACCUAGACUAUGUGACUAUGUGAGGAUUUUUAUGUGAAAGCUUGGUUGAGGUUUUAGCUGAUUUUAGAAUCAUUGUUAGGGUACUUGAAGACUUCGGAUUACCUCCACUUGCGGAGUCAAUAAGAAUCGUCGACUAAUUGGUGGGUUUGACCUUACUGAAAUAGGUGAAUUCCCUCUAUAUCUUUUUUGACAUUAUGAAAGAAGAAUGGUUAUAUAUAUUCUUGAGAAUAUAAGCUUGAAUGAAUGUGUGUAUGCAUGAAAUCUCUAUGUAGUAAAGGAAAAAGGAUUUUGGGAACUAAUAUAUUCCAUGUGUAUUAUCUAAGGUUAGUAAAACUUGUGUAGACAAGUUAAACAUGAUAUCAGUGAUUGAGAAUCAAGGCAAAGCUAUGAAUAGUACUUUUAGUGUAGUUUAACAACUAAGCGGGGAAUGAUUAUGAUAUUUAACUCUUGAGUUAUUUUCUGCUAUUCCAUGUUUUAGACAUGACGACAGAAUUGCUAUGUAUAUUGCAUAAAACAAGAUUAUAUCUUUGUAUUAUGAAAUGAAUUGUUUAGAGAUCCUAUAUAGAAUACUCUAUCUGAGGUUGUGUAUACUUGUGUAAACAAGCUAUCCAUGGUAUUCAUAUGAUAGAACUAGUAUGAACUUCGUGUUCUGGUAUAUGAUUUAAUUAAAUAACUGGAACUUAGCAUUAUGACAUAACAUGAUCGUGAUACUAAGGAAUAUAACCUAGUUAAAUAACUAGGGUUAAAUAUGAUGUUAUACUUGUUGACUUCAAGUAGUGGAGGUUAUUGAAAAACUAUAGAAUAUGUGCCAUGAGUUACAUGAACACUAGAAUGAGUCAUUGAGUAUGACCUUAGUAAACCACUUUUCUUAUGUAUAGGGAGUAGUGAAAGGAUUGUAUAUGAGUAUGUGGGUAUAGCCCAUUAGAAUCAUCAAUAUGUUGUAAAGCAUAUACUUGUUUAAGUCAUACUACCUAUUGGUAGAAAUAUGUCACCAAGUAGUUGAUAGUGAAUUAUGACUUAGUGGUAAUUGUCGACUUUGUGUCGAGUUGAGAUUCCAUGUUAGAGACAUGAUGAACUUGUGAUACCUAUGCUAUGGAUUACGUUUGCUUGCCAUGUGCUCAUUUGCACACCCUUGUGAGGGUCGCGCCCCACAAGCCGGCACUCCGGAGUUAGCCUAGCGACAGAUUGCUCGCUUCUGUACGAGACUGAGCGCCGAAGUGGAUUGCUGUGGGUAGUGUUGACUUCCACGGGGCUAUUAGGCACGGUACGAGCCGGGACUUCAUUUUGUGUAAGUCUCUUGUUAAUUGGGUUAUGGUAAGUGACUUUAGCCUUAGAUGGACAUAGUAGUAAAGAUACUUUAUGUCAUUAGUCGAAUAAACCUAGUGAUGAACAUACUAGGAGGUUGACAUCCCUAUUAGUUAGUAGUAUAGUGACAGUACGUUUACACUCUUGUUAGUGUAGGAAAAUAGCUACAUGAUGUCAUUAGCUAGUGAAAUUAUGAUGAUAUUUUGCAUAUAGCAUGACAUAUAGCUGAUUAAACUGAUAAUUAACCUGACAAGUAGAACUUGUUAUGAUGAACUAGUAUAUAAGACAUGUUAGAAAACAUAUCUUGUGAGGCAUGCUAUAGUUGAUUUACUUGUUGCAUUUACUUUAUUUGCUUAUUGUUGUUUACUCAUGCCUCAGUUGACCUAGUGGUGUACUUCGCCACUCUCGGCGGUUUACCCACUGGGAACUAUUGUUUAAUAGUUCUCACGCCCUUUUGUUGGUUGUUUUUAUGCAGAGCCUUCCACAGCGGGAAAGGCUAGGAUUUUCCUGGCAAGGGGUCAGCGGAUAGCUAGAGCCUUCUCGAUGUUAAAUAGAUGGAACCAUACCAGCUUCUCUAGUCUAGUUCAGUAUUGUAUAUUGGAACUGUGUAGAAUGCACUUUGUACAUUACUUUUAAGUUGUAAUAAGGUUUUGUGUUGUAUAAGUUUUUAAACUUUUAAUUUUUUUCUGAUUAUCUGGUUAAGUAUUAUGCUUUUGCUAUAUUGAUUUUAGACACCUGGUGUACACUUGAGGUUGUGGUGUACACGGCGGGUCUGUGCACGUUACUGUGAGCUUCCACUGAAGUCCAGGGCAUGAGAAACAGACUGCUGAACAGACCGAGUUUUCGCUGUCCGCCCAAGGCGUUACAAUCAAUACAAUUCAAGUGGUUCCAACUAGGAACAGAAUUCAUACGCCGAUUGUAUAAGGAAGACAUCAAACAUAAUUACUAGGCUAUUACAAGAGCAUUCGUCACAUUUCAUAUUACAUUUACAUUUACAUUCUUUUUGCUUCCAAAUACAAUCAACUUUAUUACAAUUUGUUCAUUCCUUUCUAUACCCUAAGCUAUGUUGACCCAGGGUACAUUUAUCUCUGGUCUCAAGUGGUAGGGUGCUAUCUACCGAGCUACGCUCUUUCUUCGCGCUGCCGCGCCGCUCACGUGUAGACUUGAAAAACAUGGGAGUGAGAACUAUAAACAUAGUGUUCAGUGGGUACAGCCACCCAAGAGAAGAGCUUAACCCACCAGGUCCAAAGGAGGCAAUAUAAGUAAGUUAGUCCAACAUAUAACAUAUAGUUCAACUUUAUGCAAUUAAAAAAAUAUCAUACUUAUGCCUCAACAAAAUGUAAUAAUGAAAUCAAUGAAAGUACAUAUCAUCUUCUACUUUUUAUUUCACUAUCCAUAUCAUCUGCAAUCCACUCCUAAGGUUUCUCUUACCUUAGCCAAGAUAUUUCACCCGACUCGGUUUUGAGUCAAUCAUUCACAACUUACCGCCUUAUUGACUUAGCCAUCCGGCGGCGAACUCGCCGCACACGCCAAACAAUAGC
Molecule: long non-coding RNA, 90238 nt
Filed under: Ananas comosus (pineapple)
Lineage: Eukaryota; Viridiplantae; Streptophyta; Magnoliopsida; Poales; Bromeliaceae
Description: long non-coding RNA (ACOM_LNC022127)
Source: RNAcentral